RNAcentral lists this long non-coding RNA (98343 nucleotides) under Nicotiana benthamiana. RNAcentral describes it as "long non-coding RNA (NBEN_LNC004956)". Lineage: Eukaryota; Viridiplantae; Streptophyta; Magnoliopsida; Solanales; Solanaceae. The record is from RNAcentral.
AUUUUAAUACUAAAAUGUGUAUUACUAAUAUUAAAAUAAAUAUUACUUAAAAAUUCUAUACCUUUUUUUACUCCAUCGGCCGCCUGUGUCCAUAUUGAAUUCAUAUCCUCGGACGACAGAUGGAAAUCAAGUUGAUUUAGUUGUCAUUCCUCCAAUCUUUUUUGUUGCCAUUUUCCAUGGCAGUAUUAUGAAAUUUUCUUAUUGGAACGAGUUGUUCACCUCGGUAGUAAAAUGAGAUACACUUAUGGAUUGGGUCAUACCACCUUGACAAUAUCAUGUAGUACUAUUCUUAUAGGAUCAGAUUGUUCACCUCAGAAAAUCGUGCAUAUAAUUCAUUAGGGAGUCACUGCAUAUGUGAAUUUCCUAGCUUAAGCUUUGAUAUUGGCACUUGAUAUUGGUCACAUAUAUCCAUUUGAGGCAGCAAUUGGUAUUUGAUGAUUUCGUAUUUAUUCUUCUGUUGAGAAACAUGUUAUUCAUAUUUAUUCAUUUCGUUGCUACAUGUUAUGCUUCAUAUUUGUUGUGAAGACCUUGGGUCAUCACUUGUUUUGAAAGUAAAUUCAACAUUUCGAAGCCUUAAAACCGUCCUUUUAUCUCACCUCGAUUUACAUGCAUAUUUCGGGCGCAUUUCCGAAAAGCUUUUAUGUGAAAACUAAGUGAAAUAAUGAAAUUGGAUUUUAAUAUUGAAAAAAGAUGAUUUGGGUCAACAUUCUUGAUAAACGGACCCGGACCCGUAAUCCGACGGUCUUGUAGGGUCCGUAGUAUAAUUUGGGACUUAGGCAUAUGUCCGGAAUCAAAUUCCGAAGUUCCAAGCCCGAGAAGUGAAUAUUAAAGAAAAUUAUUUUCAUGAAAAUAUAAAGGUUUUUAGAAGUGAAUUGAUUCGUAUCUUGGUUCCAGAGCCCAAUACAAGUUUAAAAUAAUAAUUAAGAUGAAACUGUAAAAUUUGGUGGAGAUCGGAGGUGGUUUGAUAUAAAACGGACCUAUAGUUGAGAAAAUAGUAACUUUUGAUCUUCUUGAAUGAUUUCGUGAAUAUGAGGUUUAAUUCAUGGUUGUUAAUAUUAUUUUGAUGAUUUGAUCACACGAACAAGUUUGUAUGAAGAGAUGAAGCAAGUAGACAGAUAAUAUUCACAUAUAAACAUUUGGACAACUUAGAAAUUUGAAAAGGGAAAGGCAUAAGUUAAAUGAAAUAGAAGAGAGAAUGGAUUUGAAAAGAAAGCAUUACAUUAGAAAAACGUGUAAAUAAAGCAAGCAAAGGAAAGGGGGUCCUGAGUUUGACUAUAAUAUGGAUCACAUCGGUGCAAUACCCCGCACGCACUCCUCAAAGAGGGGUCGCAUAUGGUAUUAGCGCACUGGUCAUCAUCUCCAUAUUCUACCCUUCACGCCCCGUUAAGGUAAUUAAACGUGUUGGUAUCGUUUAUUUAUUGCAUACUAAUACCCGUUCCAACCUGUUAGUUCUGGGGUAUUAGGACUUCUAAUCCUAAGAGGGGGGAGAAAGAGAUAGGAUAAAUAUGGAGUUUUCAAAGGUAAAAAUACUAGAACAACAAGCAAAACAAAUAGCACAUAAGGUAUGCAAAUAAGACAUUCAAUGGCUCAGAUAAAACCCCGUAACAUAACAGCAACUAGUUUAGCAUGACUUCAAAUACUGGUUUGGUCUUUAAAAGAGGUUAGUAGAGCGGACCGGUUAUUUUAACACAAAAGAUGAAAAGAAAAUCUACUUCGAGCUCCCCAGGCCCGUUUUAGGAAUUGACAGUUUUUGAAAAUCAGUUAAUCUUAGAGCAGAACAUCAGUUUUAGACAUAGAUCUGUUGAAAAGAGAGUUGAAGUUGCAGCAAGGUUUAGAAAUGGAUUACAAUUUAGCCGGACUGUUUGAGUAAAGAGGAUGCAAGCAGAAAGUUUUCAAAAGUACCUUAAAGUAUUAAACUUAGGCAGACAAAGUAGUUCAAAACUGCAGACUUAGUAGAGUAGCGUAAAAGGGAUGACCUGGGCCCGAUUUAAAAGUGAACAAAUUUGGGACAACUGCGCUGAAACGUUUUAAGCACUGGGCGAGUUUGGACCUUAUAACAUGCACACUGACACUUUUUGUUACUACUUUACACGUUUUAGUCGGCAUGCUGUUUGCCUAGCGUUUUAUUCAAUUUCUAUAGGCAUGUCUUUCUAGGCGAGAUGCAAUGUUCAAAACUUACAAGAAUGGUUUCUAUAUGAGAUAUGACAUUAAACUUAUAGGCAUGGUUUCAGUACGAGAUGUGAUAAUCCAAGCCCUAUAGUCAUGGUUUCAAUCACGAGAUUGAUGCAAUAAUGAAAAGCCUUAUAGACAUGGUAUCUGUAUGAUAUUGUGCAAUAAUGUAAAGCCUUAUAGACAUGGUAUCUAUAUGAUAUUGUGCAAUAAUGCAAAGCCUUAUAGACAUGGUAUUUAUAUGAUAUUGUGCAAUAAUAUAAAGCCUUAUAGACAUGGUAUCUAUAUGAUAUUGUGCAAUAAUGUAUAGCCUUAUUGACAUGGUAUCUAAAUGAUCUUGUGGUAAAGUAGACCAAUAGGCAUGAUUUCUACCAUUAAUUGAUGCAAGAAAGUAAACCCCUCCCAUAUGCCCUUUCACUAUAUCCCCGAGUUCUUUUACACAAAUUUAUUUACAAAAUCUAGACAGAAAAACGUUAAAGGAAAUAAGCUAAAUACAUCAACAAUUACAACAUGCACGAAGAAGCUCAAAGCAGCUUUAAUGUCAACAGAAAAAAAUUAAAAGAAAUAAGCUAUAUACAUCAACAAUUACAAUAAGCCCGAAGAAGCUCAAAGCAGCUUUAAUGUGAGACAUAUGCCUUUCACCAAAUCGAGGCUCCCAAAUAAGAGGCUUUCUCUUUAGAGUGUUACAAAGUUCCAAAUGAUUUUCAAGGAAACUCAGGCAAUGCUUACACCCCAAGCAUUUAGAGUAGUGCAAGUGUGGAAUUACCGGCCCUAAGGCAUCCAAGUUCAGAGGAGACUCCAGGGUCCCUAAGCAUGGCUUACCAAAGUGGGGUAGGACUUAACGAACUAAGAAUAAGUGUGAAAGUGAGGAAUUAGAGGAAAAUCAAUGUGAUAGGUGGUCAUACCUAGCCGUGAAGUGAGAACUUACUAAAGGGGGGUAGGACUUAAAGAACUAGGAAUAAGUGUAAAAGUGAGGAAUUAUAGGAAGACCAAUGCGAGAGGUGGUCAUACCUAGCCAUGAAGUGAGACUGGCACAUCCCUAACCUCUUACAUGGUUCAACAGGCAAGAGCAGACUUGCAAAGAAGUCAGACUAGGGCAUGUAUGGUGAUUAGGACACCAACAGGCCUAUGUCAAGGCUCAAACACAUAGUAUGGGGGAUAGGGCAUAGGAUUACUUUGAGUAUAUGAUGAUAACAACCUUAGUUCUAAACUAGGAGUGGCAAUGAAGUGCCACCCUAGUCCAAAACACACUCAUACGCAAACAGGGGUUAAGGGAAUGGGGAAUCACAUAAGAAUACUUGAAAGAACAGAACUAAAUUAAAGGUAUUCAGGGGAAAGGGGUGUACAGGAACUUAAACCAUAAUAAUGAACAAUAAACAGACAAGGGAAAGGGGGAAGGGGGUUAAUCAUGCAAUAACUUAACUGAACAUACACAGGCAAAGGAAAAGGGUGAAGUAAUCAGGUAGUUUGGAGGUUGAUAAUACAAAUUAAGAGCCAACCAGUUGCAAACUUGAAUAACAAAGUAAGUAAGGUAGAUGGAUCCGUAUAGUUAACAUUGGCUUUCAACCGGCUAACUCCAGCAAUAGAUCAAGUAACAAGGAAGAACAGAAGAGAAGAGAGGUUUCUCAAUGAGUAAACAUAGAGUAGUUCGUGUAUCUCUGUCUAAGUGAGAAAAGGUGAAGGCUAUUUAUAGUUUUAAAAAUAAGCAAAACUAAGGCAAGAAAAUAUCCAUCAGUAUCAAUUAAGACAAAUUAGGGAAAAGGUUCCCUUCAACUAAGGAAUUGGGCUUGAGGUAAAUAAACCUCUGUUUAUUUUUGGAAAGAAAACCAAGUACCAAUCACGAAAUAUGGGGCAAAUACAUGUAAAGAGUUUUGAAAUUCACACGUGUAAACACAUAAGGCAAGUUAAUCACCAAGAAAAUCAAGGAAUUGAGAUGCUAGCUUGUUUUGAAUUUAGUCAGUAAGCAGGUCCCAAUUAGAGAAUCACACAAGCUAUACGAAAUCAAUUUUCCCACAUUAGGGUUAUUCAGAAAAGGGGGAGAAUGUUACUAUAUAAAGAGAUGCAUAGAUUUGCACAUGCAAAUUGGAAUAUAGAACAAAUCAUGUAGUUGAAACACAUAAGAAGGAAAUUAGAGGCGGCUAUGGUUUAACAUGAAGCAAGUAAUAACACAGAAAGAAGCAUAAAACCCUUUAAACAUAGGGUUUCCGUAACACAUAGAGCAUAAUGAAGAACAUAGAUGAAGAUGAACAAAAUAAGAACAACAUAAUGAAGAGCAAAGAGCAUUUUAACUCGAAACCUUAGAAAAUAACCCAGUAAAUUAAAAAUGCCUCAGAGCUACAGUAGAAAAUACUUAAAAUCACAGUAAGAACUAGAGGAGAACACAUCGUAGAGAAGAUAAAGCGGAGAAAUCAAAGAAAUCAAAAAAAUCAAAGAAACCCUAAAUUUUAAGAAGAUGACAGUUUGAAAACAAAAAUAGGCGAAGAAAAAGUGAGAAAUACUUUCAAAUUUUUAGAGAAUAACUAGGAUAUAGAGAAGAUCGUAAAGAUAAACACAGAGAAAACCAUCAAAAAUUAGGGUUUAAGAGAAAGAUCUCUAGAUAGCGAGAAAGCCUGGAACGGACCAUUCUGAGUCAGCUAAGGACUCAUAGCCUCAAGGCUUGCCGGAGAAAGGUCGGACACGGCUACAGAACUCAAAUCGGAGGGCCUCUAGUCCGAUAUCUUCGAGAUACGGUUCCUAUCUUAUAACCCAAGAGCCAUGCGAGGUGAGGAGUGGUGGAUAUAGAUGUUUUGGGGCUUGAACGACCAUAGACACCAGUGUAACGGAGCCAGAACAGACUAGGGUUCAGAAGGACUAGAGAGCAUUUGAGGAUACAAGGGCGGCUGGGUUUGCAAAGUGAAUACGGUUAGGGGUAUUUAGGGGUUUAAUUAUGGUAGAUUUGAUGUGGACCGUCGAUCUAUGUGAUCAACGGCCACGAUUAAAAGGAAAGAUGGGGCGGGUUAGUUUUGGUGGGUUUGGGUCGGGUAAAUUUAAAUUGGGUCAUGUAAUUGGAGGGGUUAAUUUGGUGGUGGAAUUUGGGCUAAAAUUUAAAUAACUAGGGCUAUAAUUUAAAUAAUCAUUUUCCGCAAAUUUAAUUUUAUAAAAAUAGUAAAUGUCAUAAUAAAAAAUCCAAUUAAAAUACUGAGUUAAUAUAUAUNNNNNNNNNNNNNNNNNNNNNNNNNNNNNNNNNNNNNNNNNNNNNNNNNNNNNNNNNNNNNNNNNNNNNNNNNNNNNNNNNNNNNNNNNNNNNNNNNNNNNNNNNNNNNNNNNNNNNNNNNNNNNNNNNNNNNNNNNNNNNNNNNNNNNNNNNNNNNNNNNNNNNNNNNNNNNNNNNNNNNNNNNNNNNNNNNNNNNNNNNNNNNNNNNNNNNNNNNNNNNNNNNNNNNNNNNNNNNNNNNNNNNUUUUAAUUUAGAAAUACCUAAUGACCUUGUAAAAUUCUGUAAAAAUUAUAUUAAUUAUAUUUUUAUGUAAAUGAGAGAAUACAAUAGAUUACUUAUCAAAAUAACAUGAUUUGGGACUAACUAUUGGAAUUUAUAUCGCAAAAUAAGUCGUACGUUGAUUUUAAAAUCCUUAAAAAUGUAGAAAAAUACCAAGACCGUUGUGGAUGCUUAUAUAUGAAUAUAUAUGCUCAUUUGGGAAUAUUUUGAGUACAGAAAUACAUGGAAAAAAAUUGGGUAUCAACAGCUGCCCCUCUUUACCCGAGGAGGAGGAAAGUGUUGUCAGGUAAUGACAAGAUGGCCAAUUUUGACCAGAAAUGACGACUGUUAGAGAACAUUUACCACGCUUUGUCUUCUGAGCUGCCUACAUAUCCCUGGUUUUAUAGGAACCAGGCCGUAUGUAGUUCAGGAAUCAUUGACAGGAUAUGCCAAUGAAAAUUUGGAAAAGGCGGAUGCAACAAGGUUUGAGAUUUGUUAAGGAUUCAGAAAUCAGACGGGCAGUGGAGAACUAGAGCGGGACCACUCCUGCUGAUGUAGCCAUGCCAGUCGGGAUACCUGCAAAUGAAUGAUGUGCGUAUAUAAUUCAUAAUUUAAACGUGAUGCAAGUUCCCUUUAGACCAUGAAUGUUGUCUUUGGACGAUUAGGAUGGCGUCCUCGGACUAUGACGUCCUGGGUUAUGCGGAUCAUGGAAGUAAAGAUUCGCAGGCCAUGAAAUGGUGUUCUCGGGCUAUGACGCCUUUGAAUAAGUUGGCGAUAUUUCAGCCCAUGAAAAGGUGGAAAUAUUUCAGCCGAGUGAAUGCAAGGGGUGGCGAUCUUUCAGCCGAGCAGGAAUUUAAAAUGCAAGGCGGCUAUAUUUCAUCCAAAUGAAAAAAGGUGGCGAUCUUUCAGUCAAAUGUAAAAUAAUAAAGGUAGAUCUUAACCUCAGACGGCAGAGAAUAGCCUUAUGAAAAAAUGGAGACAUGGCUUAGUCUCGAAAGGCAGAAGAUAGCCUUAUGCAGGAUGGAGGUAGAGCUUAACCUUGGAAGGCAGAGAAUAGCCUUAUGCAAAAUGCAGAUGGAGACAGGGGUUAGUCUCGAAAGACAGAAGAUAGCCUUAUGCAGGAUGGAGGUAGAGCUUAACCUCGGAAGGCAGAGAAUAGCUUUAUGCAAUGCAAAAAUGCAGAUUGAGACAGAGCUUAGUCUCGAAAGGCAAAAGAUAGCCUUAUACAGGAUGGAGGUAGAGCUAAACCUCGAAAGGCAGAGAAUAGCCUUAUGCAAUGCAAAAAUACAGAUGGAGACAGAGCUUAGUCUCGAAAGGCAGAAGAUAGCCUUAUGCAGGACGGAGGUAGAGCUUAACCUCGGAAGGCAGAGAAUAACCUUAUGCAAAAUACAGAUGGAACAGAUUUAGUCUCGAAAGGUAGAAAAUAGCCUUAUGCAGGAUGGAGGUAGAGCUUUUCCAUGGAAGGCAGAGAAUAGCGUUAUGCAAAAUGCAGAUGGAGACAGGGCUUAGUCUCAAAAGGCAGAAGAUAGCCUUAUGCAGGAUGGAGGUAGAGCUUAACCUCGGAAGGCAGAGAAUAGCCUUAUGCAAAAUGGAGAUGGAGACAUGGCUUAGUCUCGAAAUGCAGAAGAUAGCCUUAUGCAGGAUGGAGUAGAGCUUAGCCUCAGAAGGUAGAGAAUAGCCUUAUGCAAUGCAAUAUUGCAUAUGGAGACAGAGCUUAGGAUUGAAAGGUAGAAAAUAAACUUAUGCAGGAUGGAGGUAGAGCUUAACCUCGGAAGGCAGAGAAUAGCCUUAUGCAAUGCAAAAAUGCAGAUCGAGACAGAAAAGAUAGUUUUGUUUUACGAUAAACCACAACUGCAACGUGGUUCAAGUCACGGCAACCUUGUUGGCUCCGGAAUUUUGAGGGUCCUCCUCAAAAUUCCGCCCUAGUUUAUUGGGCUAACGCUGUUGAUGGCGGUGCUGAAUGACUGAAAAUGGACCGACCUCGUAAUUUUAAGGGUCCUCCUCAAAAUUCUGCCCCAGUUCUAAAUUCAGGAGGGGUGGGGGGAAUGGAAUUUUAUUAAAGAUGUGAAUGCACACAUAGGGCUGCCUAUGUAUCCCCUCUUAAACGGGAAUCAUGUCAGGCGUAGUUCAAAUUACGUCAUAAAGAAAGGCAUACAAUCAAAUGUAGUAUCUCUUCACUGCAUUAGAGUUGAUCGGUUUUGUCCAAACUUCUCCUCCAUUUCUGGGAGAAUAAGCGCUCUUCCAGUUAGAAGCUGGUGAACCUUGUAUGGACCUUUCCAGUUGGGAGAGAAUUUCCCUUUGUCUUCAUCUUGAUGUGGGAAUAUUUUCUGUAACACCAGCUAUCCCGGUGUGAACUUCCUUGGUUGAACUCUAUUGUUGAAGGCUCUGGACAUUUUGUUUUGGUAUAGCUAACUGUGGCAAACCACAUUCAUUCUCUUUCCAUCUAUAAGGGCUAACUGUUCAUAACGACCCUUGACCCAUUCUACGUCAUCUAGCUCAGCUUCUUGUAUGAUUCUCAAGGAUGGAAUUUCUACCUCGGCGAGAAUGACCGCCUUUGUACCAUAAACAAAUAUGUAGGGAGUUUUCCCGAUUGAUGUGCGACCCGUAGUACGAUAACCCAAUAAGGCGAAUGACAACUUCUCAUGCUACUGCUUGUGCCUUUCGAUCAUUUUCCUUAAUAUUUUCUUGAUGUUCUUGUUGGCCGCUUCCAUGGCUCCACUCAUCUAAGGUCUAUAAGUUGUAGAAUUUCUAUGCAUGAUCCUGAAAGUUUUGCAAAUUGCUCUCAUUAAGUUGCUGUUGAGAUUGGAACCAUUAUCAGUGAUGAAUGAUUCCGGAAUCCCGAAUGGACAGACAAUACGAUCUCGAACAAAGUCUGCCACGACUUUCUUGGUUACUGCUUUGUAUGAGGCUGCUUUAACCCAAUUAGUGAAGUAACCGAUUGCCACUAAGAUGAACCUGUGUCGGUUUGAAUCGGCAGGCUCGAUUGGUCCAAUAACAUCCAUUCCCUAGGCGGCAAAUAGCCACGGUGAGCUCGUUGCAGUGAGCUCGUUCGGAGGUGCCUUUAUCAUAUCUGGAUGUAUCUGACAGCGGUGACACUUUUGGACAUACUGAAUACGGUCCGUCUCCAUAGUCAUGCAAAAAUAUCCUGCUCGGAGUAUCUUUUUUGCUAGAACAAAACCAUUCAUGUGCGCCCCACAAGUCCCUGAGGCACUUCCUCCGAUAACUUGGUUGCUUCUGUCGCAUCGACACACCUUAAUAGUCCCAAAUCGGGAGUCCUGCUAUAGAGGAUUCAUCCGCUGUGAAAGAAAUUGUUGGACAACCUUCGAAGCGUGCGCUUCUGAGUAGCAUUAGCAAGCUCCCGAUAUUCUCCUGUUGUUAGGUACUCUUUGGUGUCGUGGAACCAAGGCUUUCCGUCGGCUUCCUUCUCGACGCGGGCACAAUAUGAUGGUUGAUCAUGAAUCUUGAUCUGGAUAGGGUCUAUGAAGUUUGUAUUUGGAUGCUGAAUCAUGGAUGACAAAGUGGCAAGUGCAUCUGCAAACUCAUUCUGCAUUCUUGGAACAUGUUAGAAUUACGUCUUUCUGAAUCUCGUCCUCAACUCCUUUAUGUAAUGAAGAUAAGGGAGUAUCUUAAAAUUCUUAGUAGCCCAUUCUUCUCGAACCUGAUGUAUAAGCAGGUCCGAAUCUCCAAUCACUAGCAGCUCCUAAAUGUUCAUGGUCAGUUUAAGCCCUAAGAUGCAGGCUUCGUACUCGGCUAUAUUAUUGGUGCACGGGAACCUGAGUUUGGUGGAUACCAGGUAAUGUUGACCGGUUUCUAAUUCCAGGACUGCUCCGAUACCAACUCUUUUGGAAUUUGUAGCUCCGUCGAAAAACAUCCUCCAACCGUCAUAGGAUUCUGCAAUAUCUUCUCCUAUGAAAGCUACUUCCUCAUCGGGAAAAUAUGUCUUUAAUGGUUCGUACUCCCCUCCUACAGGAUUUUCUACGAGAUUAUCCGCCAAAGCCUGUCCUUUAACUACCUUUUGGGUGACAUAGACAAUGUCAAAUUCACUCAACAAAAUUUGCCACUUGGCCAGCUUGCCAGUGGGCAUGGGCUUCUGAAAAAUAUACUUUAGCGGAUCCAUUCUUGAUAUAAGGUAGGUAGUGUAAGCACAUAAAUAAUGGCUCAAUUUCUGAGCUACCCAGGUCAAAGGACAACAGGUGCAUUCUAGUAUGGAAUAUCGAGCCUCGUCGGGGUAAAUUUCUUGCUGAGGUAGUAAAUAGCUUGCUCCUUUCUCCACAUCUCAUCAUGUUGUCCCAAGACACAACCAAAUGCUCCAUCCAGAACUGCGAGAUAGAGCAAUAAGGGCCUCCCAAGCUCAGGCGGAACCAGGACUGGAGGCGAAGACAAGUAUUCCUUGAUCUUGUCAGAAGCCUUUUGACAUUCAUUGGUCCAUUUGGUGGUGGCAUCCUUCUUGAGCAUCUUGAAGAUAGGUUCACAGAUGACGGUAGACUAAGCUAUGAACCAACUGAUAUAGUUAAGUCUCUCUGGUAAACUCAUUACGUCAUUCUUGUUCUUUGGCAGUGGCAACUCUUGAAUAGAUUUGACUUUUGACGGAUCCAGCUCUAUUCCUCGGUGACUCACGAUGAAACCCAAUAACUUUCCCGCAGGGACCCCAAAUGCACACUUGGCGGGAUUCAGUUUCAAGUUAUACCUCCUUAGUCUGUUGAAAAAACUUUUGGCGGUCCUUCAUGACAUCGUCCACAUAUACCUCAAUCUCCUUAUGUAUUAUGUCAUGAAAGAGGGUAGUCAUGGCCCUCAUAUAAGUAGCUCCUGCAUUCUUCAAUCUGAAUGCCAUCAUUCUGUAGCAAUACAUUCCCCAUGGCAUGAUAAACGCUGUUUUCUCUACAUCUUCUUCAUCCAUCCAUAUCUGAUGGUACCCCGCAAAGCAAUCACCAAAUGACUACAACUCAUGCUUGGCGGAGUAGUCGAUCAGAAUGUGUAUGUUUGGCAAGGGGAAAUCAUCUCUGGGACUAGCCCGGUUGAGAUCCAGGUAGUCGACACAGACUCUGAAUUUCCCAUCCUUCUUCGGUACUGGCACGAUGUUAGGUAACCAGGUUGGGUACUCUACCACUUGAAGAACGAUGGCUUUGACCUGCUUGGUGACCUCCUCUUUGAUUUUAAACUCAUAUCUGGUUUGAAUUUUCUGAGCUUUUGCUUUACCGGCGAGCAUGCAACAUCUGUCGGCAAUUUGUGGGCGACGAUGGAUAUGCUGAGACCAGUCAUAUCGUCGUAAUACCAGGCAAAGAUAUCCUCAUAUUCCCUUAAGAACUCUGUAUAUUCCUCUUUUUCCAUCUGUGAUAAGUGUACACUGAUGCGCGUUUCUUUGACAUUCUCUGUAUCUCCCAAAUUGACGACCUUGGUUUCAUCCAUGUUUGACUUAGGCCUAUUCUCAAAAUUCUCGGCCUCUCUGACAACCUCUUAUGGUAUAUCAUCUUCCUCCAAGUCUAUAUCUGUUUGUUGCAUAGCCUCGUUGCAAGUUACAGUUGUUGGUUCAUCUUCAUGAUAUGCAAUAGUAAUGUUGUGUGAAAAAUAAAGUAAAUAGAGGAGAAAGUAAUGAGUAACGAGAUAUUUGAUGAACAAAAAAAUGCUUUUGAUUAAAUUCAUAGAUGUUCAAAACAUCGGAGCUCUUUUGGAAAGUAAAGAAAAUACGAAAAGUAAAGGCGCGUGAUGCUUGUUCAGCCUUGCUACCCCGAAGAUUUCCGGGUGGUGGUGGUCCUAAUUGACCAAUUGGUGAGGUGAUCCCCUUGGUUCACAGCCUGAAUGGAAGGGCCUUCCUCCCCUUACUCUUCCAAAAUCACACAACAGUCCAUAUCCUUCUCCAGAAAUAGGUUCUUCAUUGCCGCAAGCGCCUCCUCUUCUUAUAACCCGUAGAGAGUGCCGGCCGGCUGAAAUGUCUGCUCCAGCUGAGGUAUGGGGUAUUCCAAUGGAUAAUACGGGCCACACCAUAGUGGAAACCAGUCUUUGAACACUUCCCAAGUGUAUUUGUAUCCCAACCCGAAGGUAGUACCAUGUUUCUUCUACUAGAAAGGUUUGGUGAUGCUCUGAAGAUUCUUACCAAGCCCUUUUCCCGGUUCAUACCCACUCCAGUUCAGAAUGCUUUCGAUCUUGUUGCUCCACCAUUUGUCUUUAUCCACUGCAUUGAGUAUUAUGAUGGUAUGUUUCUCUGCCUAUCCUUCUUCUGCCUUUGAUCAUCGGAAUGGUCUGGCGAAUGUAUAUAGGGUUGCUACCGUCGCCAUGGAUGAUUGCCUCCUAAUGGUUCCACUCAAAUUUCACGACCUGAUGUAAGGUCGAUACCACAGCCCCUGCAGCGUGGAUCCAGGGUUGUCCCAGCAAUAGGUUGUAAGAUGCUGGUACAUCGUUGACUUGGAAAUCAACAUCAAACCAAGUAGGCCCCAUUUGCAAACACAGGCUAAUCUCCCGAGGGUGGACCUCUGAGAACCGCCAAAAGCCUUAACGUUGAUUGUCCCAUCUUUUAUCUCGUGCAAUCCUUUUCCCAACUUCUUAAGGGUGUUCAAUGGACAAAUGUUGAGGCUAGAACCUCCAUCGAUUAAGAUCCUAGUGAUGAAAUGAUCUUCACAUUACACAGUGGUGUGUAGUGCAUAGUUAUGUCCGAGCCCUACAUGUGGUAAUUCAUCCUCGUGGAAAGUGAUUUUGUGACUCUCCAAUAUCUUCCCUACCAUGUUCGCCAUCUCUCCUCGUGUUAUGUUGCUGGGAACAUAAGCUUUACUCAAUAUCUUCAUCAAGGCAUUCUUAUGUGCCUCGGAACUUUGCAGCAACGCCAAGAUGGAAAUCUGCGUCGGAGUCUUGUUCAGCUGUUCAACAACUGAAUAUUCCUUGGCCUGUAUCUUCCUCAAGAGGUCAUCGGGUUCGGUUUUUACAGGACGUCCAUAGGCCUAUUUGCUCGACUCAGCUAGGCGCUCUGGUGUGUACGCCCUGCCUGUUCUAGUCAUACCUUGCGCGGCAAUUGCUUCACUCGUGUGUGCUUUUCCUUUCCUUCUCGCCUCGGCUGUCUAGUCCCAAGGUAUGUAAUUUGAUUGAAAUGGGGUUAUAUCUGACAUGGUGACAGGUAUGGGCACCCUUGGAGGCAACAUAGUAACUUCAAGCGGUGCGGGCGCUUUUGGAGUCCCGAACUCCACCUCAAUUGGUUUUGGCAGCUUCGCAGGAGGUGCCUCGAACUCAAAUGGUAUAGAUACAUUCACCACGUCGCCCUCAGAUGGCUGGAUUUGUACAAUAAUAGGAUUAAGAGUGACCACCGCCUUCUUGGGCUCAUAUCUUUCAUAUAUAAAAUCGAUUGACCCUUUGGGGUCCCAGUAGUCCUCAACCUCAAUCAUGUGGAUGCCUCCACCCUUAUGGUUCGAUAGAGGGUUGUUACGAACAUUACGAUCAGGCUCCUUAGCUACGAUGACCAUGUUGUCAAUUAAGGUCGGAAUUUUGUCUUUCAACAAGCGGCACUCGCUCAUGGUAUAGCCUUUCAUCCACGAAUGGUAUGCGCAGGUUUUAUUUGGGUUGAUCCAUUGGGAAGGGUUUUGUGGCGAUAUGGCUGGGAUGGCUGUAACAUAUCCAGCGGCUUUGAGCUUCUCAUACAGUUGGUCAAUGGGUUCUGCAAUAGGCGUGUAUUGUCUAGACGAUUUUCGAUCAAAGUUUGUUCUUGGUCGUGGGAAGUUUUGGGGGGUAGGUGGUGAUGGAUAGUGAGGAGGUUAGGAUUUGUAUGCUUGGUAUACGGAUGCGGGUUGGGAAUAUCCUAGCUAGGUGGGCUGAUAUGUUGGUGAUGGAGAUGAUUGGUAGACGAGUGGUGGAUUUUGAUAGGUAGGUAAAGGUGCCUGGUAAUUUAGAGAAGGUUGGUAUUUGAGUGGAGUUGGAGGGUAGGGUUGGUAUUACAUGGGAGAGUGGUUUCUCUGUGCAGCCAUUAUGGAGUUUACGUCUUUUUUCUUCGACGUACCACCAGAUUGUAAGGAUUUGUUGGUGGCAUGCAGUGCCACAAGGUUAGUAACCAUACCAUUUUCGAUGCCCUCUUCGAUCCUUUCUUCCAGUUUGAUGAUAUCAGAGUACUUCUACCCCUCUAUCAGCAUCAAUCUCUCGUAGUACUGUGGAUCCUGAGCACGGACAAAAAACCUGUUCAUUUGUUCUUCUUUCAAAGCCUAUAUGACUUUGGAAGCUUUUGACCACCAACGAGUAGCAUACUGGCGAAAGGUUUCAGUAGGCUUCUUCUGCAAAUUCUGGAUAUAGAUUACAUCUGCCGUAUUAUCAGUGUUGAAUCUAAAAAAUCCAUGAAAUCGGACGCCAUGUUCACCCAGCUUGUCCAAUUCUUCGCAUCUUAGCUGAUAUACCAAGAUAAAGCAUCACCUUUCAAGCUCCUCAUGAACAGCUUCAUGCGGAUCUUUUCAUCUCUACCAACUCCCACUAACUUGUCACAAUACAUCCAGAGGUGAAACCUGGGAUCACCCGUACCAUCAAACAUCUCGAACUUAGGAGGUUUGUACCCCUCUGCGAGUUUUUCAUCUUUACCAACUCCCACCAACUUGUCACAAUACAUCUUGAUGUGAACCCUGGGAUCACCCGUACCAUCGAAAUUACGAACUUAGGAGGUUUGUACCCCUCUGGGAGUUCGACAUCAGGUUGAACACUAAGGUCUUCAUAAUUCAGACCCUUCACACCCUUGUUACCUUCCAUAUCUUGUACCCUACUAGUGAGUUUCUUGAGUUCAACAGCCAAGUUCUGAAUGAGUGAGUCUAAUUCUAACACAUCUGAUAUGGGUUGUGUAUAGUAUGGAAUAGUAUCCACAAAGAUAGGGGUAUCUUGGUGGUUCAGAGCAUUUUGGGGCUCAGGGAAGAGCGGUGGAGCACUGUUGCGAGCUUGGGUUGGGGUAUUCUACGGAGGUGUAGGGACCUAACUGUUGACAUCUGCAGCAGCAACGGAGAUGGACAAACUUGCCAAACUCCGAACCUGGUCUAGUUCCUCUCCAAACCUUAGCAAAGUUUGCUCCAAAUGAGCAGCAGUCUCUUUGGUGAUCGAGGUACCUUGGGAAGUUCCUUCAAUGUCCUUUCUUGCUUCAUUAUCUCCCAUCUUUCAAUUGUUCCUAUAUUUUGGGGGGACACUGAGGAGGAGGAGGACCCUUAGAUCUUGUUGAGUAUGAUGAUGGUGCUAGAGCGCACUAACUAAUCUUUAGGGAGGGGAAUAACAAAAAGUAAAAACAAAAGUUAAGAAAUUAGUGCAGAUUCUGAGAAAGAAAUAUUGCGGUAUUUAAACAGGUUGUUGCAAAAAUAUAAGUCGUUUCCUAUUUGGGUGCCUCAUUGUGCCCGAGAUAGGCCUAGCGAUAGAUAUCAUUUGGAGGACUUAUAACUCCGAGUGCCUCAUUUUAUUGAUAGAAAAUAGAACGAGUCAAACAAACUGAAAUAAAUAGAAAAUUGUCACUAAUGGCCAGUGGCCUUAUUACACUGCGAAAGCAGUAAAAAUUCUAACUACUUGGUCCCAGAAGGACCUUCCCCAUAUUCGGUAUCUUUGCCUCCCUCGUACAGCUUCAUCAAUUUGCGCAGUCCCAGCAACAAGUAGGCCCGAGCCAAGUGCCCACCUUCAUUACCUUCAGCUUCCUGACAGUAGUUGAUCCUUUUAGAAAUUUGCCGCCAGCUCUACUAAACCCUGCUCCAAGUACCCUAAACGGUUAUUUGCGUGGACAGCCAUGUCCUUCCACUCAUUGAUUAUCUUUUUUUGGGCCACUAGUAUUUCCCGGUGCUCGCUUUCGCUCUCUUGCAUCUGUUUGCGUAGUUGAUUGUACUUGACAUUUACGGCAGUCUCCUCGUCAAUAACCCUGUGACCAUGGAUGAAACCUGUAUUUCCCAAGCCGAUGUGGUCAUCUUAUAACCAUACUAGAUAAAGCGGCGCAUGCGCUGCCUGAUACAUGUCUGGUUUCAUAGAUUCCUUCUCCAAGAUGAGUUUGGACUGCCACAUAUUCUGAGCCUGACACCUGUGUGGGCUAUCAUCAUCUUGGAAAUCAUGCCUGUAGUAACUCAUCUUUUUCACCCUCGGUAUAAUUUGUUUUCUUCCCGCUUGCCUCAUGACUCGGAGAGGGACAUAAGGGUAAGUUCCUCUUAAGCCGAUGAGUACAAGGAAUGGCACAUCCCUAGACCGAAUUCUUUUUCACCCUCGGUAUAAUUUGUUUUCUUCCCGCUUGCCUCAUGACUCGGAGAGGGACAUAAGGGUAAGUUCCUCUUAAGCCGAUGAGUACAAGGAAUGGCGCAUCCCUAAACUUAAUGAUAAACUCUCCAGUUGGAAACCACUCGUACAUCCGUUGUACCUGCUCUUCUCUCAGAUUAUCUAAUAGUUCUACCCAUCCACUGACGACUUCCGGGCGAGCAAAGAUAUCCGGCAUGAAGUGCAUUCGCUUUCGAUGAUAGAAAGCGAUAUGGUCAUCCCAGUCUCGGCGUAUGAUCUCCUAUCUAUAAUCUCCAUUCUGAAGAGGUUCAAUGAGCUAGAGUUUUAGUAGCAAAUUGCACCCUUGAAUGUGCAGUACCCCUUGUUGACAUUUCUCUAAGGCUCGAUACAGUUCGGCGAGGAUCAUGGGAGCUACACUGAAUGCCUGCCCGUCAAUACCCUCCAUUAUGGCUUUGGUUACCAUGGAUAGUCUUUUAUGAAUUCUUGCCUUCUUUAUUGGAAAGAUAUCAUGCCCAGGAAGCAGAACAUGAAUACAAAGGCUCUCGUAUGUAUGUGGCCCAAAUAGGUGAGGGCGAACUCGUCCAUGUGAGUGCGGUAGGAUCUGCUCUGUCCGAACCAUUCAUACAUGAAGUCGAAUGAUAUGUAGGAGUCCUUCUGACUAGUCAGACUAGGAUUCUUCGUGAGACCCAUCAUUUUCAGGAAACCUCUACGCAUAUGCAGCCCCGUGUUAUCCCAAGGAAUUCCGGCUAGACCUCCAAUUUCUUCUAACAGCGGUGCCAUUUCAAUACCCCAAAGCGGAAGACAAACCAUUCACUCUCCCAAAAUAGAGUAGCAGCUUCCACAAUCUUGUUAUCUGGCCUAACUUCCAAGAGUAAAGGAAGAUUCCCUAAGUGUUUGCGGACAAGAACCCAUUCACUACCAUGCAGAUCCUCCGACCAGCUUAGUAACUUUGGGUGAAUGUUUGAUACUAUGUUAAAACUGGGGACCUCGUGCCUCAUUUCUUGAAAAAUAGAGUGUUAGGCCCUCAAAAUAAUUAUCAAAAGGCAUUUAGUUCUCCAAAUCGACGUACAUAACGUGAAAAUUCGUUUGGGUUUCGAGGAAACCCGAUGGACUUCUGGUUUAAGCUAUCUUAAUGAGUCAUUAUGCGGACGACAUAACUGACUCCGCUAAGUUUGACCAUGAUGCAUGAACAGUAUAACGGAAUAAGCUUUCUACUUUUAAAGUGCUAGACAAGCUACCCUUGAGCGGACAACUCAAGAGGGAAAGGCACGGAACCGUCGACUACACCGUUGAACGACUAGUUUUACCCCAAAUAUGCCUUUGCAGAAUUUAGGGGGUUUAUAAAUAUUGGAAGAGUACAACCACUCAUUAUAAGCGUUGCUAUAGGAUUGUUUGGCAUGAGUGGAAAAUGAUGUUGAAAGAUGCAAUUACAAUAAUAAAUACAUGUAUUUUCACGUUCAUAAAAAUAAUGAUUACAAUAGAUGCUCGAAAUUUAAGACGGAAUUGAAAUGAAGUUAAAGCAGCAAAACAAUAAAAGAAAAAGAAAAACAUGAAGAAUCAAGUUAGUAACCAUGAAAAAUAAAUAAUUAAAGAGGUAAAUAAAGGCAGUAAAGAAAGCAAUAAAGUCACAAAGCACGUAAUGGUAAAAGCCUUAAAGAAGUCCCCAGCAGAUUCUCCAUAUUGUCGACGCCCACUUUUUCAAAACCGAAAUUGGAUUUUACGACAUUAUGGGCAAACAACUCUCAUUCCCGUUUAGGAAUUGGGUUAUGGAAUUUCAAGAGUCACCAUCUAAUGAUUAUAGUGCAUUAUGACACUUUUAAAGAUGAGAGGAGUAUUUUGAAAUAAAACCAAAGUUCGGGUAAGGGCUUGAAAUUAUCUCGAGGGGAAGGUGUUAGGCACUCCUCAAGAUCCACUAGUGUAGUUCCCGGCCGUGCUAAUGUUACUUUAUGAAGAGAUGAAGCAAGUAGACAGAUAAGAUUCACAUAUAAACAUUUGGACAACAUAGGAAUUUAAAGGGAAAAGCACAAGUUAAAUAAAAUAGAAGAGAGAAUGGAUUUGAAAAGAAAGCAUUACUUUAGAAUAACGUGUAAAUAAAGCAAGCAAAGGAAAGGGGAUCCUAGAUUUGACUAUAAUAUGGAUCACAUCGGUGAAAUACCCCGCACACACUCCUUAAAGAGGGGUCGCAUAUGGUAUUAGCGCACCGGUCAUUAUCUCUAUAUUCUACCCUUCCCGCCCUUUUAAGGUUAUUAAACACGUUGGUAUCGUUUACUUAUUGCAUGCUAAUACAUAUCCCAACCUGUUAGUCCUGGGGUAUUGGGACUUCUAAUCCUAAUAGGGGGAGAGAAUGAUACGAUAUAUAUAUGGAGUUUUCAAAGGUAAAAAUACUAGAACGACAAGCAUAAAAUAACACAUAAGCGGUAUACAAAUAAGACAGUCAAAGGAUCAGAUAAAACCCCGCAACAUAACUACAACUAGUUUAGCAUGACUUCAAAUACUGAUUUGGUCUUUAAAAGAGAUUAGAAGAGCGAACAGAUUAGUUUAAUACAUAAAAGUUGGAUAGAAAAUCUACUUCGAGCUCCCCGAGACCGUUUUAGAAAUUGACAGUUUUUGUAAAUCAGUUAAUCUUAGAGGAGAACAUUAGUUUCAGACAUAGGUCUAUUGACAGAGAGUUGAAGUUGCAGCAAGGUUUAGAAAUUGCUAACAAUUUAGCCGGACUAUUUGAGUAAAAAGGAUGCAAGCAGAAAGUUUUCAAAAGUACCAUAAAGUAAUAAACUUAGGCAGACAAAGAAGUUCAAAACCGCAGACUUAGUAGAGUAGUGUAAAAGGGCAGAGCUGGGACCGAUUUAAAAGUUAACAGAUUUAGGACAACUAUGCUGAAACAUUUUAAGCACUGGGCGAGUUUCGACCUUAUAACAUGCACACUGACCCUUUUUGUUACUGCUUUACACAUUUUAGUCGACCUGCAGUUUGCCUAGCAUUUUAUAUAGUUCCUAUAGGCAUGUCUUUCUAAGUGAGAUGCAAUGUUGAAAAUUUAUAAGCAUGGUUUCUAUAUGAGAUAUGACAUUUAACUUAUAGGCAUGGUUUCUAUAUGAGAUGUGAUAAUGCAAGCCCUAUAGUCAUGGUUUCUAUCAUGAGAUUGAUUGAAUAAUGAAAAUCCUUAUAAACAUGAUAUCUAUAUGAUAUUGUGCAUUUGUGUAAAGCCUUAUACAUAUGGUAUCUAUAUGAUAUUGUGCAACAAUGCAAAGCCAUAUAGACAUGGUAUCUAUAUGAUAUUUUGCAAUAAUUUAAAGCCCUAUAGACAUGGUAUCUAUAUGAUAUUGUGCAAUAAUGUAAAGCCUUAUUGACAUGGUAUCUAUAUCAUCUUUUGGUAAAGCAGACCUAUAGGCAUGAUUUCUACCAUUAAUUAAUGCAAGAAAGUAAAACCCUCCCAUAUGCCCUUUCACUAUAUCCCCGAGUUCUUUUAUACAAAUUUAUUUACAAAAUCAGGACAGAAAAGCGUUAAAGGAAAUAAGCUAAAUACAUCAACAAUUACAGCAUGCCCGAAUAAGCUCAAAGCAGCUUUAAUGUCCAACAUAUGCCUUUCACCAAAUCCAAGCUCCCAAAUUCGAGGCUUUCUCUUUAGAGUGUUACAAAGUUCCAAAGGGUUUUCAAGGAAACCAGGCAAUCCUUACACCCCAAGCAAUUAGAGUUGUGCAAGUGUGGAAUUACAGCCCUAAGGCUUCCAAGAUCAGAGGAGACUCCAGGGUCCCUAAACAUCGCUUACCAAACGAGGGUAGGACUAAAAGAACUAGGAAUAAGUGUAAAAGUGAGGAAUUAGAGGAAGACCAAUGCAAGAGGUGGACAUACCUAGUCAUGAAGUGAGACUGGCGCACCCCUAACCUCUUACAUGGUUCAACAGGCGAUAGCAGACUUGCAAACAAGUCAGACUAGGGCCUGUAUGGUAAUUAGGACACAAACGGAACUGUGUCAAGGCUCAAACACAUAGUAUAGGGGAUAGGAAAUGGAAUUAAUUUUAUAAUAGGCUUAUAACAACCUUAGUUUUAAAGUAGUAGUGGCAAUGAAGUGCCACCCUAAUCCAAAACACACUCAUAUGCAAACAGGGAUUAAGUAAGGGGGAAUCACAUAAGAAUACUUGAAAGAACAGAACUAAAUUAAAGGGAUUCAUGGAAAGGGGUGUACAGGAACUUAAACCAUAAUAAUGAACAAUAAACAAAAAGGGAAAGGGGGAAGGGGGUUAAGCAUGCAAUAACUUAACUGAACAUAAACAGGAAAAGGAAAAGGUUUAAGCAAACAGGUAGUUUGGAGGUUGAUAAUAUAAAUUAAGAGUUGACUAGUUGCAAACUUGAAUAACAAAGCAAGUAAGGUAGAUGGAUUCCUAUCGUUAACCUUGUCUUUUAGCCGGCUAACUCAAGCAAUAGAGCAAGAAACAGAGAAAAACAGAAGAGAAUAGAGGGUUAUCAGUGAAUAAAAUUAGAGUAGUUCGUGUAUCUCUGUCUAAGUGAGAAAAGGUGAAGGCUAUUUAUAGUUUUAAAAAUAAGCAGCACUAAGGCAAGAAAAUAUCCAUCACUAACAAUUACAACCAACAAGGGAAAAAGUUCCCUUCAAUUAAGGAACCAGACUUGAGGUAAAUAAACCUCAGUUUAUUUUUGAAAGAAAAUCAAGUACACAUCACGAAAUAUAGGGCAAAUACGUGUAAAGAGUUUUGAAAUUCACAAGGGUAAACACAUAAGGCAAGUUAAUCACCUAGAAAAUCAAGGAAUUGAGAUACUAGGUUAAUUUAAAUUUAGUCAGAAAGCAGGUCCCAAUUAGAGAAUCAAACAAGCUGUACGAAAUCAAUUUUCCCACGUUAGGGUUAUUCAGAAAAGGGGGAGAAUGUGACCAUAUAAAGAGAUGCAUAGAUUUUCACAUGCAAACUGGAAUUAUUGAACAAAUCAUGUAGCAGAAACACAACAACAACAACACUACCCAGCAUACUCCCACCAGGUGGGUCUGGGGAGGGUAAUAUGUUACCCCUACCCAAAAGGGCAAAGAGGCCGUUUCCAAUCGACCCUCGGCGCAUAGGAUAAGAGGAAAUCAGUUGUAAAACAAAAACAAAGACAAAAACGAAAGCAAAAACAAAAACAAAAACAAUAGAGCAUUAGUAUCUUCCGCAGAAAUAGCGUAAAUAAUUAUCUAAACAUAAGGAACAUGAAUACAGUCGCAUGCAAUAAUAUCAUACAGUAACUACCAUAAACUAACCACCAUUGGAGGGACAUAAGCUAAAACAUAAAUCAACUAUGGGUAUCCCUGCUGGCCCACACCCAACCCUGAUAGAGGCGUGCGAAGAACUAUAGGAGCCCCUAACCUACAACCCUGAUUCUAGACCUCCAGACUCAUGGCCCACACCUAACCCCGAUAGAGGCGUGCGAAGAACUAUAGGAGCCCCUAACCUACAACCCUGAUUCUAACCUCCAGACUCUCCUAUCAAGGGUCAUGUCCUCGGAAUGUAGCAGAAACACAUGAGAAGGAAAUUUUAGGCGGCUAUGGUUUAACAUGAAGCAAGUAAUCACGCAGAGAUAAGCAUAAAACCCUUUAAACUUAGGGUUACCGUCACAUAUAGAGAAUAAUGAAGAUCAUAGAUGAAGAUGAACAAAAGCAAAACAACAUAAUGAAGAGCAAAGAGCAUAUUAACUCGAAACCCUAGAAAAUAACAAAGUAAAGUAAAAAUGCCUCAAAGCCAUAGUAGAAAGUACUCAAAAUCACAGUAAGAACUAGAGCAGAACACACAGUAGAGCAGAUAAAGCGUAGAAAUCAAAAAAAAUCGGAGAAACACUAAAUAUUAAGAAGACGACAGUUUGAAAACAAAAAUAGGCGAAGAAAAAGUAAGAAAUAUUUUUAAAUUUUUAGAGAAUAAAUAGGAUUUAGAGAAGAUCGUAAAGAUAAACACAGAGAAAAACCUCGAAAAUUAGGGUUUCAGAGAAAGAUCUCUAGAUAGCGAGAAAGCCUGGAACGGACCAGUCUGAGUCAGCAAAGGACUCAUAGCCACAAGGCUUGCCGAAGAAAAGCCGGAAUUAGCAAGAAAUCCAGGAACGGACCAGUCUGAGUCAGCAAAGGACUCACAGCCUCAAGGCUUGCCAGAGAAAGGUCGCACACUUCUACAGAACUCAAAUCGGAGGGCCUCUAGUUUGAUAACCUUCGAGAUAUGGUUCCGAUCUUCGAACCCAAGAGCCAUGAGAGGUGAGGAGUGGUGGAUAUAGAUGUUUUGGGGAUUGAACAGCAAUAGACACCGGCGAAACGGUGCAGGAAAAGACUAGGGUUCAGAAGGGCUAGAGAGCAUUUGGGGAUACAAGGGCAGCUGGGUUUGCAAAAUGAUUAGGGUUAUGGGGUAUUUUGGGGUUUGAUUAUGGUAGGUUUGAUGUGGACCGUUGAUCUGUGUGAUCAACGGCCACGAUUAAAAGGAAAGAUAGGGCGGGUUACUUAGGCGUGUUUGGGUCGGGUAAAUUUAAAUUGGGUUAUGUAUUGAAGGUAUUAAUUUAAGGGUGGAAUUUGGGCUAACAUUGAAAUAGCUAGGGCAAUGAUUUAAAUAGCCAUUUUUCCCAAAUUUAAUUUUAUAAAAAUAGUAAAUAUCAUUAUAAAAAAUCCAAUUAAAAUACUUAGUUAACUAAAUAUAUAUAUAUAUAUAUAUAUAUAUAUAUAUAGGUAUUAAUAAUAAAUAUUAGGAACGAUUUUGUAAUAAAAAUACUUAUUAAAUCGAGAAAUGGGCUAAAAUUGCAAUCUAAUGCAAUUUUAAUUUAGAAUUACCUAAUGACCUUGUAAAAUUCUGUAUAAAAUACAUAAAAUAUAUUUAUAUGUAAAUGAGAGAAUAAAAUAGAUUACUUAUCAAAAUAACAAGAUUUGGGACUAAAUAUUGGAUUUUAUAUUGCAAAAUAAGUCGUACAUUGAUUUUAAAAUCCUUAAAAAAAUAUAGAAAAAUACCUAGACCUUUGUGGAUGCUUCUAUAUGCAUCUACAUGCUAUUUUGGGAAUAUAUUGAGUAUAGAAAUACAUGCGAAAAAAUCGGGUAUCAACAACGUGCAUGUUUGGUUUGGAGCCUCGAGGGCAUAUGUAAGUUUUGGAUAGGCCACGGAGUGAAAUUGGACUUAGGAGCAAGUGCUGGUAUCUGGUAUUUUUGCCCAGGCCUUGCGAGAUCAGGCUUCGCAAUUGCAAAGAGGACAGGCUUGGUAAUUGUGGCCCCAGUGUCGCAGAUGCGAACCUAGCCUGGAAAGGCCUUGGUCGCAAAUGCGACCAUUUCUAGCAAAUACGACUAGUCCCUCGCAAAUGCGAAGAUGGCCAGAUUUUCCCUUGGUCGCAAAUGCGAUAGAUUCUUCGCAUUUGCAAAGACAGUAGGUCUUGAAGGGGUUCGCAAUUGUGAAACCUGGUCGCAGUUGCGACAUCUGUGACUGGUGAAAUAGGACUUAGAUGAAUGUUUCUUCAUUUUUCAAACAGUCUCAAACCCUAAGCUCUCUUGGGCAAUUUUCUAAUGAAUAGUUCUUCUCAAAAUCAAAGGUUUCAUGGGGAAAAUUGGCUGUUUUGGGUGGAACUUAGUAUUUUCAAUUUUUGGGGAUUUGGACCUCGAUUUGAGGUACGAUUCAAAACAAAUUAUAUAUUUGAGUUUGUGGGUGAAUUUGUAAUCGGAUUUUGAUUCAAACCUCGGGUUUGACCACAUGGGCCCGGGGUCGAUUUUUGACUUUUUGGUAAAAUCAUUGGAAAACCUAUUUUCAUGCAUUACAAUUAAUUCAUUUAGCAUUUAUUGAUAUCUUUAUGUAAAUUGUGGCUAGAUACUAGCCAAUUGGUGGUGGAAACAAGAAGUAAGCGAUAGUUGAGGCUUCAAUUGUAUCUGCGGCAUUGAGGUAAGUGUUUGACCUAACCUUUGCUUAAGGGAUUAGGAGUUGUGUCUUAUUUUUUAUGUGUUAAUUGUUGAGUACGACAUAUAGGCAUAUUGACGAGUAUCUAUAUGUUGGUAUCAAGUAUGCAUGUGAGUCUUAUACUAUGAAUAAUGUGACUCCAUGUCGUAUUGUCCAUGAUUUAUAUGAUGAUUUCUAUUGUUGAACAAGGCUUGUGGAAGUAUUAUUAUUAAUUGAACAUGGUAGAGCAGUGGCUCAAGUUGAGAAUUGAGUUGUGAAGUAAAUGUGAAAAAAAGAAGAGGUUUAGGAUAUUGUCUUCCUUGUCGGGAUAUUAUUGCUUUUGAUAUUAUCUCCCUUGCCAGGAUAUUACUACUUUUUAUAUUAUCUCGCUUGCUAGGAUAUUUUUGUUAUGUUAUUGUUUCCUUACCGGGAUUUUAUUAUGAUAUUAUUGAUUCCCUUUCCCAAAUUGCUUUUUGAUUGUUACUUGGGUAUGGAAGAGUGUAAAGCACGAAGGGUGAUGUCGUGCAUGAUUUUGAGAGUGUUAAUGCAUGUAGGGUGAUGCCAUGCCAAUAUUGUGAGGUAAAAGCACGAAGGGUGAUGUUGUGUCGCACGAUGUACAAUGCCAUGCCAUGAUAUAAUUGAUAAUGCAUGAAGAAUAAUUGCACGCCAUGAUUAUGUAAGGUAAAAGCAUGAAGGGUUAUGUCAUGCCGAUUAUAUUGAUUCUUAUGGUGAGGACGAGAGUAAAAGCACGAAGGGUGAUGUCGUGCACUCGUAUUUGAUUUUCAUUCUUGAUGAUAAUUGAAUCAUGGUGUGCUUUACAUUUAUCUGUUUGUUUUUUGUUGUUACUUGUUUUCCCCCGUAGCUGUUCCCCCAUUCUAUCUUUAACCGUAAAUUUCUGCCUUUAUUUUUUCGUUAUAUAUAAUUUAACUGCACAGGUUUAUUUGGUAGUCUUGUCCUAGCCUCGUCACUACUUCACCAAGGUUAGGCUAGGCAUUUACAAGCACAUGGGGUCGGUUGUGUUAAUACUACACUCUGUACUGUGUUCAAAUCCCGGUGCUGCAGUUUUUGGAUAGAAGUAAGUUGUUGCCUUCAAUCCAUCAGGCGACCCAAGGUAGUCGUGCAGGAGUCCGUAGGCCUUGGCGACUCCAUAUAUCUUUCCAUACUAUUUCUUUUAUGUAUUUCAGAAACAGCUUUGUAUAUAUCUUUCAAACCCCCAUUUGUAUUAUUUCUAGACAAUAUGUAAGAAUGUGACACCAGUUCUAGGUAGCUUUUGUUUACUGAUUUGUAUCAGUAUUAUUAUUAAGUUGUUAUAUUUCAUUCAUGUGCAUUAUUAUUUCCGCAUUUUAUAUAUUGUUAAUUCACAACUGUUAAAGGACUAAAAAUGAAAAGGGUUAAAUAAAUUUAAUGAUUGACUUGCCUAGAUUUUACUAGUAGUCGCCAUCACGACUCCCAAGGUUUGGAAAUCUGGGUCAUGACAAGUUGGUAUCAGAGAUCUCGGUUAUUUAGGUAUCAUAAAUCAAGUACAAGCUUAGUAGACUCUGAGGGAUCAGUGUGGAGACGUCUUUAUUUAUCCCCCAGAGGGUACAAAGUUAGGAAGAACUUCACAUAUAUUCUUUCUUGUCGUGCGACUCGAUUUCUCAAUGCUAAUCAAACAUCCAUUCUAUUCUUUCGUAGAUGGUGAGAACAUGUGCCACUUCAUCAGCUGACCAGCAGCCCGAGCCCCCACUAGCAGCUCUUGCGAGGGGCAGAGUCUAGGUUGUGCUAGGUCCCGAGGCAGAGAUAGGGCUCAGCCUAGAGCUUGAGAAUCACCACCAGCGGCGGAGCCUCAGGUUGAGUUUGACGAUGAGGUUCCAACCCAGACGGUUCUAGUAGGACUAGCUCAGGUCCCAGAGGGGUACAUCUCCACCCCGGUACUUCAGGAUGCUCUGGUCCGUCUAGUGGGCUUAUGGAGAGUGUCGCCCAGGAAGGUUUGUUUGUUGUAGCACCAGUCGUCUCUCAGGCUCAAAUAGGAGCCCAGAGCAUAUGGCUCCCAAUUUAAGACUCCAGCAGCUCACCCAGUUGGGGUAGUUCAGCCUAGUGUUGUGGCACUGAUCGGAGAGGGGCCAGCUAUGUCUGCUGAUGCCUUAUGGAGAUUGGGCAGGUUCACCUAACUCUUUACUAAUACUUUGGUGGUACUUCUUCUGAGGAGCCCCCGAGGUUAUUUGGAUAACAGUCAUGAGGUUCUAUAGAACAUGGGGAUAGUGGAGACCAAUGGGGUCGACUUUCCUACUUUUCUGGAUCCGCCAAUACGUGGUGGAGAGAUUAUUGUUUUGCUAGACCAAGUGGGUCACCAGCUUUGACUUGGGAUCAAUUUUCUCAGCUAUUUCUGGAGAAGUUUCUUCCUAUCACUUAGAGGGAGAACUAUCGGAGGCAGUUUGAGUGUCUCAAACGGGGUUCCGUGACUGUCACUCAGUACGAGACCAGAUUCAUUGACUUGGACCGUCAAGCUCUUCUUAUGCUUACCACUAAGAGAGAGAGUGAGGAGGUUCAUCGAGGGACUCAUUCAGCCUAUUCGAUUGCAUAUGGCUAAGGAUACAGGGAGCGAGAUUUCUUUUCAGGAUGCAGCCAAUGUGGCCAUGAGAUUUGAGAUAAUUCUAUCACAUGGGGUGGUCAGAGGUCUGAAAAGAGGCCUCGUCAUUCUGGAAGGUUCAGUGGUGCCUCUUUUGGAGGCAGGGAUUCUUUUGGUAGGGUCCAUCCUCCUAGGCCAUUUCGUUUAGCACUUCAGGCUUCUUGUAGUGCUCCAAGUGGUCGUCGUUCUCAUAUGGAGUAUUCAGAUUAAUUGCCCUACAGUGCACUGCCAGCUCCUAUUGGUGCAUCACCGCUCUAGAGUUUUCAGAGUUGUUAUUUAGGCCAUCAGGGUUUGUAGGCUUAGUGGCCGAGGGCUUGUUAUACUUGUGGUAAUACGAGGCAUAUUGCUAGGUUUUGCCCUCGAUCACCGAGCAAUACUCAGCAUCAGGGUUCAUAUGGCAUGGAUUAGGCACCGAGUGUUCCACCGCACGCUCAACCAGCUAGUAGUGGAGGUCAACCAGCAGGAUGCUGUCCCAGAUAUGUAGUUUAGAGUGGUGGGGCCCAGCCCCGAUGUAAUGCUCUUCUAGCUAGACCUGAGGCUGCGGAUUCUGAUGUAGUUAUCACAGGUACUAGUCUGGUUUGUAGUAGAGAUGCUUCAGUUCUAUUAGAUCCAAGAUCUACAUGCUCCUAUUUUUUAUCUUAUUUUGUUCCGUAUCUAGUCAUGCCUAGUAAAUCUUUGAAUUCACAUGUAUAUGUGACUACACCGGUGGGUCAUUCUAUUGUGGUAGAUCGCAUCUAUCAUUCAUGUAUAGUUAUGAUUGAAGGUCUUGAGACUCGAGUAGAUUUGCUACUUCUAGAUAUGGUUGAUUUUGAUGUCAUACUAGGAUAGGACCAGUUAUCACCUUACCAUGUUAUCUUGGACUGUCAUGCCAAGACUGUGACCUUAAUUUUGCCGGUUAACCUCUUUAGAGUGGAGAAGGACUCCUGAUCAUUCUACCCAUAGGGUUAUCUCAGAUAUUAAAGCUAAGUAUAUGGUCGAGAAGGGGUGCUUGGCCUAUUUGGCAUAUGUUUGGCAUUCUGGUGUCGAGUUCCUUCUAUGGAUUAUGUGCCUAUUGUUUGUCAGUUUCCUGAGGUAUUUCCUUCAUACCUAUUGGGUAUGCCACCCGACAGGGAUAUUUACUUAUGCAUUAAUUUGGCCUCUGGCACUCAGCCCAUUUCUAUCCCACCUUAUCGUAUGGCCCCUACUAAGUUGAAAGAAUUGAAGGAGCAGUUGCAAGACUUGCUUGAUAAAGGCUUUAUUCGACCUAGUGUCUCACCAUGGUGUGCGUCGAUUUUGUUAGUUAAGAUGAAGGAUAGAUCGAUGAGGAUGUGUAUUGAUUAUCGGUAGUUGAUCAAGGUUGCAAUCAAGAAUAAGUAUCCAUUUCUGAUGAUUGUUGAUUUGUUUGAUCAGCUUCAGGGUGCCAAGGUAUUUUUGAAGAUUGACUUGAUAUCUGGCUACAAUCAGUUUAGGAUUAGGGUAUCUGAUCUCCCUACAAUAGCUUGUCGCACUCGAUACGGGCAUUAUGACUUCUUGGUGAUGUCAUUCGGUUUGACAAAUGCCCCAACAACUUUCAUGGAUUUGAUGAACCGAGUGUUCAAGCCUUACUUGGAUUCAUUCGUGAUAGUCUUCAUUAAUGAUAUUUUGAUUUAUUCCCAUAGCCGGGAAAAGCAUGAUCAGCAUCUAAGAGUUGUUCUUCAGACUUUGAGAGAUAGUUAGUUAUAUGCUAAGUUUUAGAAGUGUGAGUUUUGGUUGAGUUCAGUUGCAUUCUAGGGUCACGUUGUUUCAUCUGAGGGUAUUCAGCUACAAAGAUCCGGGGUUCCAUGGGUUUGGCAGGGUAUUACCAUCAUUUUGUGGAAGGGUUUUCACUUAUUGCAGCCCCGAUGGCCAGGUUGAUCAACAAAGGGGGCCCAUUUCAUGUGGUCGGACGAGCAUGAGCGAGCUUUUAGAAGAUCAAGAGAGCUUUGACUACGGCACAGGUGUUGGUUUUGCCCACAGGUUCAGGGCCACAUACAGUUUAUUGUGAUGCAUCUCAUAUUAUACUUGGUGCGGUGUUGAUGCAGGAUGGCAAUGUCAUUGCUUAUGCUUCACGACAGUUGAAGAUUCAUGAGAAUCAUUAUCUAGUUCAUGAUUUAAAGUUAGCAACAAUUUUUCAAGCGUUGAAUAUUUGAAGGCAUUAUCUAUAUGGCAUGUCAUGUGAGGUGUUCACGGAUCACAAGAGUCUAUAGUAUUUGUUCGAGCAGAUGGAGCUAAAUUUGAGGCAGAGAAGGAGGUUGGAGCUAUUGAAAGACUAUGAUAUCACCAUCUUAUAUCAUCCAGGCAAGGACAAUGUGGUGGUUAAUGCUUUGAGUAGGAAGUCAGCCAGUAUGGGUAAUCUUGCGUAUAUUCUGAUCGGUGAGAUACCACUAUCUUUGGAUGUUCAGGCUUUGGCCAAUCAGUUCGUGAGGUUGGAUGUUUCUGAGCCCAGCCGUGUGUUAGCUUGCACAGUCGCUCGUUCUUUAUUAUCUUAGUGUAUCUGAGAUCGGCAAUAUGAUGAUUCUCAUUUGUGUGUCCUUAGGGACAUGGUGCAACACAGAGGUACCAAGCAGGUUACAUUGGGAGAUAAUUUUGUUUUGAGGAUGCAGGGUCAUAUUUAGGUGCCUAAUGUAGAUGGACUUCAAGAGUUGAUUUUAGAGGAGGCACAUAGUUCUCAAUACUUUAUUCAUCCGGGUGCCGCUAAGAUGUACCAGGAUUUGUGGCAGCAUUAUUGGUGAAGGAGGCUGAAGAAGGAUAUUGUUGCAUAUGUGGCUCGGUGUUUGAUUGUCAGCAGGUAAAGUAGGAGCAUCAGAGACCUGGUGGUUUGUUCCAAAAGAUUGAGAUUCCAAAGUGGAAGUGGAAGAGUAUCACUAUAGACUUUGUUGUUGGGCUCCCACAUACUUAGAGGAAGUAAGAUGAAGUGUGGACUAUUGUUGAUAGGCUAACUAAAUCAGCAUAUUUCAUCUCUAUGGCAGUUUCUUAUUCUUCUAAGAGGUUAAGAGAUCUAUAUUCGGGAGAUUGUUUGUCUUCAUGAUGCGCCCGUGUCUAUCAUUUUGGAUCAAAGUACACAUUUUACCUCACAUUUCUGGAGAGCAGUUCAGCAUGAUUUGGACACACAGGUCGAGUAGAGCACAAUAUUUCAUCCUCAGACGAACGGGUAGUCCAAGCGUACUAUUCAGAUUUUGGAGGAUAUUCUCUGACCUUAUGUCAUUGACUUUGGAGGCUCGUGGGAUCAGUUCUUGCGUUUAGCGAAGUUUGCUUACAACAACAGCUGGUCAAGCAUCUAGAUGGCUCAUUAUUAGGCUUUAUAUGGUAGGUGGUGUCGGUCGUCGGUUGGAUUGUUUGAGCCAAGAGAGGCUUAGUUGUUGGGUAUGGAUCUAGUACAGGAUGCCUUAGACAAGGUCAGGAUCAUUCAGGAUAGGCUUCGUACAACUCAGUCCAGGAAAAAGAGUUAUGCCAGCCAUAAGGUCUGUGAUAUCGCAUUCACGGCCGGUGAGCAUUUCUUGCUUCGGGUGUCACCUAUGAAGGGCGUGAUAAGAUUUGGGAAGAGGGGAAAGCUUAGCCCUAGAUUCAUUGGCACGUUUUGAGAUUCUUGAUCGAGUGGGAGAGGUGGCUUACAUGUAUGCGUUACCGUUCAGCUUAUCAGUAGUGCAUCUAGUAUUUCAUGUGUCCAUGCUUUGGAAGUAUCAUGGCGAUCCAUCCCACGUGUUAGACUUCAACACUAUCCAAUUGGACAAGGACUUGUCCUAUGAGGAUGAGCCGGUAACUAUUCUAGACCAGAAGAUUCUUCAGUUGAGAUCGAAGAGUUUUUCUUCUAUUCGCAUUCAGUGGAGAGGCCAGCAUGUUGAUGCAGCGACUUGGGAGCCCGAGUCCGAUAUGCGGAGCCUAUAUCCCCAUAUUUUCUCCGACUCAAGUACUUUUCAUAUGCCCGCUCGAGGACGAACGGCUGUUUUAGAGGUGCUGAAUGUGAUGACCCAAAAGUUCAUCACUCGUUUUUAAAGUAAAUUUAGUGUUCUGAAGCCUUAAAACCCUCUUUUUUCUCGCUUUGAUUUGUGUGCACAGUCCGGGCCCGUUUCCAGAAGGCUUUUAUGUGAAAACUAAGUGAAAUAAGGAAAUUAGCUUUUAAAAUGAAAUAAAGUUAUCUUGGGUAAAUAUUCUUUGUAAAUGGACCCAAACCCGUGAUCUGACGGUCUCGUAUGGUCCGUAGUAAAAUUUGGGACUUGGGGAUAUGCCCGGAAUCGAAUUUCGAGGUCUCCAAAGCCCAAGAAAUGAGUUUUUAAAGAAAAAUGUUUUCUUGAAAAUAUAAUGGAUUUUAGAAGUGAAUUGAUAGAUUUUCUUGAUGAUAUCGGGCCCGUAUCUUGGUUCCGGAACCUGGUAUAAAUUUGAAAUAAUAAUUAAGAUGAAUCUGUAAAAUUUGGUGGAGAUCGGAGUUGGUUUGUACAAAAUAGACCUAUAUUUGAGAAAAUAUUAACUUUGAUAUUCUUGAGUGAUUUCAUGAAUUUGAGGUUUAAUUCGUUCAUAUUAUUUUGAUGAUUUGAUCGCACGAGCAAGUUCGUAUGAUAUUUUUGGACUCGCGUGCAUUUUUAGUUUGGAGCUCCAAAGGCUCGGGUGAGUUUUGGAUAGACCACAGAUGAAAUUGGACUUAGGAGCAAGUGCUGGUAUCUGGUAUUUUUCCAAGGCCUCUGAUCUCGCAACUGCCAGAUCAGGCUUCGUAAUUACCAAGAAGAUAGGCUUGGUAAUUGCGAUCCCAGUGUCACAAUUGCGAACCAAGCAUGGGUAGGCUAUGGUCGCAAAUGCACCCAUUUCUCGCAAGUGCAAUGUCGCAAAUGUGAAUGUGACUGGAUUUUCCCUUUAUCGCAAAUGCAACAGAUUCUUUGUAUUUGCGAAGACAAGACGUCCUGAAGGGGGUCGCAAGUGCGACACCUGCGACUAAUGAAUUAGGACAUAGACGCAUUUUUCUUCAUUUUUCAAACUCUCUCAAACCCUAAGCUCUCUUGGUCAGUUUCUAAUGAAUAAUUCUUCUCCAAAUCAAUUAUAUGUUAUUUCUAACUCAUUUUCUUUAAUCAAUAACCUCUUUUUACAUGAUUUUAACUCAAUAUCAAGGGUUUUCAUGGGGGAAAUUGGGUGUUCUACGUAUAGCUUAGGAUUUUCAAUUUUUUGGGAUUUGGACCACGAUUAGAGGUCAAAUUUCAAAAUAAAUUAAAUAUUUGAGUUCGUGGGCGAAUGGUAAUCGGGUUUUGGUUCGAACCUCGGGUUUUGACCAUGUGGGUCCGGGGUCGAUUUUUGACUUUUUGGGAAAAUCAUUGGAAAACCUAUUUUGAUGCAUUAGAAUUAAUUUAUUUAGCAUUUAUUGAAGUAAAUUGCGGCCACAUACGAGCGAAUUGGUGCUGGAAACAAGAGGUAAAGUAAUAGUUGACGCUUGGAUUGUGCCUGUGGCAUUGAGGUAAGUGUUUGGCCUAACCUUAGCUUGAGGUAUUAGAAGUUGUGUCUUAUUUGCAAUAUGUGAAUUGUUGAGUAAGACGUAUAGGCAGGGUGACGAGUAUCUAUAUGUUAGUUUCAAUAAUUCCCGUGAGUCUUAUAAUAUGAUUAAUGUAACUUUGUUUCGUAUUGUCCAUGUUUUAUAUGAUAAUUUCUAUUGUUAAUGUAUCGACCCGAACCUCGGGUUUUGACCAUGUGGGUCCGGGGUCGAUUUUUGACUUUUUGGGAAAAUCAUUGGAAAACCUAUUUUGAUGCAUUAGAAUUAAUUUAUUUAGCAUUUAUUGAAGUAAAUUGCGGCCACAUACGAGCGAAUUGGUGCUGGAAACAAGAGGUAAAGUAAUAGUUGACGCUUGGAUUGUGCCUGUGGCAUUGAGGUAAGUGUUUGGCCUAACCUUAGCUUGAGGUAUUAGAAGUUGUGUCUUAUUUGCAAUAUGUGAAUUGUUGAGUAAGACGUAUAGGCAGGGUGACGAGUAUCUAUAUGUUAGUUUCAAUCAUUCCCGUGAGUCUUAUAAUAUGAUUAAUGUAACUCUGUUUCGUAUUGUCCAUGUUUUAUAUGAUAAUUUCUAUUGUUAAUGUAUCGACCCGAACCGCGUCUCAGGUGUGAUCGUCUGUUUUCCCUGUUUUAUGCUUUUAUAUGUUUCAAUAUAUGUAAUUGGAGGGUUUUGAUGUAAUUCGGAUGGAGUUUGUAUCGAAAUGAGACAAUUAGUCUGUUUAUGAGAAGGUUAGUUUGGAAAAGUCAACCGAAUGCUGACUUAUGAGUUAGAGGGCUCGAAUUGAAUUCGCAUGGUUACACUAGCUCCGUUAGGUAAUUUGGAUGUGCGUGCAAAGCUUCAGGUCAUUCGGAAGUUUUUAAGUCGAGUUUUGAUCAAAUACGUGUUUCAAAAGUUUUUUAAAAACUUAGGCCCAAAUUCGAUGCGAAUUGAUGGAUUUGAUAAUGUUUGUGGUGUUUUGUUGAUUGUAACAACUUCAACUAAUGUUAUGGGAUAUGUUGGAAUUUUGAUUGAGGUCCCAAGGGUUUCGAGGUGAUUUUCGGAUGGCCGACCGGCACCUUUGAAGUUGGAAAAUUUCAUAAUAGACGAAAUCGUAAAUGAGUGUGCACAAGACCUCACUUUAAUGGACCAUAUCUCCAUUUAAAUAAUGAUCUGUGUGGGUAUCUACCUAACAUAUUGAAGCCCUUUGAGUCUACUUUCCAACGCAACAAACCGUGUAUCAUUUGGAGGUGUACAUAGAAAGUUAUGAAAAUUUUACUGGCCAUGUGUCACUAUCGCGCCCAGAUGCGCACCCGCGCUAAAAUGUGCGCGUCCAAGAUAGAACGCUGGGCAAACUAGCGCGCCCAGAUGCACGCCCAAGUGCACGACCGCACUAGUAACAGGCCUAUGAAUUCCCCAAGACCGUUCUAGAGUGUUCCCAAGUCAUUUUUGAAGUUAAGGCUUGCUCUCUCAAGGGGAUUUCGUCCCAAACUUCAUCCCUAUGAUACAAGGUAAGGUUUUUGGAAUACGUUAAGUUGAUUACUACUCCUAAACACUUUUAUGAACAUGGAUUGAUCUUGAGAAUCCUUUGAUUUCAUUCAAAGCACUUCAAGCUGGCAAGUCAAGGAUACAGGAUGGAUUUUUCCAGGGUGUGUAAACUUCCUUAGAUACAGCCACAUGUGCGGGUAACCACAGAAUGAGCCUACUUUAUGCACUUCCGCACUAAGCAGGCAAGCCAACUACACAAGCAAGAAGGCAUUGUCUGCGGCUUCCAAUCCAAUGACAAGAAACUCUGUUAGAUCUUUAUCUGGAAAAAGCUGGAAGAAAGGCGAGAAAGAAAGGUUGCCUACUACUAAUAAGGGCAGGUAAGAAAGUGAUGUGAGGUGAGAGUUGAAUUUAUCCUUUAUUUUGUCCUUUCCAUUCACUCGGAUUUCUUCCGUUUCAUGGAUCUAUAUGGGGCUUCUACUUCAAAGCUAUUCACUUCUACUUGAACCAUUGAAAGGGUAAGGGGUAGGAAUAUAUAUGCCUGCAAGGUGUUUGAUAAUAUGCCUAAAUGGCAUAAGUUAUGGAGUUUAUUAUCAAUAUUGGUCCUAUUGAAUGUUUUAUUGUAGGUUGAAGUUACCUAACUGUAUUAGAUCAUUGUAGUAGCACUAAGGGACGAAUUUCAGAUAUAUAUAUGGGUUGCAACCCCGUCUUUUAGAAAUCGAACUUUAUCUAUGUUUGUGUAUUUUUGGGCAGAUUCGACACGCGAGGAGGUCGGUACAAGAGGAAAAGGCAUUGCGGACCAGUCUACGGCCGGCUAGAGGUGAGUAGUUUGUAUAGANNNNNNNNNNNNNNNNNNNNNNNNNNNNNNNNNNNNNNNNNNNNNNNNNNNNNNNNNNNNNNNNNNNNNNNNNNNNNNNNNNNNNNNNNNNNNNNNNNNNNNNNNNNNNNNNNNNNNNNNNNNNGUUUGAAACCCCGGUUUAUCACAUCGUGACGCUAUGUUAGGGAGUGACUCGCACCCCAUAGUAGGUGCGGGAUUGUAAAUGAUUGGGGAUUGUGACUUUGUCCAUCCCGAGAGCUGAGUAUGAAUUAUUGGCGUCUGAUACGUACAUGGUGUUGUUGAUAUUUGGGCUGGAUGCCAUGCUUGAGGCCUUGUGCUGAUCUGUAGUACCCGUCUAGGGUGAAUAUCAGUGUGAUAACAUGAUUUGCAUAAUCAUUAAUCUCAGUCUUGUAUUAUUCACUAUUAAUAAAUGCUAAGUCACCGUAUUUUUCUUAAAUUGACUUAUUAAAUUGUAUUCACCUUAAUAAAUUGGAAACUGGCAAAUAAUCAGAUUGAAUAUGUUAUAUGACUUAUAUGCAUACUGUGGACUGAGGAUGGAUCGGGCUGCACGUCGCAGCGGUUAUACAUUGAUAUUGCACUUGGGCUGAAGGAGUUCUACGGAGUCUGUACACACCCCCAUUGAGCGUCGUCGACGUUAAACAAAUAUGGUUGUCUUGAGCUGCAUGCCGCAGCAUAUUCAUGUGCAAUGCAUUGCAUUUGUAUAUGAUACUUGAUUGCUAUUUUGAUAUUGUUGUGCUGUUAUUUCAAAGCUAAAGUAGAGGACUGUUAGUUUUAGCUUUGCAAUGUGGCAUUUCGUGGAUUUCUUACUUUCAGACAUUUUUCUAUGCUUAUUAUUCACUGAGUCGGUAUUAAUCACCCUUACUCCCUGCACCCUGUGUGCAGAUUCAGGUACACCGGAGGCUUAGCUGACAACCGUGGUCUUCAGAGAUAUUUCCAGAGUCGUUCAGAUAGUUGCAUGACGUUCGUAGGACCUAGCUGCUCUUCAUUUUCCAGUUUAUUAAUAAUAUAUACAUUCAAGAUUUUAUUAUUCCCAUUCACAUAUUAUUAUCUAGUUUUUUUUGGAGGCUCUAGACUCGUGACCCCAGAUCUUUGGGAUUGAUUAUUCAGAUUUCGUAAUAUUCUAUUAUUAUCGGUUCAUUAUUCUAAACUACUAUAAUAUUCUUAAACUGGCGGUUUUGAGACCAAGUAUUUAAUAGAAAGUGAGUGUUGGUCAGGCUUACCUAGCUUUAGGGCCGGGUGCCAUUACGACCGGGAUCAGAGACUAGGUUACUUGGCCUCACGAGUCAUGAGCCGGUUUAGUAGAGUCUUGUUUAUGGGUGUGUCGUGUACCGCACUUAUAAAUAGGAGGCUACAGAACAUUUAGGAAGCACUCCACUUUCUUGAAAUCUUAUCGUGCGUCCUUGAUUCAGCCUAAAAGAGUAACUCCUAAAAUUCCUUCCUCACGCCUGUAUGCAUGCAUGAGCGCUCUGUAUUAUAUAUGCUUCGAUAGAUUGCAAUUCUUCGAUUGAGGGGCGAGAUGUAAUCUUCGUGUGGAUGAUAUUGGUCCAGUCUGGAGGACUUGAGGCCGGAUAUUGCCUAGGGCUUGAGCACUGAGGUACAGACCGUGUGAGCAAUUAUUUUAGACUUAGAUGUUAGGUAUGUCGUUGUUAGCUUGCAUGGAAGUUUGGAAUUUGUGUGAUGAGUAUGCUAGUACUGCGAGAUGCAAUUAAAUGACUUGGUGGUGAUGAGGAAGUCUGCUGGGUAAUGGAUGAAGUGUUAAUUGAUUUGUUUCCUGUCGUGGUUCGAUGUGUAGCCCGAACAUAGCACAUGAAGGGUCUUUUCAAGUCUCCUAGUGGAGUGAAGUAAAUUGCAUGAUACGAUAUGAGUUCAGACUCAGGAAGACUAAGUAGCUGUGUAAUGUGUCAGACGAUUGAGGGUAUGUAGAGAUGUUAUAUUGAGGUGAAGCAGGUAGGUUAUCUCCUGCGGAGUGUUCUGAAGUGAUGUGAUUUCUUAUGUAUAUCGUGAGAAGAUUUCAUGUGUAAUUGAAAGGUAUUUUGUAUGUGUUAUGAUUCGAAUAGGUGCAACGAAUGUCCAUAUUACUUUUGAUAGUAGAAUACACGUAGUGUUGAGAUUAAUGUUGUUGAUAUACAUUGUGAUGCUUUGUCAAGUUGUGGACGUGUUGUUAGGAUGGUUUUUUGUGAUUCUCUGGCAGGUGGAUAGGCUCGGUUACAAAGAAAACUCUGCCAAUUUUUUUGAAAAGUCUGGGACUUUGUAAAGAACUUUGUCGCCUGGGCUCAAGUAAUAUCUGAAUGAAUGCAAGAAUUGCAGAAGAGUUAAAAUUUCUGAUGACUCGUGUUUCCACAAGCUUAUGAAAAGUGAGUUUACUCUCACCAUGAUGUUAUGAUAGCAAAAGAGUAUAUGUGUUGUGGUAUAUAUGGCUUCGAGCUAAGUUGGGAAGGUUGCCGUUAGCUGAUUGUACGAUUACGUAAUAUGUUAAUUCCGAUUUGAUGCAUGCGGGUGAAUCGGUUCUGGUUGCAAAAAUUUAGCCAAGGGUGGCACGAGUGAAGCUAAAUUUGAAUAGAGGUUAUAUGGUGCUUAGUAGUUGUGAGAAAAUAAUAUGACAUCUUGAGUUGUUGAUAGGAAAUGCUUAUUGUAAAGAGAAGGAAGUUGUUUGGUUGUAUCGGAAUGAGAUCAUGUCCUCAUGUGUCAGAGUGCUGAUAAGGCAUGAGUGGUUCGAUUCGUUAAGUCAAGUAAAUUGCAAUAGGUAUAUGAGUGGAUGACUCUUGAGAAUGAUUUUGAUGUGUUGAAGAUUCUAUAUGUAGCACUCGGAUGUUUUAUGGUUGGGUGGGUGACCAAGUCAGUGAUUUCAUUAGAACAUGUCAAGACUUGUGGUAUUUUUACGUCAAUUACGGGAUUCUAUGUAUCAGUAUCUGGGAGGUAAAGGUAGCGGACUUAGAUUCGCAAGUUCUUCAAAGUAAGGUACUUUAGAAAUGGUAUGUUUGGGAAUGUUUGAGAGAGUGUGUAGUGGCCUAUGGGUCUUAGACAGUGUGGUCUUACGUUCGAGUCUCGUGUGGUAAGACUGGGUUCAGUCAUUGUGGCGCUACAGCAAGAGAGUAUAUUAAGUUAAAAAUGAAUCAUAAAAAAAUCUAGACAAAUGAAGUAGCUUGUUAGCGGACCGAAUCGAUAUGGUAAAGAUAUGACCAAUUCCUUGUUUAGUUUGAAGUAAGGAGCCUUUACGGGUAUUGGGCGGCAGAUCUUUUGAGCUCGGAUAGCUUGCUAAGGCUGGUAUGGAUACAAGGAUUUGGUCGUGGCAGUAUAGCUUGUGGUUAGGAAAAAGGGAUACGGAGUUCUCAGGUUACCCUAGUAUGGCAUAGUAUGUGCGGUCUGUUGUGGAGGAUUGGGAUUUGUGUGUGUAAGGUAUGGUUUAGUUCCGAAUGGAAAGUCAUUAAAUUCUUAAGCAGCUCGGGCAUCUGCAUGUGAUUUAAGAAGCUACCCUCAGAUGAUUAAGGAAAAUGGCAUUACAAUUCUAGUAAUUUGACAGGAAAUUCAGUAAGAGCGGAAUGGUUGUGUUGCAAGGAAAAGCAGACGGCCUGUAUGAGUUGCUUUCUUUAAUUUAGCCUUUGAGGCGGGAGGCAGUGUAGAGGUUUUUACCAGUGAUUCUGUUCCGGCAUUAAGGGGCUUUUCGGAUGCCUGUUCCAGUCUGAGUCAACUCGGUUGGCUCCGAAUUGUAUUCUCGAGGAAUAAGUUUACUCGACCAUUGCUGAGCUUCUCAGUGAUCUGGAGAGAUCUAUGAGUUGUUUUCUACGUUGCGAGACAUUAUGAUUUACGAACUAUGGGAAUAUAUGGUACGGCGCUAUCGAGAUUCAUAGUGGAAAUUGGAUUUUGUAGCUUACACCGCCAUAAGUUGAUAUGAUUAAGCAUUCAGUGUGCUUGCGACCGAUACUCGGUACAUUGUGAUUAUGAGCAAUUUCGGCUCGAUGUGCAUCUCCCUACGUGAGAUAGUUGAGUGGAUCAGGUGGCACGCAGCCACAGGGUAUAUUAUCUGGAACGGGUUGCGCGCCGCAACAGUGUGACAUUGAGGAUAGUUUCCGUGUGUUACUUUGUAUACCUUGUUUCCUGGUUUCUGAGGAAAGUCCGUAUUGGGAGUUGCUCGGCGAAUAGCGCAUAGACUAGGUUCUUUCAGGAUUUAAUUGUGUAUAUAGCUCACUUCCUCGCGGGUGUGAUGGAUUGCUUGGGUUCGGACAUCAAUCUGUGUGUGGUUGUCAAGUUCGAGUGUAACGACUUGAGGUGCUUCAUGUGGAAUGGUGUUGGAUAAGGUCGCGCAUUAUAGCGAGGCUACGUGGAGAUUAGACCCUUCGGGAAAGUUUCAUGUAUUCUAUUCCUAUGAUGUGAGAUGGGGUCUCAGCCUUGUGUUGCAAUGGUAUUGAUGAGCUUAAGGUACAGCUCUUUCGUUCGAGUCAUUUUCAUGACUUGAGUAUGUUCAAACAGUCUCUUAUUGGUGUGUGUGUUAUGGAAGUUGUGGCUCAGGCCGUACUGAAGUGUCAUGUCAGCAAGAUGGUGUAUUUGAUCAGAAGAGACCUUUGGGGUCAUUAAUGGAUGCGAACGGAUUUGGUCUCAGCUUGUUGGAAGGUUAAUAUCGGGUUUCGGCUCAGAGAUCUGUUGUGGUAUUUGUCAAAGGGAAAGAAAUGUAUUCGUGAAUGGUUGAUCUGAGGAAUGGUUCUGGUCUACUGCGUGCUCAUUAUCAUUGAUAGAGCAUAGCUGUGUUGGGAUAAGACCUUAGCUAAUAAGAGGUUCCUAUCGAUAAUUGAGUAUUUUGGGAAACUGUUGUGAAUAGAGACUAUCGUUUCGAGGGUCAAAUUGUGUGGUUUGUUGCAUGGGUUCACCUAAAGUUUCAAGUAUGGGUUAUCACAGCCAGUUCAAGCUUAUUCUGACCAUAAAUGGGAGGUUCUGGUCUUGUGUAUGGUUUUAUAGGUGCAAUGUGAUGCUACGGUUAUGGUCUAGACGGCCUGUGAAAUUUUAGCUGUGUGGUGUUAUCGGGCAUAUGUGAGUUACAUUGACGUGGGAUCACCUCGGGUGUAUGGUUGGUAAGGUCAUUCAGCUAUUGAUUGGCCCCUAGUACAACUUUGAGUACGCUCGGGGGUGAGCGUUUGUUUAAGAUGGGGAGGAUGUAGCAACCCGACCCGCCGUCUCAGAUAUUAUCGCCCCGUUUCCCCUGUUUUGUGCUUUUAUAUGUUUCAAUAUAUGUAUUUGGAGAGUUUUGAAGUAAUUCGGAUGUAGUUUGGAUAUAAAUAAAACAAUUAGUCUGUUUAUGAGAAGGUUAGAAGGCUCGUAAUGGAAUUUCGACGGUUGCAGUAGCUCCGUUUGGUGAUUUUGGAUAUGCGUGCAAAGUUUCAGGUCAUUCGAAAGUGUUUAAGUCGGGUUUUGAUCAAAUGUGUGUUUCGAAUGCUUUUGGAAAACUUAGGUUCGAAUUCGAUGCGAAUUGAUGGCUUCGAUAUUGCUUGAGGUGUUUUGUUGAUUGUAACUACUUUGAAUAAUGUCAUGGGAUAUGUUGGCAUUUUGAUUGAGGUCCCGGGGUUAUGGGGUGAUUUUCGGAUGGCUAACGGGAACCUUUGAAGUUGGGAAAUUUCAUAAUAGACGAAAUCAUAAAUGAGUGUGCACAAGACCUCACUUUAAACGCCCAUAUCUCCGAUUAUAUAAGAAGUUGUAUGGGUAUCUAACUAUCUACUUAAAGCCCUUUGAGUCUAGAUUCUAACGCAACACACCGUGUGUCAUUUGGAGGUGCACAUAGAAAGUUAUGACUAUUUUACUGGGCAUGUGUCACUAGCGCGCCCAGAUGCGCGCCCGUGCUAAAAUGUGCGCGUCCAAGACAGAACGCUGGGCAAACUAGCGUGCCCAGAUGCGCACCCAGGUGCGACCGUGCUAGUAACGGGCCUAUAAAUGCCCCAAGACCGGUCUAGAGUGUUCCCAAGUCAUUUUUGGGGUUACGGCUUGCUCUCUCAAGGGGAUUUCAUCCUAAACUUCAUCCCUAUGAUACAAGGUAAGGUUUUUGGAGUACUUUAAGUUGAUUACUACUCCUAAACACUUUUAUUAACAUGGAUUGAUCUUAAUAAUCCUUAUAUUUCAUUCAAAGCCUAUGAGAUAAGGUAAGGUUUUUGGAGUACUUUAAGUUGAUUACUACUCCUAAGAACUUUUAUUAACAUGGAUUGAUCUUGAAAAUCCUUAUAUUCCAUUCAAAUCCCUAAUUGAUUCAAGAACACUCCAAAUUGGAUUCUCAAGAUUCUUACUACAAGAGGUAUAUCUAUCAUCUCUAACUACUCUAUGGUGAUUAUUUAUUUAUGAUAUAUACAUUAGAACUCAUGGGAUGAUGAUGGAAAACCAUAAGUGCCUAACCUAGCUUUUGUUAGUUGUAAAGAUUGUGAAAAUGGUUUAAAUAAGGAGGUUGAUGGUUGGGUAUGAAUGAAUGGUCAUACAUAUGUUGUUGGAAGUUUCAAAUUGGUUAGGAAUGAUGGUGGAGUAAACUUGUUGGUUAAUUGGUGAUAGUUGGAUGAACCAACACUAUUGUUAGGAGGUGUAAAUAUCUAUGCCUACAAGGUGUUUGAUAAUAUGCCUAAAUGGCAUAAGUGAUGGAGUUUAUUACCAACAUUGGUCCUAUUGAAUGUUGUAUUGUAGAUUGAAGUUACCUAACUAUAUUGGAUCAUUGUAGUAGCACUAAGGGACAAAUUUCAGAUAUAUAUAUAUAUAUAUGGGUUACAACCCCGUCUUUUAGAAAUCGAACUUUAUCGGUGUUUGUGUGAUUUUUGGGCAGAUUCGACAUGCGAGGAGGUCGAUUCAAGAGGAAAUGGCUUUGUGGACCAGUCUAUGGUCGUCUAGAGGUGAGUAGUUUGUAUAGAUGAUGGCCUGAGGGUUUGAAACCCCAGUUUAUCACAUCGUGAUGCUAUGUUAGGGCGUGACUUGCACCCCAUGGCAGGUGCGGGAUUUUAAAUGAUUGGGGAUUGUGACUUUGUCCAUCCCGAGAGCUGAGUAUGAAUUAUUGGUGUCAGAUACCCACAUUGUGUUGUUGAUAAUUGGGCUUGAUGCCAUGAUUGGGGCCUUGUGCCGAUCUGUAGUACCCGUCUAGGGUGAAUAUCUGUGUGAUACAUGAUUGCAUAAUCAUUAAUCUCAGUUCUGCGUUUAAUCACCGAAAUGAAAUGCUAAGUCACCGUAUUUCUGAAAUUGACUAAUUAAACUGUAUUCACUUUAAUAAAUUAGAAACUGACAAAGAAUUAGAUUGGAUCUGUGUAUGUGACUCAUAUGCAUAUUGUGGACUGAGCAUGGGUCGCGCUGCACGAUCCGCAUCGGAUAUAUAUUGAUAUUGCGCUUGGGCUGAAGGAGCCAUUGCGGAGUCUGUACAAUUGAUCUCAGUCCUGUGUUAUUCACUGUUAAUAAAUGCUAAGUCACCGUAUUUUUCUGAAAUUGACGAAUUAAAUUGUAUUCACCUUAAUAAAUUUGAAACUGGCAAAGAAUCAGAUUGAAUCUGUUAUGUGACUUACAUGCAUACUGUGGACUGAGGAUGGCUCGGGUUGCACGCUGCAUCGGUUAUAUAUUGAUAUUGCGCUAGGGCUGAAGGAGCCAAUUCGGAGCCUGUACACACCUCCAGUGAGCGUCGUCGACGUUAAACAAAUAUGGUUGGCUCGGGCUGCACGCCGCGGUGUAUUCAUGUGCAUUGCAUUUCAUUUAUAUCUAAUACUUGAUUGCUAUUUUGAUAUUGUUGUGUUGUUAGUUUGUAGCUAGAUUAUAGGACUAUUAGUUUUAGCUUUGCUUUGUGGAAUUUCGUGGAUUUCUUACUUUCAGAUAUUUUUCUAUGCUUAUUAUUCACUGAGUCGGUAGUACUCACCCCAACUCCCUGCACCUUGUGUGCAGAUUCAGGUACACCGGAGGCUUAACUGACACUCAUAGUCUCCAGAUGUUUCCAGAGUUGUUGAGGUAGCUGCAUUUGAGUCGGUAGUACUCACCCCUACUCCCUACACCUUGUGUGCAUAUUCAGGUACAUCGGAGGCUUAGCUGACAAUCAUAGUCUCCAGAGAUAUUUCCAGAGUCGUUGAAGUAGCUGCAUGACGUUCGCAGGACCUGGCUGCUCUUCAUAUUCCAGUUUAUUAUUAUCACAUACAUUCUAGAUUUUAUUAUUCCCAUUCAGAUAUUAUUAUCUAGUUUUGUUUUGAGGCUCUAGACUCGUGACCCCAGAUCUUUUGGGAGUGAUCAUUCAGAUUUUAUGAGAUUCUAUUAUUAUCGGUUCAUUAUUAUAAAUUACUAUAAUAUUCUUAAACUGGCGGCUUUGAGACUCGGUAUUUAAUAGAAAGCGAUUGUUGGUCAGGCUUACCUAGCUUUAGGGCUAGGUGCCAUCACGACCGGUUUUGGGUCGUGACAGUUAAACAAGGCGUGUGGAAGUAUUAUUGGUAAUUGAACAUGGUAGAGCGUAGUCUCAAGCUGAGAAUUAAUUUGUGUAAGUAAAUGGGGAAAAGAGAAGAGGUUUAUUGUCUCCCUUGCCGGUAUGUUAUUGCUUUUGAUAUUAUCUCCAUUGCCAGAAAUUAUUACUCAUGAUAUUGUCUCCCUAGCCAGGAUUUUGUUGUAUGCUAUUGUUCCCUUGUCGGGAUUUUAUUGUGAUAUUACCGAUUCCCUUGAUCAAAUUGCUUUGUGAUUGUUGCUUGGUAAGGAAGAGUGUAAAGCACUAAGGGUGAUGCCGUGCAUGAGUUUGAGAGAGUUAAUGCACAAAGGAUGAUGUCGUGCCAAUAUGGUGAGGUAAAAGCACGAAGAGUGAUGUCGUAUCGCAUAAUGUACCAUGUCGUGCCAUGAUAUGAGUGAUAAUGCACGAAGGAUAAUUUCGUGCCAUGAUUAUGUGUGGUAAAAUCCUGAAGGGUGACGCCCUGCCGAUUAUAUUGUUUCUUAUGGUGAGGACUAGAGUAAUAGAACGAAGUGUGAUGUCGUGCACUUGUCUUUAAUUUCCGAUUCUUGUUGAUAAUCGAAUCAGGGUGAGCUUUACAUUUAUCUGUUGGUUUUCUGUUGUUACUUGUUGUUCUCCGGCAGCAUGUUCUCCCCACCCCCUACCUGUAAAUUUCAGCUUCUAUUUUUCCGAUGUAUAUGAUUUAAUUGCACAGGUUUAUUUGGUAGGCUUGUUUUUGCCUCGUCACUACUUCGCCAAGGUUAGGAUAGGCACUUACUAGCACAUGUUGAUACCCAAUAUUUUCCUAUAUAUUUUAAAUAUGCAAACUAUCUUCAAAAUAGCAAAUAUAUAUGGUUCCUGUAUUUUUAUUAUCUUUCCAUAAUUUUUAAGGUUUUAAAUUAAUUUAUUUUCUCCCUUUUUCUCCGUAAAAUUACCAAUAAUUAGUUCCAAAAUUAUUGUUUUGCUAGUUCGACUAUUGUAAUAUGUACUUAUGCCAAAAUAUGGCUAAAAUAAUUUUUACAUAUUUUUUAUUAUUAUAUUUAGUAUUUUUAAAGCUAAAUUGUAUAUAACUACAAUAUUAACCCUUUUAAGGUUUAAUUAGGUUUUAUUUGCACAAAUAUGGAUCCUGUAUUUCUAAAUUGCAGAUUAUGCAUGGUAAAUCAUUUUAGCAUUGCAAAAUUAUUUUUAUAAAUAAUAUACUAUUUUCUAUAAAUUAAAUGGUGAAAAUGGCUAUUUAACUUAUAGCCAAAAAUUGGCUUUCGAAUUUAGCCUAAAUCAAACAAACCCCAACCCAAUUAAAAAACCUAUCGGACCCAGGCCCAAAUCCAAGCCAUACCUGACCCACCUGCCCCAUUCAAUAUGGAUCAUUGAUCAUUUAGAUCAACAGUCCCCAUUCCUCCUUCCUAAAUUAAACCCAAACGAGACCCCCCCCCCCAAACCUUCUCAUUCCUCACUCAACCGCCUCUCAUCUCUCUCUCUCUCUCACUAUCUCUGUUUCUCUGUAGAACCUUCUCCCCCACCCUCCUCUCCGAUAAACUUCAUCUACCUUCUCCGGUCAUCUCCUUGCAUGAAUCCAAGGUGGUCUCACCACCUACCAGCCUUGUGGAUCCCUUUUGAACAUGUGUCAUCAUUUUGAGGCGCUUAAAUAAACUAGAGGCGGUUCACUCGCCUCCCAUGGUUUCCCAGGCCAUUUUCCGACCAUCUAUGGUCGUUCGAGUAAGAUCUGUGACUUUUUCUGCUAAAUCGGUAACGUUUCUAAGUUUUCUCACUUUUUAUGGGUUCUCUGAAACCCUAACUUUAAAUAUUUUUUGAUUUUGUUUUAUAUUUGUCUUGGAUCUGUAUAUAUUAUGAAUCUCUUGAUGUUUUUCUCAAAGGUUUUCUUGAUUUUUUCAAAGUGACUCUCCGUCUUCAAGAUUAGGAUUUUCUUAACCUCUUUUAAACGACGUCUCCUCUUAUUUUCAGUAUUGUCAUAUGAUUUUACUAUGGUUAAACGGUUUGUUUAUGUUUUUCUUCUACCUGAUUCAUCGUGCUGAAAACAAGUAUUGUUGGUCUUAUCCGGGGUUCUGGAACUGUCUUUGUUUAUUUUGUAUAUGUUCAUGUUUUGUUUGAGUUCUUUAUGGUUAGAUCAUGUUCUUUGUUUGUCUUGAUUGAUUUUGAGUUCUUACCAUUUUUUAACUCAAAUUUUUUAAAACCCUAAUUUCUUAAAGAUUUCUUCACUUGUGUUAGCCAUGACUACUUGACUUUGUUGAUUACCAUGCUUCGAGUAGUCCUUAGCCUCCUCAUGUCACUUCUCUGUGUUUGUGUUCAUCUAGUUUGCUUCUUUUAUAAAUAUGGUUAACCUUGCAUGUCCGAUACGCAUGUUCAUUCUUCUCUAUUUAUAUGUCGAAGUGCAAAAUCAUAACUCCCUCUUGAUUGAUCUUGAUUUCCUUGAGUUAAGAUUUGAUUGCAAGGUUUUCUUAUAAACCCCUAAAAUUUUACUCGUUUGUUUAAGUUGAUUAAUUCCAUUCCUUUAUUUGUUGUGAUGUUUCACCCCUGCUAAAUCCUUUCUCCCAUCAGUGUAUUCUGUACUUAGACCCUAUCAUAUGCCCUAUUCUUUUACCACCCCUUAUAUGGUAAAAAUCGAUCUUUCUCAAGAUGAUUUUCUUUCCUUAACUAUCCCUGUUGGUAUCUGUUUGAGAUGUAAUUCCUUGAUUAAAGGGAGGUACUUGUAUUAAUAGGAUUCUAAUUGUGAUUGCUUCCAUAAUUAUGCUAAACCUUUAUAUGUUACCUUAUUUUCCACUUAUUUUUAAAGCUAUAAAUACCCUAAGUCUUUCAUUAAGGACACACGAACAAUUAGUUCAGAAUGCACACAUACAUACUCAAACUCUCUCUUCUUUCCCUACUAAUUGUCCUACUGCUUGUCUAGCCGGCUAAAAGCCAAGGCUAGACUGUGGAAUUCUAUUUGCUUUACUUUUCUACCCUUUGCUUUCUCAACUGGUAUGUCCUAGUUUAAUUUUAAAGUCUCAACAACAACAAGCUUCUCUUAUUGUUUCAGUUUUCUCUCAUUUUUGGUCUACUUCUACUUGUGGUUCUAUUGUAAAACCUGUAGUUUAGUUACAUUACAGGGAUGCUAUUAUGUUUCCCCUUCCUUUAUGUUGAUGCAUUCCUUUAUGUGUGUUUCCAAGAAUUCCUUUUCAAUCAUUUACUGUCUACUUACCAUCUUAUGAAUCCCAAAUCCCUAUCCCUUCCAUGUGUUUAUGUUCUUUCUGGCUGGUUUAUGAUUAUGCCAGUAUCAGCUAAUGUUGUGCAUGUCCAAACCAGACCCUUGCUAGGGUUAUGUGUUUACAGUUAAACAUCUCUGUAUUGAUCGUAGCAAACCCAACCAUACACGAUGGUAGGAAGAGCGGGCAAUAAAACUUUUACCCGAAUAGUGGUAUCGGGGUUGAUUUUACAUAGGGAGCUUGGAAUGGAGUUGCGUAUUUGUCUAGACUAGGAAUGUGUUUGUGCUCCUAAUUGCACUCCUAACAUUUUUGGAUUUUUGUUUAUCAACUACAGAUUAAGACUAAUUUAUGCUAAAGGAAUAUUUUUCAAGUUUUAAUUAAUAUAGAGAAAGGCACUUGGGUCUUGGCAUCACCUAGGUUUUUAACUAACGGGUAAAGACUACUAAUAAUAGAUUGGCAUAUUUGAGAUCAAUGUUAUAACCGUUGCAUAAUUUUACCCACUCUCACACAUCUCGGUAGAAAGAGUGAUUUUGCCCAAUUGACUCUCGAGAGACUAAUUGGGUAGGCCAAUUAGACCAAGCAACUAGGGUUCAAGUAGGGUGAUUACUCUCUUGAGGUCUAACCCGUUAAUUGAGACUACCAUUUCUCAUGGGUCCAUCCCAACUCCUUGUUGGGUCAAUUUUGGGGUCGUAGACUCUCUUUAUCAAGAAGAGUCAAGACCCACUAAGCUAGAAUCAAUGUUUGCAACCACCAAUCCUUAAUUAAAUUCUCAUGGGUCCAUCCCAAUUCCUUGUUGGAUCAAUCUUGGGGUCAUAGACUCUCUUUCUCAAGAAGAGUCAAGACCCACUAAGCUAAAAUCAAUGUUUGCUACCACCAAUCCUUAAUUAAACCAUAAAAUUAACCCAAAAAACAAACACCUAAUAUCAAUCUAUCAUUAAGAAGCAACACCCAUCAAUUACCCAUACUAGGGUUGAGCCACAACCCUAGCUAAUGGGGUUAACUAGACAUAAUUAAAGAAUAAAAAGAAGAAAUUGAAGAAGAAACAACCAUAUUAAUUAAUUGCUAAUGUUAAACUACAAUAAUCUAUGAAGAAAUANNNNNNNNNNNNNNNNNNNNNNNNNNNNNNNNNNNNNNNNNNNNNNNNNNNNNNNNNNNNNNNNNNNNNNNNNNNNNNNNNNNNNNNNAGCUAAAAAGCCUAAAAUAGGCUAAAACAUAUGUCUCACGAGCGCAUUAGCUAUCUGAUGUUCAAAACUUGACCUAAAAAUGGCAAAUGUUCUAUUUAUACUGGGCUAGAAAAUCUGGACAAAAUACCCCUUUGGGGUCAGUGCGGGCCGCAAAAACACGACCGUGGCCGCAGUUGGCUAUUUGACUUCUAAUUCUUAUUCUCUGAAACAUGUAUUGCGGACAACAUAAAGUUGUGAUACGGCCGCAUAGAGAACAGCGCAGACCGCAUAAACAUGUUUUGUGGCCGCAUGAAUGGCUUGUGUCUGAGCUCUGAACUCUCUUUGUGCGGACCGCGUGAACAAAGUGUACGGCCGCAUUAGUUGGAAGCGGCCGCGUGGCUCGCUACUGGAAACUGGCGCUUCUCUGAAAUCCUAUGGUGCAGCCACAUGACAAGAAGGUGCGGCCGCAUGAGUUGGACGGGGGCCGCGUGCAUUUGACCGCGGCCGCGUGGAUGGACUUGUAAUUUGUGCCAUCUCUAAAAUUAUCUAAUGCGGCCGCAUGACAUGAUGGUGCAGCCCGCACCAAACUCUGAAUUUCAUCACUUCAAUGAUCUUUGACACUGGAGCAGGUUUCACUCUGUUUUGAGCCGAUCUUUGACGUUUUGUCACUUUGUCGCUCAAACCUGCAAUCAAGCACAAUAUGUAAGCAUUUUGGGACUAAUUUGUAGCAAAUUAUACUCAAAGAGCAGGCAAGUAUGGGUAUAAAACAUGUUAAAAUCCUACUUAUCAACUCCCCCAAGCUUAAUCCUUUGCUUGUCCUCAAGCAAACAAAAUAAGACUCAUCCUUUAAAGGAAAUAUCCAAGCAAUUCCAGCUUAUCCUAAAAUAACCUCAACAAUCAUCAAUUGGGACUAACAAUUGUCCUCAAUAUGUAUGCAUCAUUAAUACAUUUUAAACUUUCAAAACUUGUGGAUCAAGUGUGACAUAAGAUCAUCAAGAGUUGACUAAUUUCAUCAAGGAACUUCUCUCAAUUACUUUGGUCAUUGUGGAACCCAAACUCACACAUCCUCAACUCUCCCUAAGCGAAACUCACCUUUUAGAGUAUUGACAGACAAACCGAGGUUGGUGGACUUUGACUAAUAUCUUACAAGAAGAGGGUCACAAAUCCGGCUUUAAGUACCAUAUGCUUCCCCCUUAUGUAAGUAUCAACUAAUGUAGGUUCCCUUCAACUCAAGAUCAUAUAGGGCUUUUGUGGAGUCACUGCGAAGGCUUUUGGGUAAGGAUAGCAUAUGUUUUUGUUCAAGUGGGUUCAAUCUUCACCUAAGCACUUCUUUUGUUUCCGUUUGGCAGACUUUCAUGACUCAUUAGAGUAUUCACUUCUUUUUCAAGUGAUUAGAGAAACACACUAUCACUAUUUUCUUCUGCAAUUCAACACAAAUCUCCUUUUUUCUACUUUUCCACACCCUUUUUUACUUUUGUUUUCUUUGAAUCCCCUUUUUGUUCUUAUUCACAUUGGUGUUUCUUUUUAUCUUGUAUUUUCUUUCUUUUUCAUUGCCUUCCUUUUCUUUUUCUUUUAUACCUUUUUACCACAUUGUUUCCUUUCUUGUCCCCCCUCCCCCCAAACUUAGACAUUUGCCAUUUACUCAAAUGAAGAUUUUGGUGCCAAGAGAGGGUAUCAUUAACAAUGGCUAUAGGCUUGUAGCUUUGGUUCAUGAAAGAAGAAAGUUUAAGGCUCAAAAGGGUUGACCGGGAUAAUUUCAUUGGUAUGUCAUGGAAUUGUUCAAUCUUAGCAUAUUGGAUCAAGGAAAGCUUAUAAUCUCUUCUUAAGCCAACUUUCACUAGGAUUUCGCCUCAAGAAAUAUUCGGGGCAAGUUCUAGACCAUCGGCAAGGAAUUUGGACUCGGAAAUUGAAUUCUCACCACACACACUCAAUGAUUGCUAAAGAUAUCAAGUCAAGGGCCCACAAUGACCUUAAUUACGAUUCAAGUGCACAAUGGUCCCACACGACCACAUGAUGACUGCUUGGUCAACACAAGAGUCUGAAGGCCAUGACUUUCACCAUCCUAAGCACAAUAUUAAAAAUCAAAAGAAGAAAAUCAACAACGGACUCAAUCCCUUAAGAAGGUUGUCACACCAUAUAUCAUUGGAAAAAGCCACCCGGUUAGCACAACACUCUACCCUUAGAAAGAACCAUGGCAUUAAGAAAACCAAGAGCUUAUUAAAAAUGCCAGAACCAAAACAUAUGGCUACGAGCCUAACUACGAAGCUAAAAACAAAAAUAUUUAACGAAAAUAGAAAAACCAAAUGAAUAUGUACAAUAUGGGAGUAGAAUAUACAACGGGGGAUAAAUAUAUACAUAAAGAAGAAAAGUAGCCAAAAUUAUAUACAAACCAACUAUCAAAUCUAAAAAGAGAAACUAAGAAUCAAAUAUAUACAGCCAUCCAAGUGUAUCAACUAAAAAACGCAUGGAGCACCCCCACGAAUAAAAGCUGACAUUGUCCCCAAUGCCAACUACCAAAUAAGCACAAAAUCAGAAAGAAAGGAUAUAGAGAGCUCCCUAGGCCUGGUCCACAUGCAUGGGGUCUCCAGUGGUCCCCGGAUCCUCUAUUGUGGUAGGGACCUCAGGCGGGUCUCUGGCCUGCUGCUGGACUGAAGCAGGGACAGGGUCCUACUGCUGCUGGACUUGCUGCACAUCAGGUUUCUCACUGAAGGGAGCCUCCUUAAUCUCAGCAAGCUCUAUCACAACUCCCUCAGUGUUGGGUAGCUUCUUCUUCUUCCUCGGCUGCCUCCUCCUGCCGUGGCUUUGGUGCUACUUCUGCUAGUAGAGGUGCUGACUCAUCAAAGAACAAGUCUAAAGGCAGUUGGUCUGCGUUUAGCUUAUCAACAUCAGCUCAGAGCACCUUCACCUCUUCCCUGGAUGCCCUGAAUUUCCAGAUCUUCUUUUUUUCUUUGGCAAGCUCCUUUAGAGCUUUGCCCUGUGUAUCAACUGCCUUUGUCAAGGCAUCCUGAGUCGCUAAAAUCUUCUCCUGGUGGGCCAGGACCGUCUUCCAUGUCUCCUCAAUAGACUGAGGAAUCUGGACAGUGGCUGGAGCAGACUGGGCUGCAACUAUAGUGGCCAAAAUGGACAACUUGGAUGUCGAGACUGACAUCCAGUUGUUCAAACUGGACAAUGUCUUUCCUAAGUGUUGGGCCGUCAUAGGGUUGGAUCUGGAGGUGGGAACCACUGGGUCAGUUGAAGAACUGAGGCCUGCAGAGGAAGAUGGAAUAUCAGGAACAGUGGUGGCAGCAGGGAUAGAUGGCUCAAUAGAAGCCUCUAGGCAACUGGCUCCUCAUAGUGGCUAGUUGUUGCAGAGGUGGAAGCUUUGCUCUUCUUGUCCCCUUCUGGGUUGUCUAGCCCUUGAAUACUAAACCACAAGAAUAGGGACACUGGCCGGACUUUGACAUCAAAGGGGUAUUUCUUCACCUUUGCAUGCUCAAAGUAUAUGGUGAGGGUGUUUGGGUAGGCGCAGUUCCGGUCAGUCACAAUCCCAAUCGACGUGAUCACCUUGAACAUAGCAUUCCCCACAUUGAUUGGGAAACCCUCCAUGAUAGAUGCAAUGAGUACCGCUCGAGGGAUAGGACUGGUCUGGUCAUGGGACGUAGGAUCCAACCUGUUGCAUACAAAUGUCAAACAUCCUCUCACGUCAAAGCUUAGGUCCUUUCUCAAAAUCUUCUUCCCAACCUGUAUCCAUUCGGGAAUAGUACCCCGAUGAGCCAAGAACUCUGCCAACCAUGGGCAAACUUCCUCUUUUAGCUCUAGCGUCUCUCUGUACUGGGCAUCAUCUUCAUCAUUAAAACCCAAAUAUUCAUUCAAUGUUUCUCCCGAAAACAAUAUCUUCUUUUCCUGCACUUUAGUUGAAAUUGACCCAUCUUUGAUGUGGGUCACAUUGGAGUAGAAUUCUUUUACCAUAUGUUCAUUUGGAUUGUCUACAAAAUUCUUAAAGAAAUCCCACCCCACUCUAGUAAGAAACUGCUCAUGGACUCGGCGAAGUAGUAGUAAUAAGUCCCUGGUGACUACUCUUCUCUCCGCAAUCACUUUCUUUUUAGGCCAUAUAUAUCAAAAUGUAUGGAAGGCCACCUGGCUCACAAACCUAUCCUGCCACACCUCAGCUUUUCUCAUUCUCUCAAUUCCACCAACACCCUGUACCCCAUUAUCCGGGACACUAUUGUCCUUAUUUGUUGCACCCUCCCCGGCUUCGGAAGUUGUAGGGGAGGUGGAGUAUUUGGCAAUACCUGCUUCUGAGCCAUCAGAUGACUCAGGUUGUGUAGUAGUUGGAGAUCCUGUUAGGACUCUUGGGGAUUUCCCCGAAUCAAUUGAAAAGUCCUGGAAGGGAGGUACUCACUCCCCAACUGCUCCGCAUCGCUCACUACUUGCUUUCUUGUCUUCAGUUUUGGUUGGGGAGUGAGUUUCUUCAAAAAUGCAUUAACUCCCCGGGAGGGUUCACCUCAUCCAGAUUGUUUAGCGCCAUGGCCUCUUUGCUUUACCAUUAUCUGCAAGCAACCACGUCUAGAAUUGUUAGUUCAGGAAAUUUCAGAAUAGUUCCAGAAUAUCAACAGAUUAAAACUAAGCAGACUAUCAGGAGGAAACAUUUCAGACAGUUGAACAGACUAAGGCACGCGGGCGGCACGUGGGCUGCAUAAACUAAAACAUGAAAAGGCCAUCUCUCUAAACAUCAUCCAUACGGGCCGCGUGAGGAGGGCAUGCGGCCAUAUGGGGUCCAACUCGGUUCGCAUAAAUUGGGAUGUGGGCUGCAUUGGUCAACUAAUCAAAUCACACACUCUCUGAAACUCACCCACUGCGGGCCGCGUGACAGAAGGACGCGGUCGGGACACGGCCGCGUCAAGGUCAUGCAGACCGCAUAAACAGGGACGCGGACACGCUGGGUUAUCAAUUCAGGGACAACUAUGUUUAACAUUACUGUUCAUUGCUUUCAAGUUCUAGCAUCCUAUAUUGUCCCUACUCAAUUAACAUUAUUACAACAACAUGCCCAGCAAUUAAAAACGACAACUACACUACCCUAAGCAUCCAAUUAAGUAGAAGUGAAGAAACAAGAAGUUAAAAUACUGGGAAAAUAAUAAAAAUUACAAUUAGUCAACUAAGUAAAGAUUAAUGUAAGAUCUUGUUACCAGGAAAGUGAAGAAAUAACUCUUGAUGCUAGCACAAAUGAGAGUCUCUAAGUGAAUAGUCAAUUUUUAGGGUUCAAAGAUCGAUUUGGCGAAAAGAUCUCAAUGAAGCCCUAGGGGUCUAUUUAUAGAAUAAAGCUGGGACCCAUUACUUGCCCUCCAACGCGGCCGCGUAAACACGACCGUGGGCCGCGCUAAUACUUACCAAUUAUAUGCUGCAGACACAGGGUCAUGCGGACCGUGUAACGGAGAACGCGGCCACAUGGGAUCAAUGUGGGCCGCUUAAACAAGGACGUGGUCGUGUGAUCUAACUUUAAAGACUAACCACCCUCAGGUUUAGCUGGUACGGACCGCACAAGUAGAGACGUGGACGCACUGGCACUGUUCGGUGACUGUGCACUUUUGUACUUUUGUUUUUCACUAGUUAAACACAAGUCCUUCAACAUCUCACAAACAAUUAGCUCAAAAAUCCUAAUCUACAACAGAAAACAAAGAAAAAGAAAAAGAUAUGGGUUGCCUCCAAGAAGCGCUUGAUUUAACGUCGCGACAUGACGUAUGUUACCAUCAAUAUCACUUCAAGUGUGUGAGUGCCACCACGUGGUUGUCAUCAAACCUCCCCAAGUAAUGCUUGACACAAUGCCCAUUUACCCGGAAAACUUCACCAUUUUUGUUCUUGAGAUCAAUAGCACCAAAUGGGGUUACACCAAAAACUUCAAAUGGACUACUCCACUUAGACUUGAGCUUUCCUUGGAAUAACCUCAACCGGGAGUUGAAACGAAGGACCAUGUCACCAACUUUGAACUUCUUUCCUCGGGUAUACUUGUCGUGAAGGUACUUUAUCUUGUCCUUUUACAAGGACGAGAUGGAGUAGGCAUGAAAUCUAAACUCGUCAAGCUCAUUGAGUUGAUCAACCCAAAUAUUCACCGCGACAUCCCAUUCUAAGUUCAAUCUUCUCAAGGCCCAUAUAGCCUUAUGCUCCAAUUCCAUCAGAAGAUCACAAGCUUUCCAAAACACCAAUCGGUACUGGGACAUAGCAAUUGGGGUCUUGUAAGCUGUCUGAUAGGCCCAAAGAGCAUCGUCUAAUUUCUUCGACCAGUCGGUCCUAUUGGCAUUGAUAGUUUUGGACAAGUUAAUCUUAAUCUCACGGUUGGAAACUUCCACCUGACCACUGGAUUGAGGAUGAUAAGGGGUGGUCACUUUGUAAUUCACUCCAUACUUGGCAAGCAAUGAAUCAAAGUUCUUGUUGCAAAAAUGAGAGCCCCUAUCACUAAUGAUAGCACGGGGGUGUCAAACCUUGUGAAGAUACACUUUUUCAGAAAAUGCAACCACACCUCGAGCCUCAUUUUUGGGCAAAGCCACAGUUUCGACCCACUUUGACACAUAAUCCACCGCCACCAAAAUAUACGUGUUUCCACAAGAGCUCACGAAAGGACCCAUAAAGUCAAUACCCCACACAUCAAAAAUGUCCACCUCUAGAAUUGUGAUUAGAAGCAUCUCAUCCUUUUUAGAAAUCCCACUGGCUCGUUGGCAUUCAUCACACCUCUUGACAAAAUCGCUGGUACCUUUAAACAAGGAGGGCCAAUAGAAACCGCAACUAAGCACCUUAGGAGCCGUCCUCACCCCGCCAUGAUGGCCACCAUAGGGAGAGGAAUGAUAAGCCUCCAAAAAUACACAAUUUUACUUCUUCUGGGACACAUCAGCGAAUCACACCAUCAAUGCAAAUCCUGAACAAAUAUGGUUCAUCCCAAUAAUAAUCCAAACUAUCCCGCUUGAGCUUCUUCCUUUGGUUAGAAGGGAGCUCAUAUGGGAUUAUACCGGUCACAAGAUAAUUGGCUACAUCGGCAAACCAUGCAUAUCAUGCAUGGACACCACAAGGAGUUGCUCAUCCGAGAACACAUCAUUGAUCUCAAGGCCAUCAGAAGGCCUCCCCUCUUCCUCCAAGAGGGAUAAGUGGUCCACCACUUGAUUUUUACUUCCUUUCCGGUCAAAAAUUUCUAGAUCAAAUUCUUGAAAAAGUAGCACCCAUCUCAUUAAACUUUCCUUGGAAUCUUUCUUGGUCAUAAAAUCCUAAGGGCGGCAUGAUCAGUAUGGAUAACCACUUUGGCCCCCAGAAGGUUUGGUCGGAACUUUUCCACGGCAAACAAUAUAGCUAGCAAUUCCUUCUCGGUGACUAUAUAGUUUCUUUGGGCUUCAUUCAUCGUCUUACUUGAGUAAUGAACUCAGCACCGGAUGGAACAUCUUGUUGAUUCUUUGGCCCAAGACCGACCCUACCACAACAUCACUAGCAUCACGCAUGAGCUCGAAAGGCAAUCUCCAAUUGGGCGCGGUAAUGAUAAGGGUUGUUGUCAACUUGUGUAUUAGAAGCUCAAAAGCCUCCAUGCAUUUCUCAUCAAAGACAAACUUGGCCUCCUUCUUUAACAACAUGCAUAACGGGUUAACUACCUUAGAGAGAUCUUUGAUGAACCUUCGGUAGAAAUCCGCGUGCCCCAGAAAACUAAUCACCCCUUUGAUAUAAAUAGGGGGAGGUAGCCCUGAGAUGACUUCGAUCUUGGAUUGGUCAAAUUUAAUACCUCUAUUCGAAAUCUUGUGGCCUAAUACAAUACCCUCUUCCACCAUAAAAUGGCAUUUUUUCCAAUUGAGAACUAGGUUUGUAUCUUCACAUCAGGCCAACACACUGUCCAAAAUUUUCAAGCAUUCCUGAAACUAUCCCCAACUACGCUAAAAUCAUCUAAGAAGACCUCCAGUAUAUCUUCCACCAUGUCGGUGAAACUUGCCAUCAUACAUCAUUGGAAGGUCGUUGGGGCAUUACAUAAUCCAAACAGCAUUCUCGAAAAUGCAAAUGUGCGAUAGGGACAAAUAAAGGUCAUCUUUUCUUGGUCUUCCGGGGCGAUGAAAAUGUGAUUGUACCCCAAAUACCCAUCUAAAAAGCAAUAGAAUGAUCGACACGCAAGGAGAUCAAGUAUUUGAUUGAGGAACAGCAAUGGAAAAUGAUCCUUUCGAGUCACCUUGUUAAGCUUUCUAUAAUCCAUACAAACUCUCAAUCCCGUUACCGUCUGAGUAGGAAUCAACUCAUUCUUAGCAUUGGUCACCAUAGUCAUCUCACCCUUCUUCGGUACAUAUUGCACUGGAGAAGUCAAUGAGCUGUCAGAAAUAGGAUACACCACAUCGGCGUCAAGCCACUUGAUAACUUCUUUUUUGACAACUUCUUGCAUAGCUUCGAUGAGUCUUCUUUGGUGUUCAAGUGAAGGCCUUGCAUACUCCUCCAAAAUGGUCUUAUCCAUGCAAAAGGCGGGGCUUAUACCCCGAAUAUCCGCCAAUGUCCAUCCAAUCGCCCUCUUGUGCUUCUGUAAAACUGCCAAAGUGGCGCCAACCUGCACGUUAGUUAAGCAAGACGAAAGCAUAAUAGGAAAAGUGAAAUUAGGGCCAAGUAUUGAUAUCAGAAGUGAGGAGGAAGUGGUUUCAACUCCAACACCGGCGGCUUCUCAAUAGAUGGAUUUGAGGGAGUUUUGUGAUUCUCAAGAUCCAAGGAUAACUUCCUAGGCUCAUAAGAAUACAAGCCCAUGCCAUGCAAAGCAUUUACGCAUUCAACUCUCCUGGCAUCAUCAUUAACAUCCAUGUUCAAAAGCACAGCUUAAAGUGGAUCUUCAACAUUAAUCAUUGCGCUUCUGUCAUCUACUAUCACCGCCGUGAUAAUGUCAACAAACGAGCACACCUCGGUGCUAUUUGGUUGUUUCAUAGACUUGCACACCUGGAACACCACCUUUUCAUCACCAACACAGAAGAUCAACUCUCCCACCUCGACAUCGACCAAAGCCUUCCCUGUAGCUAGGAAUGGUCUUCCGGGGAUAAUUGGGACUUCAAAGUCCACCUCAUAAUCUAGUAUCAUGAAGUCGGCCGGCAAGAUGAAUUUAUCAACACGAACAAGGACAUCACCGAUUAUAACCAAUGGCCGCUUCAUUGACCUAUCCGCCAUUUGGAGCCUCAUUGAAGUCGGGAGAGAUUGUCUGAUUCCCAAGGUAUUGAAAACCGAAUAUGGCAUUAAGUUGAUACUUGCCCCCAAGUCACAAAGUUCUUUUGCAAAGUCAUCACUUCCAAUAGUAAACGGGAUAAUGAAUGCACCAGGGUCCUCAAGUUUUGGUGCCAUAGAAUGUACAAUUGCAUUCACUUGAUGGGUCAUUUUGAUUGUCUCACACUCCAUUGAUCUCUUUUUUGUAACCAAAUCCUUCAUGAACUUUGCGUACCCCGGCAUUUGCUUGAGUGCCUCCACCAAAAGCACAUUGAUAGUCAAGCUCUUCAUCAUCUCAAUGAAUUUAUUGAAUUGGUUGUCACCCUUUUACUUGGCCAACCAUUGAGGAUAGGGAAGAGGAGGCCUAGGCAAGGGUGCCUUGGCUUAGGGCACCACCCGACUCGAGAAUAUCAAUCACGUGUUCUCUAGACGGGUUCACAGCUUCUUGUGUCUCCCCCUCAUCCUUGUGAAAAUCAAUCCGCAGAUCAUUACUAACACUUGGUUCAACUACAUCUUCAACCACCAAGGGCAUAUCAUUAUCUCGUAACUCAUCUUCAUCCACCAUAACUUGGUUUCCUCUUGAGACAUCCACAUCACUGCCUCUUCCACUUUGCGUUGUCACCGCCAUCAUAUAAUUGUUGUGCCUAGCCUUGGGAUUCACUACCGUAUCACUUGGUAGAGCACCCUUUGGGUGAGUAUUUAAAUAUUGAGAAAUUUGCCAAGUUGUACUUCCAAGUUACGGAUAGAAAUGUUGUGGGAGGCUAAUUGAGCAUCGGAGUCUUGGUUCUUCUUCAUCAUUUUGUCAAACAUAACUUCAAUUCUAUCAAAAUCAGUACCCGAAGAAUUAGACCCUUGGGAUUGAAACUGCAACGGGUUGUUCGGUUGGAGGCCUUUGAAAGCCUUGCCCCCGGUUGCCUCGACCACCAUUGUUAUUCUACCCAUCUAGCCCAUUGUUGUUUUAAUUGUUGUUGUUGUUUUUGUUCCAAUUCCCUUGAUUACCCAAAUUGUUACCCCAAUUUCCACCUUGGUUGUUGUUAUUGUUCCAAUUACCACCUUGUUGAUUUCCCCAAUUUCCUUGGGAUGUCCAUUGUUGGUUCCCUUGAUUACCUCUAUUCCCUUAAUAGUUGUUGAAGUAUUGGACUUCCUCACUUUGACCAUCAUAGCAUUCAUUCAAAUAUCCACCACCAUCACCAUAGUAAUCAAAAUUUCCUUGAGGUAGUUUCCAUCUUUGCCUACUUUUCAUCAUAUUUACUCCUUUAACAGAGUUGACUUGGCGUGGGUUUUGGAUUGUUGUUGUUGCGCCUUUGCCAAUUGAUUCAUUGUUGUUGUAAGUUCGGCAAUGACUUGGCCAUGAUCAUAUAACUCCUUAUGCAAAUGUAUGACAUUAGGAACACCUUGAGGAACAUUAGCCUGGUUUUUCCAUGCCGAUGAUGUAUUAGCCAUAUCAUCUAACACAUCACAAUCUUCAUUGUACGGAAGCUUCAUAAAAUUUCCUCCCGCCAGUUGGUUCAUAAUAAAUUGGUUGGUUUGUUGAUGCCCCAAUAGAACGUUUGUUGGAUAAUCACAUCAUGCAUAUCAUGUUUAGGGCACUCUUUCACCAUUGUUCUAAACCUCUCCCAUAUCUCAUGUAACGGUUUAGUUGACUCUUGCUUGAAGGCUAGAAUCACGUCCAGUAGAGCCGCCAUGUGACUUAGAGAGAAAAACUUACCGAUGAACUUGUCCGCCAACUCAUCCCAUAUAGUGAUGCAAUGAUUGGGGAGCCUAUCCAACUGAUCUAACGCCUUUCCCCGAAGUGAGAACCGUAAAAGUCUGAAUCUCAAUACAUCCUCCGAAACAUUUAUCUGCUUGAUACCCCAACAAGUAUCCAAGAAGACAUUCAAGUGUUUAUAAGUAUUCUGAUUAGAGGCCCCCGUGAAAAAACCUCGUUGUUCGAUCAAGGGGAGCAUCACAUUUGUAAUGUGAAAGUUCCCCGCCCGGAUUCGGGGAGGAACUAUUGCACUUGCGUACCCUUGAUUACGAAGAACUCUUGGGACCGCUCUUGGUCCCGUAUACUUGUGACCUUAUUUUCUACUUAUUUCCAAAGCUAUAAAUACCCUAAGCCUUUCAUUAAGGACACACAAACAAUUAGUUCAGAACAUACACAUACACACUCAAACUCUCUCUUUUUCCUUACUACUAGUGCUACUGCUUGUCUAGCCGGCUGAAACCCAAGGCUAGACUGUAGAAUUCUACUUUCCUUACUUUUUUACACUUUUCUUUCUCAACUGGUAUGUCCUAGUUUAAUUAUAAAGCCUCAACAACAACAUGUCUUUUAUUAUUUCAGCUCUCUCAUUUUCGGUCUACUUCUACUUGUGGUUCUAUUGUGAAACCUGUAGUUGAGUUACAUUACUAGGAUGCUACUAUGUCUCCCCUUCCCUUCAGAUUAAUGCAUUCCUUUAUGUGUAUUUCCAAGCAUGCCUUGUCAAUCACUUACUAUGUACUUACCAUCUUAUGAAUCCUAAAUCCAUAUCCCUUCCAUGUGUUUAUGUUCUUUCUAACUGGGUUGUGAUUAUGCCAAUAUCAGCUAUUGUUGUGCAUGUCCUAACCAGACCCUUGCUAGGGUUAUAUGUUUACACUUAACUAUAUGUGUAUUGAUCGCAUAAAACCCAACCUUACACGAUGGUAGGAAGAGCGGGCACUAAAACCUUUACCUGUAUAGUGGUAUCGGGUCGAUUUUCCACAGGGAUCUUUUAAUGGAGUUGCGUAUUUGUCUAGACUAGGAAUGAGUUUGUGCUCCUAAUUGCACUCCUAACAUUUUUGUGUUUUUAUUUAUCAACUACUAUUGUCAAUUACAGAUUAAGACUAAUUUAUGCUAAGGGGAUAUUUUCCAAGUUGUGAUUAAUAUAGAGAAAGGCACUAGGGUCGUGGCAUCACCUAGGUGAUUAACUAACGAGUAGAGACUACUAAUAAUAGAUUGACAUAUUUGGAAUCAAUGUUAUAACCGUUGCACAAUUGUACCCACUCUCACACCUCUCGGUAGAAAGAGCGAUUUUGUCGAAUCGACUCUCUCGAGACCAAUUGGAUAGGCCAAUUAGACCAAGCAACUAGGGUUAAAGUAGGGUGAUUACUCUCUCGAGGGUUAACCUGUUAAUUGGGACUACCAUUUCUCAUGGGUCCAUUCCAAUUCAUUGUUUGGUCAAUUUUGGGGCCAUAGACUCUCUUUCUCAAGAAGAAUCAAGACCCACUAAGCUAGAAUCAAUGUUUGCAACCACCAAUUCUUAAUUAAAGCAUAAAAUUAACCUAAAUAACAAAUACCCAAUAUAAACCUAUCAUUAAGAAGCAACACCCAUCAAUUACCCACACUAGGGUUGAGCCACAAUCCUAACUAAUGGGUUUAGCUAUACAUAAUUAAAAAAAGAAAAAGAAGAAAUAAAGCAACACCCAUCAAUUAUCCAUACUAGGGUUGAGCCAUAAUACUAACUAAUGGGUUUAGCUAGACAUAUUAAAGAAGAAACAGAAGAUAUAGAAGAAGAAACAACCAUAUUAAUUAAUUGGUAAAGUUAAACUACAAUAAUCUAGGAAGAAAUAAAUCCAAAAAUGCCCAAAAUAGGCCAAAACAUAUGUCUCACGAGCACAGUAGCUAUCUGAUGUUCAAAACUUGACCCAAAAUGGCAAAUGUUUUAUUUAUAGUGGGCUGGAAAAACUGGACAAAAUGCCCCUACAGGGUUAGUGCGGGCCGCACAAACACGACCGCGGCCGCACUUGGCUAUUUGACUUCUAAUUCUCGUUCUCUGAAACAGGUGAUGCGGACCGCAUAAAGUUGUGACGUGGCCGCAUGGAGACCACCGCGGACCACGUAAACAUGUUUUGUGACCGUAUAAAUGGCUUGUGUCUGAGCUCUGAACUCUCUUUAUGCGAACCGUGUGACAGAGUGUCCGGCUGCAUUGGUUGGAAGCAGACUAUGUAAACUCAACCACGGUCGCCUGGCUUGCUACCGGAAGUUGACACUUCUAUGGAGUCCUAUGGUGCGGCCGCGUGACAAGAAGGGGCAACCGAAUGAGUUGGACGCGGAUCGCAUGAAUUAGCCCCCGACCGCGUGGAUGGACUAGUAACUUGUUCCUUCUCUGAGCUUAUCUAAUACGGCUGCAUGACAUGACGGUGCGGCCCGCACCAAGCUCUAAAUUUCAUUACUUCAAUGAUCUUUGACACUUGAGCAGGUUUCACUCCGUUUUAAGCCGAUCUUUGAUGUUUUGUCACUUUGUCACUCAAACCUGCAAUCAAGCACAAUCUCUAAGCAUUUUAGGACUAUUUUGUAGCAAAUUAUACUCAAAGCGCAGGCAAGUAUAGGCAUAAAAUAUGUUAAAAUCCCACUUAUCAUGUAUCCCCAAAUCCCUUGACCCCCUGUGUGACUACUGAUUCUGCGUGAUCCCAUUUUAAGGUGUUUGAGUUUUCUUUAAUCUACAACUGCUUUCAAUCAUCUCUGUACUGAUUGCUUACAAAAUGACUUGUUAGUCCAGUUUUAAACUAACUCCUUUCAAACAUGUGUUCUGCACUUUCACUAUACUCUUAGAAUACUAGGUUCUGCCCCUUUUGUGUGAGCCUUGCCUUGGGACCCUUGAGCUCCCUCUGAACUUGGACACAUGUUGGCCUUUCCAUACUGCACGUACUCUGUCUUGGCUAUGAAAUCUAGGUGUGAGCACCGCUCGGGAUCCCUUGAGGUCCUUAGGGAACUUUGACACACCUAGAUAUGAGGGAAAACUAUGAACAAUAUUGGCAUUUGAAAUUAUUGAUUAUAUAUCUCAGAGAUGAAGUCCUAAUCAGGCUUCCUAUUGUGUAACUUCUUAUUUUCAUUGCUACUUAUGUAAUUCACUGAGAUGGUCUUAAUAAUUUGGAAACAAGUAUUGGGGUUGGCUAGUAAAAAGUGAUAGGGUAAAUAUGUAUGCUGUAGUUGUUAAGGGUAGAAAACAUGUUAUUAGGUUUAUGUUCCUAAUUGCACAAUAGAAACAAUGCUUAAGGUUGAUGCAUGCAUUAGAAAUCAUGCCUUUGGGUCUCAUGUUUAAUAUUUCAGCAUGUGUGUCCUUGCAAAAUCAUAUGAUAAAAUUAGCUAAUAAUUAGUAUUUUACUAUUAAUUUCAAUUCUUCUAUAUGCACUUAGAAAGCUUGAUCUUUGGAAAUUCUACAAUCCUGCCAUGUGCAUUUAGAAAUCCUGCUCUUAGGAAAUUCUGCAAUCCUGCCAUAUGCAUUUAAAAAUCAUGUUCUAGGAAUUCUGCGUCAAGAGUUUUAUACAUACACCGUAGAUACCAUGUUUUGAGGAUCUUCGUUGCACUUGCAUUCACACUUAGUGUAAUUUGCUAAUUAUAAAAGAGGUAAAAAUAGCUUCACAUUUGAUUAUCCUUCUUAAAAUAAUUGGUGAUAAUCUUUGCAUUCGUAUCAACUAGAACAUCAUGCUCUUAGGAUAAAAUAAUUUUCACACUAUUUUAAUAACUCAAAAUAACUACUGCAUAUUAGUUAUGCCUAGGCAAGCCUUAGGUAAUCGCUUUAAAUAAAAUCAGAACCAUCUCUGCGAUCAGUGUUUAAUUCUCAACUAUUAAAAUCAGUAAGCAAGUCUGAUUCAGACUUCUUUUCUGAGUCAUGUAAUAAAUCUGGUUCUGCUGUUAUCACUUAAACACCAUGCAUUAUGAUUUAAAUUCAGACUUUAAUUGUGUAUGAUUCAUGAUGUCUAUGUGCAUUAUUCGUGGAGGUAUAUCUGAGCCUUCUAUUGUUUCUGUAUUUUACCCUUUAAAUGCAGUCCUACUUGUUUUGUAUGUUGCCUUGGAAUUUUACCUUUAAACCUAAGGGUAUGCCUAUAUAACGACUCGACCAGUCAUUUUGAGCUCUAGCACGGCGUUCAGUACUCUGAGGCCAUGGGCAGCUUUAUUUCAGGUAUUAUGACUUGUACGCGUGGUCAAAAUUGAACUGCAGGAAAUUUAGAGUUGAUUUGGAGAGAGAAUUCUCAUUUCGGAAGCUUAAAGUUGAAAGAAUUAACUAGAAUUAGAUUCUUGAGUAAACAACCUUGGAAUCGCGAUCGAAGGUUCCAGCAGGUUUGUAUGAUGAUUUCGGACUUGGGAGUAUGCCCAGAUCGGGUUGUGGAUGACUCGAGAGGGUUUUUGCGCCCAUUGUGGAAGUUAGCAUUUUGGAUGAAAUUUCAUAAGUUUCGCUUGGAGUACAUUUCAGUAUUAUCAAUAUCCGUUUGGGAUUUUCUGUCUGGGAAAGCUCCGUUUGGUGAUUCUGGAGUUGGGAGCGCAAUCGGAAAUGAAUUCACAGGUCUGUAAGUCAUUUUGUAGUCAUUUGGCCAAAGAUAGAAAACUGAAAGUUUUUGGAGAAGUUUGAGCGGAAUUGGACUUUUUGAUAUCGGGGUCGGAUUCCGAUUCCGGAAGUUGUAGUAGGUCUGUAAUGUCAAAUUUGACUUGUGUGCAAAAUUUAAAGUCAAUCGGACAUAAUUUGAUAGGUAUUGGCAUCAAAAGUAGAAGUUUGAAGUUCUAAUGUUCAUGAAGCAUGAAUUGGAGGUUGAUUCAUGAUUUUAGCAUUGAUUGGUAUGAUUUGAGGCCCCGAUCAGGUCCGAGUUAUGCUAUGGAGUGGGUUGGUGUGAUUGGACGGGGUUCCGGGGGCCUCAGGUGUGUUUUGGGUUAUAUAGCGCUCUUAUUUGUUGUUUCAAUAUCAUUUCUUUGGACAUAAAGGGGUACCAUAUCAAGAAAAUGAGCUCCAAAUUAAGUUUUUAUUGAACCAUUGGAUCCAUAUCGAAAUUUUGGAGCCAUAGCAAAAAGAAUCAUCGAAUUAGGACAUCGUAUGAGGAAGUUAUGCUCAUUUUUGUGUGGGGAAAAAUGUUACUUCAGGUAUGGUUGAAAUUGCAACCAUAUCCAUCUCAAUUGCAAUGCCUAGUUCACAAUUGCGAAAUUUUUGUCGCAAAUGCGACCUUUUCCAUCCCUUCUUUGUUCGCAAUUGCAAAGACUUUCUUCACUUUUGCGAGGGUUCGUGAUUGCGAACCCUGGUUCGCAAAUGUGACAUCUGCAGCUUGAUUUUAACUAUGUAACUCGAGUUUUUGCUUCAUUUUAUCAUAUUUUAAGCCCUAGGUCCAAGAGUGAACGAUUUUGAGAGUGGAUUUUUAUAUCAAAUCAUUGGGUAAGUUCCUCUAAUUAAUUUUCAACAAUAUUUUGUGAUUAUACCUUAUAUUUAACAUCAAAAUUCAUGAGAAUCUAAAGGAGAAUUUGGAGUUUUAGAGAAAAACUUAGAAAUUGAGAUUUUUGGAUUUUGACCACGAUUUUGGGCGUAGAAGUGAGAAUAAAUUAUAUAUUUGAGUUCGUAAGGUCAAGGGUAAACUUUAUCUUCGGAAAAUUUUAGAAUCCUAGCACGUGGGCCCGCGGGCAAUUUUGUCAACUCUUAGUUUGGUGUUAGGAAUUUAUGAUAAAUUGGACUAUAAUAGUAAUUUAACAUAUAUUAAUGGGUUUAUAUAAUUAUUGGCUAGUUUUGGAGUAUUUUUGCAUCGAUUUGAGUCUUUGAAAGGGCGUGGAAUGUCUGUUAUGGAACUUCAGAACGAGUUGAGUCACCUUUCUAACCUUGUAAGAGGGAAUUGUCCCUAUAGUUGAGUUAAUUGGUUAUGUGCUCCUAAUUCGAAAGGGCAUGGAAUGCCGUUUAUGGAACUUUGGAGCGAGGUGAGCCUUUUUUCUAACCUUGUAAGAGGAAAUUGUCCUCAUAGGUGAGUUAAUUGGUUAUGUGCUCCUAUUAGUGGGGGCUACAUAUGCACGAGAUGAUGAGAGUCCGUGCGUAGCUACUAUUAUGCUAUUGUCCGAGUAGUUUAGGACCCAAGAGAAUGUUAUACUUGGUUUAUUUUUGAACCUAUUGACAGCUUUAAUUGCCAAAAUCACAUAGAAUUGUUAAAUAAAUUUCUAAAUUAAUUAAACUUCAUUUUGCUUGUAUGGUUAAAAGAGGAUUUGCUUUCUUUGGAGAAUUUCUUCGUGUGGACUUCUUGGUUGACUGUAUGUGUUUAUUUAAUUUUGGAGCGGGUCGAAUGCCUUAGAAGAUUAAAUAGAUGCAUCUAUGGUUCGAGCCUUUCGACCCUCAGCAGUGCACAAUUUACAUUUUUGUUGGAGCAGGCUGUCAACCUCCACAUGAUUUGCGCAUGCUUGUAUUGCUGCCUUGAACUUAUUAAAGUUGUUAUUGCCUCUUCAUGGCUUGAGAAUAUUUGGAUAGUAACGAAAAGAAAUUUUGAAAAUUUCCUGUAAAUAAAUAAUUAUUUAUCUGUUUCCUUCUAUUGGAUAAAAAUCAUGUCUAUAGAAAUCCAAGAUCUAAUGUAUUAAUUGGAUAAUAACGAAAAGGAAUUUUUAAAAUUUUCUAUAAGAGAAAUAAUUGUUUACUUGUUUUCUUCUAUUGGAUUAAAAUCAUGUUACAGAAAUCUACGAUUUAAUGUAUUAUUGACAUCAUUAUUGGACCUCUAGUAAGUGUCGAAGUUGACCAUCUCGUCUCUACUUCUUCGAAAUUAGACGGGAUACUCAGUGAGUACAAGUUGUUUUCUUACUCAUGCUACACUUCUAUGCAUUUUUGUUGCACAGGUAUAUAUAACUCUAGUGGCCUACUGGGCAAGCAGUACGGAUGCUUCUGGGACUAGGUGACUUCAUUAUUUGAGGCGGCCCGCAGCUAGUAUAGUCCCUUCCAGUAUAUUAUAUUUACUUUUUCUCCAAUGUAUUCCGGACGGAUAUUGUAUUUUAUUUCCUUUUUAGUAGACACUCAUGCACUUGUGACACCGGGUUCUUGGAUGGUAAUAGGAUUUUUAAAUAUUAAGUUUGUUAAAGACACCAUGGUUAUUUCUGUAAAGUUCAUUAUUUGUUAUUUAAUGUAUAAAGGAAAAUGACUUAAGCAAAUAUUAAAAUUGGAAGUUAAAUAAGUAUUUUGGUUGGCUUGCCUAAUAGCGGUGUCCGGCGCCAUCGCUACCCUUAGAGAAUUUUGGAUUGUGACAACAUGGUAUCAGAGCGCUAGGUUCCCGUAGGUCUCACGAGCCAUGACCAAGUCUAGUAGAGUCUCGCGGAUCGGUACGAAGACAUCUGUACUUAUCUUUGGGAGGCUGCAGGCUAUUAGGAGUACUUCCCUUCUUGAUUCCUUAUCAUGCGAUUUGAUUCCCGUGAGGCUUACGCCUUUGUUUCUUUACUACUCAAUCUUAUGCAACGUGAAGCACUUGUUAUAAAUCGAGAAUUGAAAUAUUGUAAUGGCAAAUUACGAAUGUGGUGCGGGUGUUUCUCCCUACGGGGUCAUUAAGCUACUAUCAUCGCCUUGUGGAAAGAUAUUUUGUUUUUUCGGCUCAGUAGCGGUUAUUCUGAGAGGUCUAAGGUUAGCCACAGCUUGCCAUGAUGCUUAUUAGUGAUUAUUUUGCAAUAUUGUUGUGACAGUAAGAUGUUUGCCUACGUGUUGGGUAAGUGAAUGACUUAAAGGGAGGUUUACUCACUGCAUGGUCUGGAGAUUCGAUAUCCUAUCCCCGGCAGGGGAAAGCCAAUUGGCCUAUGAAUGUUCAAAAUCAGGCUGAUGGGUAACGAAACUUGGUAAUUGCGGGCGUGGUGGAGUUUUCUUCAAUAAUGAGGUGUCGUUGUCCUAUUGAAUGUCCUAAAUUGGCGGGUGUUAUGAUCUUCUACAAUUCACCUUUGGAGAAGGAUAUUGCGAGUCAGUAUUGACGAAGCGACGGUCAGAGGUAACUGGGUGCGCGGGUUCAGGAUGGAGUCGGUGUUUCUAAUGUAGGUGACUCGAGAAAGAUGAUCUUCAAAAAGGUUUAAAGUUGGUAGUGAUUUUUGGAUUCAAGUGCUACGAAGAUAGAUUUUUAUUAAGGCAACAAUUGAGCAGCAAAGUAUGAGGCAGGACAUGUGAGAAGUGUCUGGCGGUGUUUAAAAACUUCUAGAAGGCCGUGUAUAAGAAGCGUAGGUCGAGUAGUUGAUUAAGAAGUGAGUUUUCCCUAAGUGGGAGAGUGGCGUAGCUGCAUAGGACCUUGGUGGUAGGAUGAUUGCACGCCUUAAGGAGAGUUUGGAUCGAUUUGGGAAAUUUAGUGAUUGGUGAUUGGGGUCUACGGAUCUAAUUUGAAGUAUGGGCUAAUAUGCAGCAAAGAGAUCGGUCGUGCGAAUGUGAUUGAUGAUUCAGAGUAUAAGAAGGGGGUUUUACAGAAAAAAUCCGAGAAUUUAGGUGGUUGACUGCGCAAGGAUAUGUCAAUAAGAGAUAAAGAAUUCCAGUGAAUUUUAGAGUUGUGUAAUGGUGGCUUCAAGCUAAGUGGGAGAGUCCCACCGCCUAUGAUUUGGUUGCAUGGUUAACCACUUGUGAGGUUUUUAGUUGUUACCAUAUUGAUGGGUUAUUUCAGCUAUAGGAAGAUAACAUAGGUGGUAAUUUGAACAAGGGGGUUGUUAAAGAUGUGCUAUGGUUGUCCUUAUAUGCUCAUAUUCAGACUUGGGUAAGGAUUCAGGAUUUAUGCCUUGUAUAAGUGCGGGUUUCAAGGAAAAUGAUUAUGCCGGGUUCUUCGAGAGGGUAUUUAUGUGCUAGAAGAUUCAUGGAGUAUAUUAUAUUCAGGGCCAAGUCAGAGCGGGUGGCUCUCACUGGUUGUUAGCACAUUUUUUGGGUUAUUUUGGCUAUAGGAAAAGAACAUAAGUGGUGAUAUUAGCAAAGGAAUGGUUAAAGGGUGCUAUGGUUGGCCUUACUAGCUCAUGUUUAGAGUUGGGGAAGGAUUCGGGAUUUAUGCCUUAUAUAGUGUGGUUCUAGGGAAGUGAUUAUGCCGGGUGCUUCGUCGAGAGGAUAUUCAUGUGCUAUUAGAUUCAUGGAAUUGAUCAUAUUUGGGGCCAAGUCAGAGCGGGUGGCUCUCAGUAACAGCCCUAGUGGAUUCAAGGGGUAAAGUGUGGUGCCUAAUGAUUUCGAGCCUAUAGGUACGGUUAGGAUUCAAGAUUGGUAGCAGCUUAUGAGAAGAGGCCCCGGAGGUUCUAUGAUGUCUUGACUUGUAGUGUAGUAUUUGGGAGGUAUGAAAUUGUUCAUGAGAUUUGAGACAACAUGGUCUCGCGAUUCAAGAUCACUCGGGAUAAGUGCAGAUGGAGUAUGUUAUGUGUUGAAUGGAGUUAGUAUUAUUUCUUAGAAAUCAAGGAUAAAUUGGAAGAAGGUAGAUUGAUUAGCAUAGUUGAAUUGGCAUAUUGGGGUCAGUGAUCAGUUCCUUCUACGUGAUCAAGUUAUGCAGGUGAUUUGUGACGUUAUAUGUGAGCCUUGUUGGCCGUUGUAAUUGAUGUUAUUCAGAAGCAUUCUGCUGUUAUGGCAUGUUAUGUGUAGGCGGAUCUCCGAAGGGCUAUGGUAGCUUGGACCACUACUUAGAUGGUUGCAUAUUCUACGGUUAUGAGAAUUUGCCUGUGUUUUGCUAUGUUCCUCCUGAAGUGCGUUUAGUGAAAAGCUUUUAUGUGAUGAAUUGUUAACAUAUUAGUGGUUCCGGAGUUAUGAUAAAAAUUAUGUUCUAUCAUAUAUUGGCACGUUGGGUGCAGUGAGUGGUAUGGAAUUUGAACUGAGGAUCAAGGUUGUAGUUCAGUGUUCACAAGGAUGUCACAAACUCGAACGAGCAGGAAAGGAAUUUUGAUGUUUAGUCACCUGAGAUUGGUGUUUUGUGAAAAAGGCCUUGCAUCCUGGGCUAAGGAUUCUUGAUCGCUUUUCGCCAUUAGUGCGGACGGUGGUUUGGGUUUGCAAACCUGCUAUUUGUUAUGGAAGGUUGUGGGAGCGUGUCCCACGGGAAGGUUGUAUAAGUGUGGCAUGUGGUCACUUGAUUGAUUAGAGAUUUAAACCAAGUGUGAAGAUUGGGGUGAUAUCAUCAAUUUGGGAAUUGAUGCCUGGAGGGCACAUGGCUUACUGAGUUGUGGACUGUGGAUGAGUACUGAGGUUAUGCUGGUUGUUCUUGUGUGUUAUGAGAAGAGGGAAGUUAGUAUAGAUCGUUGAAAGGUUAUUGACCUAGUUUGGUAUGAUCAUGAUCGACUCGAGGUCGGUGGAUGGAUUUAAAUGUGAAUAUGGGCUCUAUGUCAGGCCAGUCGUGUUCAUUUUUGCAAAGCACCCCUUAAGGAAGGGUAGUCGAGGUGUUAUUUUGUUGUCAGAUAUUUCAUGUAAUGAUAUAUAUUUCACUGUAUGAGUUGUGAAACGGCUUGUUAAUUUUCUUAGGUGUUGAGGUUCCACAUAGUGAUGAUGUUAUAUGAUCAUGAUGGCUCUUGAGAUUCAGAUCAUGUAUCGCACCUCAGUUGUGCUCGAGUUUGUGGAUUCUAGUGUUAUAUGUCUCCCCAGGGAAUGGUAUUAUGCAGUUAGCAUGUUUAUAACCAAUAUUUGGUAUUUCGUUGUAAUGAGCAAUUUAGCUCGAUGUGCAUCUCCUUAUAUGAGGUCUACAUAUGGAUAGGGUGGCAGGUCACCACGGUUAUGUUGUGUGGAUCAUAUGGCACGCCGCCAUGGGUAUGUUAUUUGGAUCAGGUUGCAUGCCGCAACAAUGUAAUGUUUGGUAUAGUUCCCUAUAUCUGUUUCUAUGUGUUUUGUUUUAUAUUGUUUGAGGAAAACUCAUGUUAGCUAUGUGCCCGCGUCGCAUGUAUGAUUCUCGAGCAGGGUAAUUGGAUUUCCUUUUUCAGAAUUUGUUUCCUUUCGUAUCGCGUUUGAAUUCGUAGCCUAUUAGCACAUUGUGACAUCAUAUGAGACUUUUGAUCAAGUCCAAGUGGCUUAUUACCUAAGCAGUUAGUACUGGAUUAGACACGAUUAUUGGAUUUAGGAUCAGUGCGAUUUGAUUAUAUGAAGUAUAUUAGGGAGCAAAGACCAUUAUUUGGUUCAAAAUGAGGCGAUAGUUCUUGUUAGAGGUAUAGACUCAAUGAUUGGUUGACUCGUCAAUUAGUUAAGAAUUUCUACACAUCUCUUCCAUCGUGGCGGUAUUGUAGGAGUUAGAGCAAGGCCUAUGUAUGUCAUGAGGUGCGAUAGGAGCAUCAGAUUCGUGGAAUUUUGACUAAUUUGAUCAUAGAGUAUUAUUGUGGUCCUGUGAGUAAUGCGGUGCAAGGUGUGAAUUCAGCAAAAUUGUGCAGUCAUGUUUGGGUACAGCGUGUAGUGAUUGAUAUGGUAAUAUUAUAUUGUAAACAGUCUUGGCAUUGAAUUCUGGAUGUUGGAAUUGGGCUCUAAGGCUUAUUUGCUUGAAAAGAGGGAAUAUCUUCAGAAUUUAUCGAGCUAACGUGCUCAACUAUGUUUUGGUACCACGUAAAGGUGCAUGAGGUGUUAAACAGUGAUUUCAGACUACUUCAGUAUAGUUCUCAGCAUGUUCAAGGACGAACAUAUGAUUAAGUGGGAGAGAAUGUAACGACCCGACAGCUUGUUUUGAGCUCUAGCGUGGCGUUCAGCAGUAUAAGGCCGUGAGCAGCUUCAUUUAAGGUAUUAUGACUUGUACGCAUGGUCAGAAUUGAACUGCGGGAAGUUUAGAGUUGAUUUGGAGAGAGAAUUCUCAUUUCGGAAGCUUAAAUUUGAAAGAAUUAACUAGGAUUGGAUUUUAGAGUAAACAACCUCGAAAUCAGGAUAUGAAGGUUCCAGUAGGAUCGUAUGAUAAUUUAGGACUUGGGCGUAUCCUCGGAUUUGGUUGUGGAUGACCCGGGAGAAUCUUGGCGCCCAUUGUGGAAGUUAGCAUUUUGGAAGAAAUUUUAUAAGUUUGGCAUGAAGUGAGUUUCAGUGUUAUCGAUGUCUGUUUGGGAUUCCAAGUCUGGGAAUAGCUCCAUUUGGUGAUUCUGCAGUUGGGAGCGCAAUCAGAAGUGAAUUCGGAGGUCCAUAGGUCAUUUUGGAGCCAUUUGGCUAAAGAUAAAAAACUGAAGGUUUUUGGAGAAGUUUGACCGGAAGUGGACUUUUUGAUAUCGGGGUCGGAUUUCGAUUUCGGAAGUUGGAGCAGGUCCGUAAUGUCAAAUACAACUUGUGUGCAAAAUUUGAAGUCAAUCGGAUGUGAUUUGAUAGGUUUCGGCAUCGAAAGUAGAAGUUUGAAGCUCUAAAGUUCAUAAAGCUUGAGGUGGAGGUUGAUUCAUGAUUUUAGCAUUGUUUAGUAUGAUUUGAGGCCUCGAGAAGGUCCUUGUUAUGUUAUGGAGUGGGUUGGUGUGAUUGGACGAGGUCCCGGGGGCCUCGGGUGUGUUUCGGGUUUCAUUGCUCUCUUAUUUGAUGUUUCAACGUCGUUUUCUUUGGGAAUAAAAGGGUACUACAUUAAGAAAAUGGGAUCUAAAUUAAGUUUUUAUGGAACCAUUAGAUCUGUAUUAUAAUUACGGAGCCAUAAAAAAAAAGAAACAUCAAAUUUGGACAUCGUAUGAGGAAGUUAUGCUCAUUUUUGUGUCGGAGAAACACAGCUUGAAUUGGAGGUUGAUUCAUCAUAUUAGCAUUGCUUGGUACGAUUUGAGGCCUCGAGCAGGUCCGUUUUAUGUUAUGGAGUGGGGUGGUGUGAUUAGACAGGCUCCCGGGGGCCUCGGGUGUGUUUCGGGUUGUAUCUCGCUCUUAUUUGAUGUUUCAACGUUGUUUUUUGUACAUAAAGGGGUAUCAUACUAGUAAAAUGAGCUCUAAAUUAAGUUUUUAUUGAACCAUUAGAUUCGUGUCGAUAUUUCGGAGUCAUAGCAAAAAGAUUUAUCGAAUUUGGACAUCGUAUGAGGAAGUUAUGCUCAUUUUUGUUUCGGGAAAAACUGUUGCUUCUUGUAUGGUCGCUAGUGCGAAUAUAUUAAUCGCAAUUGCGAUGCCUAGUUGCAAUUGCGAACUUUUUGUCGCAAAUGCGACCUUUCCCAGCCCGUCUUUGUUCGCAAUUGCGAAGGCUUUCUUCGCUUUUGCGAGGGUUUAAACCUCGAACCCUGGAUCCCAAAUGCGACAUCUGCAGCUUGAUUUUAGUUGUGUAACUCAAGUUUUUGCUUCAUUUUAUCAUAUUUUGAGCCCUAGGUCUGAGAGUGGGCGAUUUUGAGAGUGAAUUUUCAUAUCAAAUCAUUGAGUAAGUUCCUUUAACUAAUUUUCAACUAUAUUUUGUGAUUAUACCUUAGAUGUAACAUCAGAAUUCAUGAGAAUCUAAAGGAGAAUUUGAGGUUUUAGAGAAAAACCUAGAAAUUAAGAUUUUUGGAUUUUGACCACGAUUUUGGGUAUGGAAUUGAGAAUAAAUUAUAUAUUUGAGUUUGUCAGGUCAUGGAUAAAUUUUUUCUUUGGAAAAUUUCGAAAUCCGAGCACGUGUGCCCGAGGGCAAUUUUUCCAACUUUUCGUUUGGGGUUAAGAAUUUGUUAUAAAUUGGACUAUAAUGAGUAAUUGAACAUAUAUUAAUUGGUUUAUAUAAUUAUUGGCUAGUUUUGGAGUAUUGUUGCAUCGAUUUGAGUCUUCGAAAGGGCAUGGAAUGCCGGUUACGGAACUUCGGAGCGAGCUGAGUCUCAUUUCUAACCUUGUAAGAGAGAAUUGUCCUCAUAGGUGAGGUAAGUUGUUAUGUGCUCCUAUUUGUGGGGGCUGCAUACGCACGAGGUAAUGAGAGUCCGUGCUUAGCUACUAUUAUGCUAUUGUCCAGGUAAUUUAGGACCCAAGAGCAUGUUAUACUUGGAUUAUUUGUGAACCUAUUGACAGCUUGAAUUGGCUAAAUCACAUAGAAUUGGUAAAUGAAUUUCUAAACUAAUUAAACUUCAUUUUGCUAGAAUGGUUAAAAGAGGAUUUGCUUUCUUUGGAGAAUUUAUUCGUGUGGACUUCUGGGUUGACUAUCUAUGUGUAUUAAAUUUUGGAGGGGGCCGAAUGCCUCAGCAGAUUACAUAGAUGCAUCUAUGGUUCAACCUGUUCAACCCUCGGCAGCGCACAGUUUACAUUUUUGUUGGAGCAGGCCGUCAACCUCAGCAUAAUUUGCGCAUGCUUGUAUUGCUGCCUUGAACUUAUUAAUGUUAUUAUUGCCUCUUCAUGGCUUGAGAAUAAUUGGAUAUAACAAAAAGGAAUUUUGGAAAUUUCCUAUUAAAGAAAUAAUUAUUUACUUGUUUUCUUCUAUUAGAUUAAAAUCAUGUUUAUAGAAAUCUACGAUUUAAUGUAUAAUUGACAUCAUUAUUGGACCACUAGUAAGUGUCAAAGUCGAACAUCUCGUCUUUACUUCUUCGAAAUUAGACGGGCUACUCAGUGAGUACACGUUAUUUUCGUACUCAUACUACACUUCUGUGCAUUUUUGUUGCACAGGUAUAUGUAACUCUAGUGGCCUAUUGGGCGAGCAACAUGGAUGCUUCGGGGGCUUGAUGAGUUGCAUUAUUCGAGGCGGCCCGUAGCUAGUAUAGUAUCUUGCAGUAUAUUGUAUUUAUUUUCUAUCCAUUGUAUUCCGGAUGGAUGUUGUAUUUUAUUUCCUUCUUAGUAGACGCUCAUGCACUUGUGACACCGGGUUCUAGGAUGGUUAUAGGAUUGUUCAAUAUUAAGUUGUUAAAGACUUUAUGGUUAUUUCUGUAAAGUUCUUAUUGGAAAACUGUCUGGCCGGGAACCACACUAGUGGAUCCUGAGGGGUGCCUACCACAUUUUCCUAGGGAUAAUUUCAACCCCUUACCCUGUCUUUGGUUAUCAAACAUAUUUUGAAAUGAACUCUGUAGGUGCCCUAACGCACCUUAAAAUCGUUAAGUGGCGACUCUUCAAAAUGCAAACCCGUUUCCCAAAGGGAAUGAGUUGUCCCAUACCAAAAUGUUAUGAGCCCGAUUCUAUGAGGAGAAAAAAGGGGGCGUGGUAGCACAUGGGGUCGUUUGUGCUGAUACUACACUAUGCACUGUGUGUAGAUCUUGGUGUUGCAGCUUUUGGACCAUAGUGAGGUUGCUAACUUCAGUCCGUCAGGCGACCCGAGGUAGUCUUGCAGGUGUCCGCAGGCUGUGGCGUCUCCUUCUAUGGUGAGAGUUGGGUUGUGACAGUCCAUCUUGGCCCAACUCACCUUUGCCCAAGUAACUUUGAGCAGUUCAUCGACCCAUUUAUUUAUUGGUUCAAUUUAUUUUGACCCACUUAAAAUGAACUCGCGCUCCCAUUUGACACUACUAUCCAUCAUACACAUCAAACCAAAGAAUUCUGAAUUGUGAAUAUGGGGAAAAUGAAGGGGCGUUGAUGAAAUAAGCACUUAGUAUGUAAAUCUCGAUAGCUGUUUAGCUUAUGUGUUUGUGCUACUUCAAGUAUCUAUAUUUAUCUUUAUCUAUAUUCAUAUUAUUAUAAACGAAAAAGGGCUAAAUAUACCCCUCUACUUUCAAAUAUUAUUUAUUUGUACCCCUUAUUAUACUAUUGGGUUAUCCAUACCCCUACCGUCAUAGUAUUGAGUUAUUUAUACCCCUAUUGUCAUACUUAAAAACAAAAAUACCCUUAUUUUUGAAUGGAAUACCACGUGGCAACACCAAAAUAAAACGACCCUUUUUUUACCCCACCUGUUUUUAAAAAAAACCCACAACCCGACCCCCAUUUUCAUUUUUUCUAUUUUUGAAUAAAAUUUCAAUUUUUAAAAAAUGAAAAUAUAAUGUUAAAAAUAAAAAAAUCUGUUAUAAAAAUUUCUCCCAAUUUUACAAAACAAAUUCUUUUAGAAAAAUCAAAAAUGAAAAUAUUUUGUUAAACAAUAAAUUUUUUUUCCUUUUUUUACUAACAUAAAUUCAUUUUAUACAAAUUUAUUUUUUUAGUUUUUACAAAAAUAAAAUAUUUAAAAAAACUAAAAAAAUAAAGAAAAAAACAUUUUUCAAAAACAAAAAUAUUUGUUGGAAAUAUUUUUUUCAGUUUUUUGAAAAACGAAGAUAUUUUGUUAAAACUGAAUUUUUUUUCUAGUUAUUACAAAAAAAAAUUCAGAUUUUACAAUUUUGUGAUUUUCACUUAAAUAUUGUUAUUUUUGUCUUUUCUUGGAUCACUACACGAUGUGACUAGCACAGUGUAUAUAUGGCAAGUUUCCAAUUUCUUUUUGUAAACAAAUAAAAAAAACAAGGCCAACAAGUUUAUGCUUGUAAAUGAAAGGAGUUCUGAUAUAUGUCUAUGAAUUAAAACGUUCGAAAAAAAUUAAAACUAUUGUUAUAGGACGAUUGUGAUACCUUACAGGAAAAAAAAAUAAUUUCGUGGUUUAACAAAGUAUUUUUCGUUUUUGAAAAAUAUAUUUUAUUUAAGAUAUCCUCUACAUAAAGGCCUCCAAAUACUUUGAAAAUACUGGUUAAUCAAGCUACCCUCGGCAUAAGCAAAUGAGCUUCAAUAAUAUCAGCUCCGAACAAUAAAAAGGUAAUCAGCCUUCGAUGAAAAGAUUUCAAAAAGUCAACCUUUGAGCGAGCCUCCCGAGGUACUCAGCUAUCAUCACAUAUCGACUCAUAAUCAAGGUUCUUGUUUGUGUUGUCGAAGAGUUGGAUGAACAUAAAACACGUCAAGGCAUAAUCAAAACUUCAAAAGUCUUUUGCCAAUAUGAGGGAAAAACUAUAGCCAUAUUAUAGGCCGCAUCGACCCAAUCUAAAAAGAGUCUAAGGGCCAACGCAUAAGAGCUUAAGGACCAGCCUAAAAAGCCUAAGGGCCAAUAUGUUAAGAACCUAAGGGUGAAUGAGCCCGAGUCAAAAUUUUGACUCGAGUCGAACACCAAACAAUCAACCGCCAUCAAUUACUUAUCGAGCAUGAAAACCUGAGGGGUUUAUAUCAUAAUUCCGAUACACCAAAGGCCUUUGCCAUUUCUAAAAGCGAAGGAUCUAAGAAAAUGGAAAAUAUCGUUAGAAAACAAAAGGGAGAGUUCAAGGAAAUUGAAAGGGGCAUAAUAAAAUCUUGGAAGCACAAAGGGAGUAAUAUCGGCAAAGUUAUGAGGUUUUGUCAAAUUAUAACGAUUGUUUGAACGUGCUGAGUAAGCAAAGAGGCCGACCGUCGUGGCCUACAAUUAAUGAUUUUGUGAAACGUUGUUGAUAUCCAAUUUUUUUCUAUGUAUUUUUUAUAUACAAAAUACUUUUAAAAUAGUAUAUGCAUGCAUAUAUGAGCAUCUCAAAAGAUUUUGGCAUUUUUAAAGGAUUUUUAAACUAAUUUAUGGCCUAUUUUUUACACCAUAAAUCACAAUAAUUAUUUCCAAAACAUGCCAUUUUGGAGAAUAGUUUAUUUUAUUCUCACAUUUACAUCAAAACAUAAUAUACAUAAUUUUUGUAUAAUUUUACAAAGCCCAUUUAGUAUUUUAAAAUUAAAUUACAUAAAAUUAUAAUUUUAGCCCACAUUCAGAUUUAACAGCAAUUUAACUACAAAAUCAAUCCCAAUAUUUUUAAAUUAAUACUUACAUAUUAUUUACUAACUCGGUAUUUUUAAUUUGAUUUUAAACAUCUUUUAUUACUUAUAUAAAAUCAAAAAGAAAAACUGGCUAUUUCAAUUAUGGCCUCAAUUACUUUCAAUUAUAGCCUAUUUGUGCAUCUCAAUAUUAGCCCAUAUCCAGCCGAAAUCGAUGACCCAAUUCCAUUUUAACCGAGCCCUUUACCCAUUUAAUUAAACCCGUCCAUUUAAUCUUUUAAUCAUGAUGAUCAACGACCCACAACCACUCUUUCCUUUUUAAUUUCAAAACACCCUAACCUUACUCUCAUUUCCAUUUUAGUCGCUGCCCUGAAAACCCCCUCCCCCCUUCUCUCAAAACUCUCUCUAACACUUGAAACCCUAGUCACCCCUAUCGUCUUCUCCGACCAAAGCCCGCUGCGUCCAUGGCUUCUCAGGCCAUGGACGGCCUGUGCUCUCUUCCCUUCACCCCAAAUCAUGUUUGUUCAAGGUUUUCGAGGUCCAACCUCCAUCAGGCCUGUUCAAAAUCCUCCGCCUAUCUGAGUUCUUGUGGUUUCUCCGGUUGCGUUCCGACGUGUUCGAACCUUGAAAGGCAUAGCCAUGGUCCAGACCUAUUCGAGACCAGAUCCUUUCCAAGCCUUCUCAAUUCUAGGUUUUUAGGAGAAACCCCAAAAAGCUUGUUUGAGGUUCUUUCUUCCUUUAUUUUCAUAGAUCUGUGACAGAUCUGUGUUAUACUCGAUGUUUUAAUGUUUUUCCCUAAUUUUCCUUUUUUAAAAUUAGUCUGUUCAAUUUAGGGUUUUCAAAAAUCUCAAAAACGAUUCUUUUUGUUCUUUCUUUAUGUGAAUCUAUCUGUUCAUGUCGUGUCUUAUGUGUUCUUCUUGUUCUUAUAUUUUUCCAUUAAUACGCAUGUUUCUCUAUUUGUGCUCUAUUAUUCCUUCUACUAGUUUUCUACAGCGUGCUUUACAUGUCUAUCUUGCUUGUUCAUUUACUAUUUAUCUUACUGAGUUUUGAUUGCCUUUACUGGAUCUUUGUUUGGGUUCUAAAAUUGUUUGUUUACUGUCUCCUAAGCUCUAUGUCACCCCUUUUCUCUCCUAAACUUGCUUGAGUUCUGAGCUUUCCCUCAAACCUGUUCUUUAUGAUUUUCCUCUCUACCACUUCGAACUUUCUUUAUUUAUCUAUGUGCUUUCUCACAAGACUCUGAAAGAGUUCUCUAAGUCUGUUUGGAGGGCUUGCCUUCGCCUUUCUGUAUCCUACUCGAACUGAAACCCUAGGUCUGGAAUGUUUAUGAGUUUUGGUCUUUGUGACUGGACUAAGGUUCUACUCUAGAACCCUGAGUUCUCUCAAACUCAUGUUGAGUCUAUGACUGAAUUGGAAUCCUUUUGUUUGUAAUUUAAAAAACUUUAUAUGUCAGUCUUUUCAUUCUUGUUUGAUACUUGUAUGCUUUAUAUAUGAGAGCCUUUCUUUCAAAAUGGUUCUGCCAACUUGUGAUUGUUCCAAUUUCCUUUUACUAAGGCUCGAUUGAUUGUUACUGAUUUUUCAAUUAAACCUUUUCCUUCUCCUUUUCUGACUAAGUUCAUGCAAAAAAGGUUUUAAAUUUCUAGAUGUUUGAUUGAUUUACUUUCUAUAUUUCUCAGACCGUGUACUGUAGGAUUCUUGCCUUAAAUAAACUCUGUGUACUUACCCUUGUUAUGCUACUUUGAAAAAAAUUCUAAUUAUUCUUCUUUCAUUAAUUGUACCAUGCCCGUUUGAAAUCAAAUCCCUUAACCUAGGGUAGAUCCUUAUGUGAUUGACAAAGUUAUUUUCUUGCCUUGAUUACUCGUUUUCUGCACAAUAAAAGACACUACUCCUUCUGCACUUGAGGACACCUUUGCAAAAACACACACAAAGACUUCAGAAUUAAGAACACGUUUUCUAAUACUUCUCACUUUCAAAUAACUUCUCUACUUAGCACCCUUCUCCUUUUCUCUUUACUGUUUGGAGCAUUCUUGAGCUCCUUUUGAACUCUCAAUACUUGCGAAGGAAUUCAUCCUGCUGACUGCUGGCUAUUUAUUUGCUUUUGUUGUUUGUUGUUCUAAACUUGCAACUAGAAUAUCCCUCUAGUUAAAUAAUACCCUCUAAAUUAUGUGAUUAUUUUAUGCCAUGCUCUUUUGCACUAUGUGUUCAUCCUAGUCUAUUAUGCUCUUUUUCCUUAUGCUUCUGUUCCCUUAGUUUGUUAUGCUUUCUUUCUUUCCUUGUGUUUCUGUAGAUAUUUGUCUAUGUGAGUCCCUUCCCUUUGGCCCCCUCUUGUGUGUGAGUGCAGUUCUGAAUUAUGGUAGCAUCCUAUUAUUGCGACCCAUGACUUAGAACCAGGUUCUCUUGAACCUCUACUCAAAUCAAUCCCCACUCCCCUUUCCCUUUUAUGUGUUGAGCCUUGACUCAAGCCUGGCGGUGUCCUAAUCACCAUCCAGACUCAAGUACCACUAAGGUCUGCUCUUAAUUUGUUUGGACCAACUAACUGGUCAGGGGUGUGCCAGUCUAUAUCCAUGUCUAGGCAUGACCACUAUUGUUAUGGUUCUCUAUUCCCUCUCUCACUUUGCACUUAUUCCUAGUUCUAAGUUCUGCCCCCUUUGGUAAGCCCUGCUUUGAAACCCUGGAGCUCCCUCUGAACUUGGAUGCUUUAGGGCUAGCUAUUCCAUACUGCACUAUUAUGUUAUAAUUAUUAUACAGAGUGUAAGCACUGCCUGAAGCCCAUGAGGCUCCUCGGAACUCUAAAAUACUUUUGAUAAGAGAAGGCCUUGGUAAUCUGGAAUCAUGAAUUGGUUAAACUCAUGUUUUUAGACAUAAAUAUUGAAUUAGGCUUCUCGGAUCUAGCUGUAGGCUGUGAUGUAUUUUAAGUAUUUUUCUUUCUUCUGAUUCUGUAAUAUUUUUGUAUAAAGAACUCGGGUAAAUAGUAGUAAAAGGGUGUGGGAGGCGUUUACUUUAUUGCAUGUAAUAAAGGGUAGAUACCAUGCAUAUAUGAUUAAUGCCGUAAUUCAGUUACCUAAAUACCAUGCUUGUAGGAUUAAUGUUGUAAAAAUUUUUUUUAGAUAUCAUGCCUACUGGUAACGUUUUAACUCGAUCAUCUAGCUACUAUGUCUAUAGACUUAAUGCAUAACGCAUAAUACAGUCAUCUAAAAAAAUUUCCCCAUAUUAAUGUUUAUCAUCUUGUAAAUUAUUAGAAACCCUGCCUAUUGGACUUAAUAUUCAUGUAAAAAGUUGCAUAUAGAAAUCAUGUUUAUAGGAAACGCAUACGCAUUAGGCAAAACUAUAGGAUAAUCAAACCUGUCGUCCAUUUACCCACUCUGUAAUCUAGAAAAAGUCUGUCUCGCUUAAUCUUUUUAAUUAAUAAUAACUGGGCAACUGGUUUUAGCAUUUCAGUGUCAUGUUUUCAAUAUAAAACUCUUAUGAGCCUGCAAUGCUUUCAAAAUUUCUGCAAAUCUGUCCGAAGCAAUUCUUUUAAAUUUUUUGCCCAUCUCUUGAAGCUAUAUUUCAAAAUGGUCCUUUAAUUCACUCUUUCUUUUAAGGUAUUUUGCAACUCUCCUGUAUUUUCACCCAAACAAAUCUGCAGAUUUCAAAGUCAUUUCUGAACUUCUGCAAUUUUCAACUUUCUGUUUAAAUUCUUAUGCAUUAGGCUCUUGUCUGAAAUAAGUGCUUUCUAAAUAACUCGUUUAAAAUACUUCAAUUUUUGACAAUUGGAUCUGAGUUGCCUAAUGUAGACUUUUUAUCUAGUUCUAUGUGUUAAACUGGUCCUUCCGCUGCUUAAGUUUUGAUUCUAAGACCAAACCAGUAUGUGUAAGGAAUUCUAAACUAAGUGUUAUCUGAUUUACGGGGUUUUAUGUGAGCCUUGCAUGUUCGUUUAUCAAUCCCCUUAUUUGCUAUUUUUUUUGGUUGUCGCUACUAGUAUUUUGUCCUUUUAUACCCCAUAUAUGCCUCUACCCCUUUCUUCCCCUUUAGGAUUAGAAAUCCUAAUACCCCUGGACUAAUAGGUUGGGAUGGGUACUAGCAUGCAAUAAGUAAACGAGACUAGUCGCAUUUAAAUACCUUAAUGGGGUGGGAAUGGUAGAAUAUGAAUAUGAUGACCGGUGCGCUAAUAUCUCGUGCGAUCCUUCUUUUGAGGAUUGAUUGAUGGGUAUUGCAUUGAUGUGAUCCAUAUUUUGUAUAAACCUAGGACCCCCCUUUUUUUCCUUUUAUUUGCAAUGUCUUCUUUAAUUAUGUUCUUCAAAUUAAUUCCUUUUUCUAAAAACUGUCUCUUUCUGUCUUCUUUACCCUUUUCAAAACUUGAAACUUAUUCGUAAUUCUUAUGUGCAAAACUUUACUUAUUUUCUAUCACUUCCUCUUAAAGUCACAAUUAAAGCAUGGCCAGGAACCACACUAGUGGAUCAUGAGGGGUGCCUAACACCAUCUCCUCGAGAUAAUCUCAAGCCCUUACCCGAACUCUAAUUUUCUUUCAAAAUCGCUUCUUCUCUUGAAAGUAUCCUAAUGUACUAUAAUCAUUAGGUGGAGACUCUUCAAAUUCUAUAACCCGAUUCCCACAAGGGAAUGAGAGUUAUUUAUCCCGUAAUGUUAUAAACCCGAUUUUGCUCUUUAGGAAAAUGGGGGACGUCGACAAUCACGCCAAUGCAACUCUUCAGUCACUUUAAUUGCUUACAUCAUAAUGAUGGCAUCAGACUCAAAGUAUCGGGGAUCGAAUUGUUAGAAAUUAUUAAGAACAAUCUUUGAGUUGAGCUCGAAUAGUCAUUCGCUCGGCUAUUAAAUCCCUAAGGCCACCCGGGUUCGAGCUAAUUCUCACCUGGGUACUAUUCAUGAAGCCUCAGGACUAUCUUUACUUCGAGGUCGAGCAUGCCCACUCGACUAUUUAUCCCACAGGCUACCUGGGUUCGAGCUAAUACUCACUCGAGACUAUUCAUGAAGCCUCUGUGCUAUCUUCACUUCGAGUUUGAGCAAACAGUCACUCGACUAUUUAGCCCAUGGGCUACCCGGGUUCAAUCUAAUUCUCACUCGGGGACUAUUCAUAAAGUCUCAGGGCUAUAUUUACUUCGAGUUCGAGCAAAUGCUCACUCAAUUAUUUACCCCUGUCAUGACCCAAUACUCAAACCUGGUCGUGAUGGCGCCUCUCGUGACGACAAGGCCAGCCAGCCAACCCAAUUCAUCCUUUUAAAACAAUUUAAUUAACACAAUUAUAGUAUAAACAUGGUUUAAUAAUAUCCAAUAGCGGAAAGUAUAGGUAAAAUGAGGAAAUCAAACCCAACAAAGCCUUAACCGGGGUGUCACAAGUCAUGAGCAACUAAGAAAUCCUCACACAAGUCUAUAAAUACAAAAUCCAAUAUAAUAAUUCAAAUAUAGAAAUAAUAAGAUAAAGGAGUCACGGGGGCUGCGACCGCCAACAACUACCUCGUAGUCUCCGAAACACCACGUGGACUUGAAAGAUCAACUCUCAGGUAUAGAAAUCAGCUAUGCCUGAAUCUGCACACACGGUGCAGGGAGUAAUGUGAGUACUCCGACUUAGUGAGUAAUAAAUAUAUGUAAUGACGGAAGGUAAGAAAAUACGUUAAGGCACACAUCAUUCUAUAUAGAAGCAGUGAAAUCAUUUAAAAAAACAAUUCAGUGAAAUUUCUUUUAAACCAGUAAAACAGGUAAUUUGGCAGUAAAAUGACUAGUAGAAAUCUGCCCCUCGGGCUUAAUAUCAAAACCACAAGAAGAAAUCUGCCCAUCGGGCUCAGUAUCAAAAUAACAAGUAAAAAUCUGCCCCUCGGGGUCAGUAUCAAAACAAUAAGUAGAAAUCUGCACCCGGGCUUACUAUCAAAAUAAUAAGUAGAAAUCUGCCCCUCGGGCUCAGUAUCAAAAUAAUAAGUAGAAAUCUGCCAUCGGGCUCAGUAUGAUCAAAAUAAUAAGUUGAAACUUCUAACUUCCACACCCGAUGCCGAAACACGUCAAAACUAGUCUGAAUGACCUCAAACUGUGGAGACAAGUCCAAAAUGACAUAAAGAAGUUAUAGCGACUCUCGGAAUUCCAUUCCGACCCUCGGAUCAAAGUCUCACCUAUCAACCGGAAUUUCGCCAAAAUACUAACUUUGCCAAUUCAAACUUAACUCUACACCAGUCAUUACAAAAAUAUUCCGGACACAUUCCUAAGUCCCAAAUCACCUAAAAAUCUAUCCGAACCAUAAAAUUCGCAUUUCGAGCCCUAUAACACAUAAGUCAAUAUCUGGUUGACUUUUCCAACUUAAACUUCCUUAAAAGAGAUUAAGUGUCUCAAACAUUACAAAAAUCAUCCCGGAAUGACUUCCAAUUUUGCACACAAGUCACAUUCGACAUUACGGACAUGCCCCAAAUUUCGAAAUCACAUUCCGACCCUGAUAUCAAAUUUCCACUUGCGAUCGAAUUUUUUCAAAAACCUUCAAAUUUCUAUAUUAGCCAAAUGACUUCAAAAUGACCUCCGGACAUCCGAAUUCACUUUCGAUCGCACUGCCAACUCCAGAAUCACCAUACCGAGCUAUUCCCAGACUCAGCAUCCCAAACGGACAUCUAUAACACUGAAAUACCUUGCAACCUAAACUUAUGAAAUUCUUCUAAAAUACUAACUUCCACAAUAUACGCCAAAAUGCUCACGGGUUAUCCAAAACCAAAUCCGGACAUACGCCCAAGUCCAAAAUCAUCAUACGAACCUGCUGGAACUUUCAGAUCUUGAUUCUGAGGUCGUUUACUCAAAAUUCCAAUCUUAGCCAUUUUCUUCAACUUAAGGCUACCACAAUGAAAAUUUUCUUUCCAAUUUGACUCUGAAUUAUUCAAAAUUCAACUCUGACCAUACGCAUAAGUCAAUAUACCUGAAAUGAAGCUAUUCAUGACUUUCAACUGUUGAACGACGCGCUAGAGCUCAAAACGACCGGUCGGGUAUUACAUUCUCCCCCACUUAAAUAAACGUUCGUCGACAGACAUACGCCAAUGUCUGAAAUCAUCAUAUGAACCUGCUGGAACUUUCAAAUCCCGAUUCCGAGGUCGUUUACACUAAAUUCCAAUCUUAGCCAUUUUCUUCAACUUAAGGCUGCCACAAUGAAAAUUUUCUGUCCAAUUUGACUUCGAAUUUUCCGAAAUUCAACUCUGACCAUAUGCACAAGUUAAUAUACCUGAAAUGAAGUUGUUCGUGACUUCCAACUACUGAACGACACGGUAGAGAUCAAAACAACCGAUUGGGUCGUUGCAUUCUUCCCCACUUAAAUAGACGUUCGUCCUCGAACGUUCCAAGAACUGCUAUUAAGUAAUAUAAAACCACUAUUUAACAUCGCGUGCACCUGCCCGUGCUAUCACAAGUCAUAUGGACACAUUAGUUUGAUCAAAUAUGAAGAUAUCCUCUUUUAUCCAUAUAAUAAGCUUAGAACACAACAAGUAAUGCAAGUAUAUCAAUAACACUAAUCUCCGCAUUACUAGCCCGACAUUAUCACAAUGAUAUCUUGACAUAAAACACAUCAUUUGUGUGAUCGUAACCACAUUUCUGGUCUAAAUAGUUGUUCAUAAAUAAUUCCAUCAUCAUCAAUAAACCUCAUAUAACCACCACAUCAUUUCAAAUUUUCACAAUACUGGUAACAGAAUGUGAGGCAUGAAGACCUCAUUAUUAAUUACUCGGAUUAAGGAGUCACAUUUAAUGCCACCUCCUAACUCAUCUCAUAAGCUAAAACACAAUGUUUACAGCACAAAAAUGGCUGAAUAUGAACAUAAAAUAUACAAGAAUUAGCAAAUCAACCUAACUGGCAUGACUCCCUUUAAUAUUAUCGUACGAAAUAAACUUUACAAAGGGAAACUUUAAACUCAUAAAUAUUUACCACAAGGACCCCAUCUUUGUAUAACCUCUACCGCGUCUUGCAGCCCGGUUUAAAUAUUUCACAUUGUGCCAACUGCAGUUUUCAAUUUCCUUUUUUUCUUCUUCUCAAUAAAUUUUGUAAACAUUGUUUAGCACAUAACGAAACCUCAUACCAGUAGGCCAUAUAAUUCAUAAAAAAAAUGGAAUCAAUUAUUCCAAAACACAUUAAACCUAUUGUAGUGAAUAAUAAACAUUACUUUAACCUUACCCCAAAAUCCUUGGAGCCCAAUUUCUAAUAUCCAAAAUUCUUUUCAAGACCAAAUCUCACAUACACACUCCGGACAAACUAUGUCAAUCCAUAACAAUAACACUAAAUAUACUCGUAUAACAUGCUACACAACUCGUAUAUUCGCAACACGACCCGAAUUUCACAUACACACAUUGUAUAAGUCCGAACAAACUAUGUCAAGCCAUAACAAUAACCCUAGAUAUAAUCACAUAACAUACUACACAUAUCGUAUACUCGCUACACCCUUCUCGAUCACCAGAACCACUCAAACCAACAAAGUACCAGUAGGAAACCCCACAUUAAACAUAACCUCGCUCCAAAACCUUUGGGCCCCAUCAAUAAUGAAGAAAUAUAUAGGAACUCACAAUACACAACAUGUUCCCCAUAUCGAUAGACAGUAUCUGGUUUAAACCAUGGUAGAAACCGUCAAGAACACUUGGAAAUCCAUUUUCUCCUAAUCAAGCUAUCAGAACAAAAUUCCUCUAAUUCAACCAGGCCACACAGGUCAUCAAACUCAAGAAUAUUGCCAUAUUACUACAGCUAGUUCAAUAACAAUUCUUCACAAGCUUAGGUAACACAAACCAUAAAAUACCUCAAUUCUACUAUUAAGCUCACCUUCAUUCUCGUGACAAUCAACUCAAUUUUCUCAACUAGAGUCAAAUUCAAAUCUCAACACAUGCACCCUGCUAGUAGAAAAGAAACUCUCUACUCAACAUUAUAAAGAACAUACCUACGUAGAUUAUUCCGCAUGAGAUAACCCACCUGUUUUGCCUCCAAUUAACAUUUUUGUAUACCUUCCACCGUCAUACACAUUACACAAUCACUUAGUCUUCCUGAGUCUAAACUCAUAUUAGAACAUGAAAUUUACUUCACUCCAAACAUAUGACAUGAAAAGAUUCUUCACGCGCCCAUAACUUGGGGCUACACAUCCUAUCACAAUGGAAAUCAUACACUCAAUAGUUCAUCUAUCAUCCGGUAGAACUUCCUCAUCACUUCCAAGUCAUAUAGAUACAUCUCGCAGUACUAACAUACUCCUCACAUAGCUAUCCAACCAUCAUUCCUACUAGUAGGAACAAUACCAGACAUAUAAGUUCAAAUAUACAUCUCGCAGCACUAAUAUACUCCUCGCGUAGCUAUCCAACCAUCAUUCCCACUAAUAGGGACAAUACCGAACAUACACAUUCAAAAUACUUGCUCGCACAAUCAGCAGCUCGAUGCUCAAGCCAUUGGCAAAGAUCUGGCCUCAAGUCCUCCAGACUGGCCUAACAUCAAACUCACAGCGAUCACGUCUCUCCCCUUGCUCGGGGAACUACAAGCCAUCAGGGGACAUCUGAUACUGAGCGCUCAUUUGUGCAUACGAACACGUGGAAUGAAUUGUAAGAGUUACCUUUUCAAGCUGAAACAAGGACACGCGAUAAGAAUUCAAGAAUAUGAAGUUCUUCCUAAAAGUUAUGCGGCCUCUCGAGGAUAAAUACAUAUGUCUCCGUACCGAUCUGCGAGACUCUACUAAACCUGCUCAUGACUCGUGAGACCUAGUAUCCUAGGCUCUUAUUCCAACUUGUCACGACCCAAUUCCCGAACCUGGUUGUGAUGGCGCCUCUCGUGAAGACAAGGCCAGCCAAUCAACCCAAUUCAUCCUUUUAAAAAAAUUUAAUUAAAAUAAUUAUAGUAUAAACAUGGUUUAACAAUAUCCAAUAGCGGACAGUAUAGGUAAAAUGCGGAAAUCCAACCCAACAUAGCCCUAACCGGGGUGUCACAAGUAAUGAGUAACUAACAAAUCCUGACACAAGUCUACUAAAUAUGAAAUCCGAUACAAUAAUUCGAAUAACAUAGAAAUAAUAAGAUAAAGGAGUCAUGGGGGCUGCGAACGCCAACAACUACCUCGUAGUCUCCGAAACACCACCUGGACUGGAAGGAUCAGCUCUCAGGUAUGGAAAUCUGCUAUGCCUGAAUCUGCAUACACGGUUCAGGGAGUAAUGUGAUUACUCCGACCCAGUGAAUAAUUAAUAUUAAUAAUGACUGAAGGUAAGAAAAUACGUUAAUCCAUACAUCAUUUUAUCCAUAAGCAAUGAAAUAAUUUAAAAUAACAAUUCAAUGAAGCAUCAUGUGAAAUAUCUUUUAAACCAGUAAAAUCGAUAAUUUGGCAGUAUGACAAGCAGAAAUCUACCCCUUGAGCUCAAUAUCAAAACAACAAGUAAAAAUCUGCCCCUCGGGCUCAGUAUCAAAAUAACAAGUAGAAAUCUGCCUCGCGAGCUCAGUAUCAAAUUAAUAAGUAGAAAUUUGCCCCUCGGGCUCAGUAUCAAAAUAAUAAGUAGAAAUCUGCCCAUUGGACUUAGUAUCAAUAUAAUAAGUAAAUACCUGCCCCUCGGGAUCAGUAUCAAAAUAAUAAGUAGAAAUAUGCCCCCCGGGCUCAGUAUCAGUAUCUCAGAACAGUACCAGCACCUCAUACUUAGAAGAGUAUGAAGCAACCCGUCAAUGAAAUAAGAGCACAUAAUUAUUAUGGCAGAUAAUGCAGAUAAGGAACAAAUGCAUGAGUGCAAUGAAAUGCAUAUGAUGGUACUCUUUGGUACCCACUCCGGCAUGCAGCCCGAGCCAUCCAUAUUUAUUGUCGAUGGCGCUCAUUGGGGGUGAGUACAUAUUUCGGAAGGGCUCCUACAGCCCAAGCGCAAUAUCAAGCCAUCUCGUGGCAUCAAAUAUAGGCCCUCGGUCUCAUAUCAAUAUCAGUAUAAUCAACCAGUCUCUCAGUCUCAAUAUCAAUGUAAUCAACCAGGCUUUCAACCUCAAUAUCAAUAUAACACUGCUGCGGCGCGUAGCCCGAUCCACACUCAAUCCAUAAAUCAUCAUAAGCUCCUUGGGCAUUUGUAAAACAGUAGUUCUCAGCCUGACAUAUUAUUUAGAAAUAUUAUUUAAGUUUUUAAAUCUUAGAAAGAUGGCUGAGUUUGCACAACAGUAUUUAAAACCUUGGACUGAGAUCAAAUGAUAUGCAAAAUAUGCGAAAACAAUGAUAUCAAUCCCAGAAGGAUUCAAAUAAUUGGCAAGAAGCCCAAAUGUAACAAUCAAAUCCAAGUAAGGAUGAUGCUUAAUUUAGUUCAAGUAGAAAAGACGGUAAAAACAUCUCUCGGGGCAGACCAAGUAACAAUCCCCAAUGAUGCUCUACCCCACGCCCAUUAUCCGAAGUGCAAGUCACCUCAAUAUAGCGUUACGAUGUGAAAUUUUGGGGGUUUCAAACCCUCAGGACAUCAUUUACAUCAAUUACAUCAAUUACUCACCUCGAGCUGGCUAUUUCUUUAAUUCGUGACGCCUUUUCCCCUCGAAUUGGCCUCCACGUGCGUUGAAUCUGCCUAAAAUCACAACGAAUAUCUUGCAUUACACUAAAGAGACAAAUACCCAAUCGAAAGAAAUCGAAAAAUAGCAAAAUUCAGGAAUUUGACAAAACUCGAGCCUCGGGCCCACAUCUGAAACUUAGAAUUUUUUAUACCAAAAUGUUCUUCGUCCCCUAACCCACAUUUUUCUACUGAUUUUCUCCAAUUAAACACUUCAAAAACAUGUAAUAUUGUCGGAUUAUUUGAUUGUAAUUUAAUAUUAUUGAGUAGAAAUGAUCACAAGUGACUUACCUCAAAAUUUCCCAUGAUUUCUUGCUCAAAAAUCGCCCCAAGCCGUGUUCUUUCAUCCAAAAACGCUAAGAUGGGCUAAAAUAGCUUAACAUCAUUAAAAAGACUCAUUCUGGUUGUUAAAAGCCUAAUACCGUCGCUAAAGAUGUCCAAAUCUGGUUGCUAAAGGUGCGCACCAGAUGUUGUUGCACCACCGAUGUUUAUUAUUACUAAAAAGGCUCUAACUCCACCAUACAAACUCGGAAUUCGAUGAUUCUUGUUCCUAUGAGUCACAAAUAAUAAUACGAACAUUGUCCUUCAAUCGAAACUUAACUCGAAGCUCAUUUGCUCAGUGCGAUACUCAUUUCACUUGUUAAACAAUUAACUUAUCGCGACUUGAUGAAAUUAAACCAAACUUCCCAGAUCACUACUAUAAUUCAUUAUCAAAAUCCUGGAAGUCUCGAAAUCAAAUUUCGAUAUGUACAACAAAAAAUGGAAAUUUGGAUCAUUACAUACUUAUGCUCAAAAUGUGAAAAUAUUCCAAAACCUCUUCCAAAACUUAUCCGAGCCUCAUGGGAUCCCAACAAAGUAUACUAACAAGUCCUAUAAUAUGACGCAAACUUAGUUGUUCCUUUGAAUCACCAAAAACAAUGCAAAAAAUACUAAAUUCACCUCAGAUUCAAGCCUAUGAGCUUUGAAACUUCUAAUUUCCACACCCGAUGCCGAAAUACGUCAAAACUAGUCUGAAUGACCUCAAAUUUUGCAGACAAGUCCAAAAUGACAUAACGAAGCUGCAACAACUCUCAGAAUUCAAUUCCCACCUUCGCAUCAACUUUGCCAAUUCAAGCUUAAUUCUACACCAGUCAUCACAAAAAUAUUCCGGACUCCUAAGUCCCAAAUCACCUAACGAAGCUAUCCGAAUCAUAAAAGUCAUAUUUCGAUCCCUCUAACACAUAAGACAAUAUUCGAUUGACUAUUUCAAUUUAAGCUUCCUUAAAAGAGACUAAGUGUCUCAAAACUUACCAAAAUCAUUGCGGAAUGACUUCAUAUUUUGCACACAAGUCACAUUCGACAUUAUGGACUUGCCCCAACUUUCGGAUUCGCAUUCCGACCCCAAUAUCAAAAUUUUCACUUCCAGUCGAAUUUUCUCAAAAACCUUCAAAUUUCUAUAUUUAGCCAAAUGACUUCAAAAUGACCUCCAGACAUCCGAAUUCACUUCCGACCACGCUCCCAACUCCAGAAUCACCGUACAAAGCUAUUCCCAGACUAAGAAUCCCAAACGGACAUCUAUAACACUGAAAUGCCUUCCAACCUAAAUAUAUGAAAUUCUUCUAAAAUACUAACUUCCACAGUAUACGCCGAAAUGCUCAUGGGUUAUCCAAAACCAAAUACGGACAUAUUCCCAAGUCUAAUAUCAUCAUAUGAACCUGCCGGAACUUUCAGAUCGCAAUUCCGAGGUCGUUUAUUUAAAAUUCUAAUCUUAGCCAUUUUCUUUAACUUAGGGCUGUCGCAAUGAAAAUUUUCUUUCCAAUUUGACUCCGAAUUUCCCGAAAUUCAACUCUGACCAUACGGACAUGUCAAUAUCCCUGAAAUUAAACUGUUCAUGACUUCCAACUGCUAAAUGAUGCGCUAGAGCUCAAAACGGCCGGCCGCGUUGUUACAACCCCAUGGGCUACUCUCACUCGGGAAGUAUUCAUAAAGCCUCAGGGCUGUCUUUAUUUCGAAUUCGAGCAAACGCUCACUCGACUAUUUAGCCCACGGGCUACCCGAGUUCGAGCAUGUUCUCCCUCAGGGACUAUUCGUAAAGCCUCAAGAAGCUCUUUUCUCUCGAGUUCAAGCAAACGCGUACUUGAUUAUUUAGCCCACGGGCUACCCGAGUUCGAGCAUGUUCUCAUUCGGGGACUGUUCAUAAAACCUCAAGGAUAUUUUUUCUCUUGAGUUUGAGAAAACGCUCACUUGAUUAUUUAGUGCACGGGCUACCCGAGUUCGAGCAUGUUCUUAUUCGGGGACUAUGUAUCAAGUUCGAGUGAACGCUCGCUCGAUUAUUUAUCCCAGUGGAAACCCAAGUUUGAGCAGGUUUACACUCGAGGAAUCUUCAUAAAUCCUCAGGGCUAUCUUUUCUCUCAAUCUCGAGCGAACACUCACUCGAUUAUUUAGCCUACGGGCUACCCAAGUUCGAGCAGGUUCUCACUCAGGGCCUAUUUAUAAGGCCUUAAGGCUAUCUUUAGUUUAAGUCUGAAUAAAUUUUUGCUCAAUUAAGGGCUGCCCGAGUUCGAGCAAUCUCUCGCUAGGGGAUAAUUUAUAAAAGCCUAAGGGCUAUCUUUAUUUUCAGAUGAUCAAGUAAAUGCCCAUCCGGUUGCAAAGGUUGCUUAAAGUUCGAGAAACUUACCACUGAAGGACAAUCUAUAAGGCUUAAAAAGGCUAAGUUUUAUUUUAAAAAAAUUGAGACCCUGCUCUCACUCAAUUCGGACCCAGAAGUCCCAGCGAUCUGAUUUCGUAUCGGGUCAAUCUAGGAUAAUCCGUAGGAUAACAAAGAGAUUCAAGGAAUAUCAUAUGAACCAAUCAAAAAACUAAGGGAUUACUAUGUCCGGGUCUAGUAUUCGGACCAAUCGAUAAAGUCCUACGCUAAGGUUUUCAUAAACGGAGGCAGAAUGGAGUUCAAUGCAAGUCGAAGGCAAAUGAAGAAACCCUUAUAUUAAUAAAAGACAGUUACAAAGGCCUACGAUGGGUCAACUAACGGAGAUAAAGAAAAAAGGCCUAAUCUAUUUUCGAGGGUAUAUCCUCGAGAGCCACAUCUUCGAGAACCGUUUCCUCGGGGACCUCAUCUCGGUCUUCAGAGCGACAUCUUCGAGAACCUUUUCCGAAGCAGCAAUAGAUGAAGAAAAGGCCAUAGCCUAUUAACAAGCAAAAGCUUUUAAUAGGCAAGGAAAAUUGCGCCCGGUGAAAAACUUGGUGAGUAUGGGUCUUGUUAGCACUACUAUUUUAAAGUCCCUUCUUGAGACAUUGCAUCAGUGUGGGAUGCAAAAGUUAGUAGAUAGCGCCACCUCACUCCAUGGUAUGCAACAGGAAUGAAGCACCAUACCAGGAUGAAGUUAAGAAAGAUGAGCAGCGGUUUAUAGUCCAUAUAUCUUCUGAUGUGGGAAGAAUUUGAGGCCUCUCUCUCAUUAUUUCGGAACAACAACAUCACCAACAACAACACAGUAUAAUCUCACUUAGUGGAGAAAAAUACCAAAAAAAAGCCAUGGCAUAACUGACAAAGUUGUUGUCGUAUGACCUUAUGGUCACAAGUUUUAACCAUAGAGAUAGGAGUUUGGAGGAGGAUAUAGAGAAGGAAAGGGCCAAAGGCUGUUGAAGAAAGACUGAAUGAAGUCUUAACUCAAGCAAUUCCCCAUUUAUAGGGAGACAGUAAAGUAACCGACAUCGUAAUCAAUGCCAUUGGGGAAACGUAUCAACGACACGAUCAAUGACUUUGGGGAAACGUAUCAAUGGCGAAAUUAAUGCUUUUUGCGAAAUAGAACGGCAUCGCAAUCACCGCUUUUGCGAAAAUGAACUGGCGGUAUGUUCAAUGCUUCUAGGGAGACGAACCGAUGGUAUGUUUUAGUCACUUAGAAUGCUUACAUCACGAGUAUGAUGUCAUAAUGAUAGGCUCGAGAUAAUGGAGGUCAGAUUCGUUUCAUAUCAUUCUAUUCUAAGAAACGCGGGGACUAUCUGUAUACGGUCUAAAUCAGGGAAGACCGAUUUGAGGCUUCUGUGAAAGUUCAAGCCCGGUUUCGGUGGGAUCAAAGCAUGGUCCAAGGCCAGUACUCAAAGCACUCACCUCGGCAGGGUAUGUCGAAGACUUACCAUGGUGUGCCUCGAGGUAGUAUGAAUAUCGAUGUCCGUUAUGGAAAGGCUGGAAACCAUUGAGGGCACACGAUGCGGACUGACUGAGUCUGCAAGAAUAAUACAAAUCCAUAUUGAGCCGUCAGUAUUAGCAGCUUUUCUUUGUCAUAUAUUAGCCAUGUACUGUGUUGGGAUUCACCCAUCCUAUAUAAAGGGGCCCCUUAUCAUCUUGUAAUGUAUCUCGAACAAUCAUUGAAUACACUCACAUUGAAUACAAGACAACAUUCUCUGCUUUUAGCUAACACAAUUGUUCUUCAUAUUUAUUGCUUAUUUAUCCAUUGAUCAUUUAUUGUUUUUCAAUUAUUGCUCAUUACCAACAACUAAAUUCCAUCUUUGGUGGGCUCAUCGUCAUUAAUUCUUCACCUAGUGUUCAUUGCUAUUGGCCCAUCUAGACCUCGAGGUCCUACUCUAGCUAGCUCGAGGCCAGUCUUGUGACCAUAUUGGUUUGCGUUUCUUACUUUCUUUACUUACACCCAACAUCAAUUGCCUAACAACUAGUAUUAAAAUAAAUCACAUAUUCUUAGAACCACAAAAUUAAAUAAUAAUUGUAGUUACAAUUUUCAAGGUAAACAUUACUAAUGUCAUGAUUUUUAUGCGUUAAUUAUACAUAAGAUAAUACCAAGUAUUUGUAUUAAUUAGACACAAGUUGAAAAAAUGUGCCAAACAAGAUAUCAAUAAUGCAUAGAGCUAAUGCUUGCAUUAUUUUUUCUAAUACCUUCUACCAAAAAACUCCUAAAAAUUCACGACAUGAAGCAAGCAUUAGAUCCUUUGGAUGAAAAUUGUCACCUUUCAACAGAGGUGGAGCCAGAUUUCAAAUUUAUGGGUUCAGAAUUUUAAUUGUUUUAAGUUACUGGGUUCUAAUCUAAUAAUAUAUACAUAUUCAAUAAAUCUUUUAAAACAAAUGCAGGGUUCGAACCAAAGCUACUGGGUUUGGCCGAACCCGAUAGCGGUACUCUAGCUCCGCCCAUCCCUUUCAAGAUUAUUCAACAAAUUGUUAUGGUUCGUAACUAGGAAAGUGUGGAGGUUGUAGGAUAGAGGCUCCUAAAAUUUUCGUACUCCUCUCCCGGGGUUGGGUGAGGCUUGGCAGGACUAUCCUUACAUGAUUUGUGUAUUGGAUUGUGUCUCCCUUAUGAUAGUUAUUUAUGAUAGUUACUGUUUGAUAUUAUUGCAUGCCAUUUUAUUUAUGAUUCUUAUGUUUAGAUAAUUAUUUACGCUAUUUCUGCUGGGGUUACUUAUGAUAGUUACUGUUUGAUAUUAUUGCAUGCCAUUUUAUUUAUGAUUCUUAUUUUUAGUUAAUUAUUUACGCUAUUUCUGCUGGAGUUGCUAAAGCUCUUUUGUUUUUGUUUUUGUUUUGUCUUUAUUUUUCCUCUCCUUCUCCGAGCCAAGGGUCGAUUGGAAACAGCCUCUCUGCCCUUUCGGAUAGAGGUAAAACCUAUCUACAUAUUACCCUCUCAGCCCCCACUUUAUGAGACUAUAUUAAAUAAUUAUUGUUGUUGUUGUUUGUAACCCAGUCUUCUCGUAUAUAUUUCUAAAAAUCUUGUCCAUUUUAUUAUUACCUAAAUAUUUAUAUGUGAUGAUUGACGGGCAAUAACAUACCAGACGCGCUUCAUAGAUACUAGUUUGACCAAAUAUGACGAAAAUUGAAACGGUAAGAAAACAAAAUAGAAAAAGGAGUAAUAAAAAGUCGAGAAAAGGACAGCUUUGAAAUCCGUUAGACUCUCCUUGUCAUUACUUCUGUAUUAAAAGAAAAAUUCCAGAAAGUCCCCUAAAAAACUCCCAAAUCCUAAGUGUCUGCUACACUUAUCACUGCUCUCUGCACAUACACACACAGUUUUAUACAUACAAACAACCAUACUUUUACAAAUCUCGUGUGUUGAAACUCACUUUGUGUUUUUACAGAUCUGUUUACAUGACUUGCACAAAUAUAUAAAUAUAUACACACACGAUUACUUGAAGCUGAAAAGUGAAGAGGGAUUUAUUUGGAAGUGAAGGACUACUGAGAUCAGAGAUGCUUGAUGGUAUACUAAACCGUGGAUUCAGCUCCAAAUGGUUAGACUUUUUAUUUUUUUCUUUUCUUUAUGGAUAUUCCGAUUUGUGUUUUGAAUUUGGUUUUGAAAUGAAUGAAGCAAAUCGCUGAUAAAGGCAACGAGGACGCGAAUCGAGGUGGUGAGACGGAGAGCAGAGGCGAAACAAAGGUUUUUGAAGGAAGAUCUUGCCAAAUUGCUUGAUAAUGGCCUCGAUAUUAAUGCUUUUGGAAGGGUGAUUUAUUUCUUUUCUUUUUUUUAAAGCUUUUUCGUGCUUUAGUUCUUUUUCUACAAUAAUUUUAUUCCGAUUUGAAUUUACUGCGUUCUAUCUUUUUUAAAGCUUUUUCGUGCUUUAUGUUUUUUUACUUUAAUUUUUUAUCGAUUUGAAUUUAAUGCGUUCUAUCUACUUGUUUAGUUCGUUAUUUGACUGAAUUGUUUUCUGAAAACAAUUGUGUUUGGAUCCGUUCUUAUGCUUUGAAAAAAAAGUGAAAAAAGAAGAACAUGAUGAAAAUGAAAUUCUGGAUGGAUGCAGUUUAAUUGAUUUGAAUUUAUAGCAUUAGGAGCUUCCUUUUAUAAUCAUCCAGAACAAAAAUAUUAGUUAAUGCCAGAAGAAGUAUGGAGUGGGAUUUGGUAAGGCGAAGGAAAAGACAAGGCUUAUUGCAUUCUUUCUUUUCUUUAAACAUUCUUUUAUAUCCUGAAAAAUUAGAAUCUAAUGUGGUAUAAUGAUUUCUGACGAGGUGAAGCAGACUGAAGAAAUUUUGCUAGGGCAGAGCCUCUUAUACUGCUACGACUUUGUGGAACAAUCUUGUGAAUAUAUUGUAAAGCAGCUCUCCUACAUGCAGAAAUUAAGGUAUAUCAUUACUUUCAUUCUAUGCAAUUUUAAUCUCUAUAGUGGAUUAGACAAUUAUUUAUAAAAAAAGGCUGGUUAAGGAAAAAGUUUCUAAUUGGGAACAUCUGAUUUGUAACAGAUACGAGUAAUUCUUUUAAAUAGGAUACCAGGAGAGAUCUAACUAAAUUGGAAAAUGAGCUACCUUAAGGCUUCAAUUAAGCAAGUAGCACAUUAGCCUUUACAUGAGUCAUGAUGCAACACAAUGCAAAAGGACUUGGUAGUUUCUUGAAACCUUGUGAAGAAUGUGAGUUCAAUUUGUUGAACUUGUUUGAAUAUUCAUAUUUGGUAGUUUGUUGUUACUCAAAGUGAUAAACAAUAUUUUCAUGUAAAAUUAACUGGCUAAAAGGGAACUGCACAAUGUAAGGAUCAUCCACUGGUCCAUGCAUUUUAUUUCAAGCUCAACCAGUUGUGAAUUCUUAAAAGGAAAGGCCAGAUUAAGUACCAAAUACAUCAUCAUAGACAAUAUUCUUUUCUGUGGAUUGGGCCUAACUAUCUUUAAUCUGGAAGUGACAUCUUAUUGCAAACUGGACCAUAACUUAUCAGCAUCUUAUGCUGGGAUGAAGGUGACAUGGCAUAGACUUUGAAAGAUCCAUCAAUUGACUGAUGGAAAUUCUCAGAAAGUUCUGAACUUCUUACCAUCAAUGACCUUUAGUAAGUUAAAUGUCAAGUAGAUUGUGGUUGAGUUCACCGGUUUCUUACCGUUUCACUUUUGUCUAGUCAUUUAAGCAGUAUAAUCUGAUCUCCAACCAAGGUGCUCCCAGUGAAAUGCCUUGUUGACUAGACAAACCAAAGUUUCUCCAUACAUCCUCAUUUUUCAUGGGAUUGUACUGAAAUUUUUCUGUGCUAAAUCCAGCUUGUACAAGGCUCUAAAGGUUAACCGUAAAUUGUAUCCUUAAAUAUUACCUCUUUUAGAAGGUCUUACUGUUAGUUCUUGUCUCUUUAGAAGGAUCUUACAGUGAAUUACAACUGUUUCACUUCUAUUUUUAACACACUGAUUAUAACUAUUGGACACCGCAACUGGCCAAAGAAGUGAAACUUGUUUGAGAAAAUGGGCCUUGGGUUUGUUGUCAACUCAAAAAGUGAGCUCAUGCGAUGAUGACUGCCCAAGAUUACAUAAGAGACGACAACCCCCUCAACCAUUAUGGGACACUUAACAACACCCCCAUGCUAAGCUGUACAUUUGGUGCUUGGACAAUAUAAAUGGGAGCCCAAUUUUGGAUAAACCAAGAAUAGGAGGAAUGGUCCGGUUCUGGUACCAUAUUAACAAAAUAGACCUUGGGCCUAAGUCCAGUUUUGUCAAAGUCCAUUUGAGGCGCAUUUAAGCCUUGAAGCUCAAGGCAGAUGCUUCGUCUCACUUAGGUUGCGCUUUAGUUUAGACAAAGCACUAGGGUGUGCACCUCAUUGCUGAUAGGUUCUAUCUUGAAUAUAGCGGGUACUAAGCAACAAAUAUAUUUGUUGAAGUUGUCACUUUUUUCUUGCAUUAUAAAUAUUUUUUUUUCAUUGCGCCUUUUUUAUGUAAAUCUCGCACUUUAACUGCGCUUUGCACUUAAUACCAAAUAGACCUCUGGCACUUUUUGGCUUUUUUUGCCUAUGACAACACUGGGCCUAGCUCAAUCUCAAAAGGUAGCUCAUGAGGUGAGAAAACCCAAGAUCAUGCAAGGAGACAACAAUCCUUCCCUUGACCAAUGCAGGACACUUGACAAAACCAUUGUUCCCCAAAUAUGACAUACUGUCUAUAUCCAGGGACUGUCCUGAGGACUGCAGAGAAGCUGUGGCAUCAUUGAUGUUUGCUGCAGCAAGAUUCUCCGAUUUGCCAGAAUUGAGAGAGCUAAGGGAUAUAUUUCAGGAGAGAUAUGGGAACUCCUUAGGAUGUUUUGUUAACCAGAAGGUGAUUUGUUUAUUAUACUAUCCUGCACAUCUUAUUUUAUCUGUCUUUUAUAUCUGACUUCCUUCAGUGCAAUUAGUUUGUCGAGAAAUUAUCUUCCAGACCCCCUGCAACGGAGAAGAGAAUUCAGCUGUUGCAAGAUAUAGCUUUAGAAUGUUCUAUAAGGUGGGACUCCAUGGGAUUUCAACAAAGGAUGGCACUUGCACAGGUACAUCUUUUUUUGUUCAAAAUUGAGAUUACCAUUGGCCGCUAAAAUGUGUAAAAUUGUUGUUAGUGUUUGCCUCCAAAAUGGCCCUUGAUAGGAAAGUCUGGAGGUCUAGUAGCAGGGUUGUAGGAUAGGGACUUCUAGAAUUUUUCGUACUUCUUUCUGGGGCUAGGUGGGGUUUGGUAGGGCUCGCCAUAGAUGAUUUGUGUACUGUAUUGUUCCUCUUAUGGUAAAUACCGGUUGGUAUUAUUGCAUGCCAUUUUAUUUUUAGUUCUAUGUUUACAUAAUUAUUCAUUUGAUUUCUGCGAUUUACCAAUGCUCUCUUGUUUUUGUUUUGAUUUUCUUUCCAUUUCCUGAGCCGAGGGUCGGUCGGAAACAGCCUCUCUACCCUAAAGGGUAGGGGUAAGGCCUGUGUACGUAUUAUCCUCCCCUCCCCAGACCCCACGUUUUGGAACUAUACUGGGCAAUUGUUGUUGUUGUUUGCCUCCAAAAUGAAUGUUCAUCCUUAAGUAUCCUAAUUUACUACUUCUUUCAACAACUAUCUUGGGAAAUGAAACAUAACUUUUCCCCAAAUAUAGAAACAAGUGAAGUUUCACCAUUGUCUUUUCAUUGAUUAUUGUAGGCCAAACCAAACAGGAGUGGAUUUUCGCAUUCUUCUAGUGGCAACCACAUCCUACCAAAUGGCAAGGGUGGUGGUUCAAAAACUGAUAAAUUCGAUGUUGCACUUGGUGAAAGGCAAAAGGGCUUUAAUGAUCAACAUAAUAUACAUAAUGGCAGAGAGAGUAUCGUCUUAAAGAAAGAGCAGCGGGAUCUUCAUUCCUCUGAAACUAAAGAAUCAAGUAUGCAUGGAAAUAUACCGCUUAUAAAGCAGGAAGCUAGUUAUUCCAAGGGGCGAAAACAUGAUAUGUCGUUUGAUAAAGAGGUGGAACAGACAAGGACAAGAAACAAAGCAGUCCUAGAGAAAGAUGAUAAUUCAAUAAAGAAAGCAAAACCAGGCAGUUCAUCACAUGGAGAAAGGCUAGAAGGUUUUGAUAAAUUCACUAGAUACAAUGAAAAUCAUGGUCAGAUUCUCACGGAAAGAUCAGAGAGUAGGGGACUCCCUUUCAAAACUGAUGAUGUCUCUUCUGCUUGGAACACGGCCAUUGAAAAGAAUACUGUUAACUCAACAAGAAUGGUUCAGCAGGAAAAUGAAAAUAGGUUGACAUCCUAUGCCAACCUUGCUAUUCCUCCACCUUAUAUUAAGUCGAAAGAGAAAGCCGUUCCUCCUCCCUAUGUAAAACCGAGUUAUAGCAAAGAAAGAGCCCGUAAGGGUUCUAAGCAGUCUGCUUCUGAAUUUGAUGGGCAUUUCAGAAGUACCUCUCCACGCAAUAGACUUGACACAAACAAGACCAAUAAAGAAUCAGAUCUUCCUGGUCAUGAGGCUCAAACUAUUAAACCCCCUGUACCAAAUAGUCACGGUCAUGAGAAAGAAUUCUCUCGUAAGGAUGGUUUGACCUUGCCAAAACCAAGAUCUGUAAGAAGAAAGCACCAUAAAUCAGUGUCAAAUCGUGGCGAAGAGGGGAAGUCUGAAGAUGCCAGAGUGGUCAAGAAAAGUUCAAGUAGCCGGAGAAGGGAGCAUUCAAGGAAAGGCUUACAGAUUUUGUUCGAGGAUGAAAGCCAUCAGAAAGACGAUGAGGAAAGAAUGAUAGAUAAACUGUUGCUGCAUUACAGUAAAAAACCAUCAAAAUGUGAUGUGGAAACUCUGAGGAAAAAGCCACAAGCUCAUCUUUCAUAUCUGACAACUCCUGGUACUGGGGAAUCCUCAAAUAGUCAAACAACCAGAGAUCAACGUGAAAUGGGAUCAGAUAUGCUUCCUUUCCCCAAAAGAUCUAUUUCCCUCCCACAUGAGCAAACUGCUCCAUCAGAGGCAACAAAGGUAUUUGCUCGUGCCAAUUCAUUUCAGCCAGACAACCAGGCAUGUCAUGUGCAUCCAAAACUACCAGAUUAUGAUGAUUUGACUGCCCGAUUUGCUGCUUUAAGAGGCCGAUAAUUUUAAUAUAGGUUAACCUUGGGGAAUGGUAACCAUUUUUUUUUAUCCUGGUGUGUGUUACCUCUUCACAUUCAUUUACACAGGUUGAUCUUGUGCUUAACUGUUUACUGACAUAGGUUAACCUUGGGGAGUGGUAACCUUUUUUGGUUACUCUGGUGUGUGUUACUACCUCCUCACAUUCAUUUACACAGGUUGAUGUCCUUAGCUUGUUUACUGACUGGAACCUGUUAACUCGUAACCUGUAUUACUUGACAACCUGUACCCAAAAUAUUCAUCUUGAUGUUCUCAUAGGCACAUGUUUCCAAAUACUACAGGUAGGAGGCAUAGAGCUGCAUCAUAUAACAUGUUUCAUAACGUAAAUGAUGUCCAGGCACAAUUACAGCUUUAGCAGUUCCUUGCUCUAAAUCCCAUUUGUGUACUAGUUGAUUGUAAAACUGUAUACCAUUCAUGAUUCAUAUGUAACCUUGAUCUUUGAGGCUAUGAGAUUCUUUGAGUUACUGUUCCUACGUAUUCGUGCUGCUUUCGUGGAUAUUAAGAUAAAGUUGUAUUUUGCGUUAAAGAUUGAAAAUACUAUUGAAG